RNAcentral lists this long non-coding RNA (106235 nucleotides) under Triticum aestivum (bread wheat). RNAcentral describes it as "long non-coding RNA (TAES_LNC002385)". The record is from RNAcentral. Lineage: Eukaryota; Viridiplantae; Streptophyta; Magnoliopsida; Poales; Poaceae.
GACAAAGAAACUAGUAGUACCUGAAUUCAAAAGCACACAAAUACAAGGGCAAAGAUAAUCAUCAGUUCAAGUGUGCAUACCUCAUAAAAGAUACUUUUUACCUAGUUUACAACUAGAGUAUUUCGUUGCCAUGUCGAACAAGAGUGAAAAAGAUAACAUGCUAACACAAACAUCAUUCCUGAUAAAAUCCAAACCUUUAGACGAAAACGGCACAAGUAGGAGUUGCGCCAAGGUUUUGCUAAUCACAUAUUAAAACCUUCAGACAGAAAACGGCCUCUAACUGGGAGCUGUCUUGCCAAGGUUUGCUUCUGCGCUUAAUUCUUGCCUCGGCCACGCCUAGGAGGCACAACAGUCCACCCAUCAGCAUCAGGGGUAGGCUUGGAAGGUUUUGGCUGAUCUAUCACCAUAUCAUCUGAUCUAGCUGCUUCAUCUUUCCCCAUUGAUGGCUCAUCACCAUCAUCCGAGCUAUCAUCAUCAUCAUCCUCGGGUACCAUCUUCUCAUGAGAAGAAAGAAAGUUAGCUACAGGGGCUUUCUGAGUCGAAGAUACACGUAAAAAUAAAAUCAAUCAAUUUAAACUUUAAAGUUAUGCAAUGCAACGUUGUAAUGACUGAGGACCACUUCAGAUAACUGUAUACACAUGGUUACUCAACAUAUAAGUAUGUCUCCAAAUAACAAUGACCGGUUCUAAUUAGAAAACGAGGUUAAGAUCCACAUGUUAAGAGCAAAAACACAAUCAAUCUAGCAUUUUGCAAUUAACCCCGACAAAGCAACAAUCAAGCAUAUAAAAAGGACCACAUCUUGAAGAAUUAAUAAUUGAACAAAUUAUCAAACAGAUCAUGGAAGUGAACUGUGAGGCUGUGUUUGGAUGUAGAUAUUAAGAUCUGGAAUUAGACACUGGCAUUGUGCAGAACCGAAUAUCCAGAAUUCUAGGAGUUGGGUAGGCCUAGCUAGUCAGCCUGUGUAUUCAGGUUAAAUAUUGAGGUGCUGAACUUUUGGCUCCGCAGCCCGUUCCCGAAUCUCUUGGGUUAGAGCUCGACAGUUGCGUGCAUUUGGGCCGAAUUGUUUUUCUCUACUCUCCUCACUUGUCUGUCUCUUGCUCGUCCAACCCUUCCUCCCGUCCCGAAGAAACAGGAGAGGCGACGCACCAAGUAAACCUCCGCCCACAGGCUCAUUCUGCUCCACCUCCGGAGCGCCUCCGCUCGACUACCCUGUCUCCAUCCACCCUCUCCCUCUUCCUCUCGCCAGCUAACCCGUUUCUGCUCUCCGAUGUCCGGCGCAAGUACGCCACCACCUGGCAUUGUGGUGGUUGCAGGAGCCGGUACUGUCCUCUUCGUUCCUCUAGGCAGGCUUGGUCCGUCUAGUUCUAGUGAUUGAUACAGCUCUUUUACAAAUUUUAGAUCCUGAUGUGAUGCCGCUCCUGGAUGCACACGUUUCCACACCUACAUUAGUGCUUAAUGUCCUUUCAUGGCUAGAAGUGGACAACUAGUUCGUGUGUGGCUUUAGGCUAGCUGUUUAGUGCAUAUUAUGCUAUUGGUCCUAGUUCGAUUCUGACCUUUGUGCUUUGUGGUGCCAAUCUCAGAGACCAAGACAUGGUGUGGUGUUAGUAUGAUGUGAAUUACUCAGAUAUUCAGGUGACAAUCGAUACAUAAUUUUGUGAUGUGUAUUCGUCGAGUCAUUUUGAUAUUUAUCGAAACCAAAUCAUAUAUCAUUUCUUCAAAACCGUAUUUACCGAACUAUUGCGUACAAUUUUCCCAAUUUUCCAUGUUUUUUGGAAGUUACGAGAUGACAUGGUAAUUUUACAUAACAUUUGUUCGUUCUUCUUAUUUUUAUUAUGUGAUAUAUAAUUAUACAAAUAUGUUCAGAUGUUAAAUGGAAAACAUUUUUAUACAUGCAUAAAACAUUAUAAUGAUCAUAGUCUCGUACAAUUGCAUUUCCCCAUUUUGACCAUCCAAACAACAUUUGGCAUUAGACGUCAAUAUCAAGUCUGGGUUCUUAAUACCUAAACAUCCAAAUAGAAAUAUUGGUAUUCAAUCUCAACAUCAAUAUCAAUAUCCUCUGAUAUUGACACUCAAGUCUAUGCAAUGCCUAGCCUGUGAAUGUCUGCAUCCAAACGGAGCUUGAGAGAAUACUAUCGAUUCUAGGUUGCAACACGAAUGAGCUCAUAUGUGAGAAGAUAAGCAACACAAAUUAUGCAUGCUAAAACUAAACUUGAAAUACCUGUCUACUUUGGGAAACAGCAUUUCCUUGAGGCCGUGUAUUCCUUAAUUUCUCAAUCGAUGAAAAGUUGUUUUCCAGGCAUUCUUCAUGCAUUAUCAAAAAUUGUUCAGCAACCUGUUUGCCAUAAAAACUUUGAAUUAAUAAACAUACAUUGCACCGUUUACGAGCAAACCGAAUACAGCUUUACACAAAUGACAGAAGAAGUACAUUCCAACUUGAUUAUAGUUAAGAAGCUUCAGGUUUUCUGCUGGAUAAGCUAGAGAUAAAAAUGGGGAAGAUGGAAAUGGGGAGGGUUGACCCAUCGACCCGGUGAACAUUUAAAAUAGUGGAAGAAGGGCCACAGUAGCGACCCUUAAAUACAAUAGGGGAACUGGGCCAAGCAGCUAAAACCCUAAAGGUUGGUCAGAGCAAGUCAACCCUUUCAGUUACACCAACAAGUACUUAAUCAGAUAUUCAUUACUUCGACAUAGUUCAGGACCUAUAGCUGUGCUAAACAUGGCACAAGGAAAAAUAAUUACCUCCCCAAUGCUACCAUCCGCAAAGUUAGAAUUGAGGGAUUUAUAUAUGUUGUCAAACAUCAUAUCCUCCAAGUCCUCAUAAUAAUAUGGGCCUAAAUAAAACCAAUGAAUAUUAGAUGCAGAAAGAGCAUGCAUAAAAAGAGUGAAACUAACAAAAAAUAUUAAUCAAACCAACAAACAUACAGCAGAAACACGUAAGGCAUGCCAACAUCACAUUUUGCACCUACGGUACAGAUGAAAUUGCCCGACUUUCUAAAAUAAAAGGAGAAUGCAACAUAUAUUGGAGUUCUCUUUCAAUAUAAACUGAUUCUCACCUAAGAUGAAGUGCAAAAAUAAAUAGAAUGAUGUGUGAUCAAGCUAUGUGGUUGAAAACAAAAAAUCAACAUAAGUAAAUGAUGAGCAAAAUACAGAAGCUCAAAUUUUGAAAUACAGACCAUUACGAAAUUCCACACUAGACUUUUUACCUAUUGGACAACAUGGCUCCAAUAUAUCGUACCUAAUUGAAUUGUUUCGUCCAAUACUUUGGAGUUGUGAAAUUCUGAACCCAAACUGGCACAGAACCAAGCAACGUAAGUCCUCUAUAGAACUAUCCGAAUCGAACAGCGCCUACAGAUCGAAGGAGCCAUCUUCCUAUCAGCGAGUUCAGCCCCGAAACCCCGACAAGAGGAACAUCGCGAGGCUGGCUUAAAAUUGGUCCGAGAGACACCUUUACUACCGGAUCCCGCACGGACUUCCGUCGUGUAGGACAUAAUUACACGAGGANNNNNNNNNNNNNNNNNNNNNNNNNNNNNNNNNNNNNNNNNNNNNNNNNNNNNNNNNNNNNNNNNNNNNNNNNNNNNNNNNNNNNNNNNNNNNNNNNNNNNNNNNNNNNNNNNNNNNNNNNNNNNNNNNNNNNNNNNNNNNNNNNNNNNNNNNNNNNNNNNNNNNNNNNNNNNNNNNNNNNNNNNNNNNNNNNNNNNNNNNNNNNNNNNNNNNNNNNNNNNNNNNNNNNNNNNNNNNNNNNNNNNNNNNNNNNNNNNNNNNNNNNNNNNNNNNNNNNNNNNNNNNNNNNNNNNNNNNNNNNNNNNNNNNNNNNNNNNNNNNNNNNNNNNNNNNNNNNNNNNNNNNNNNNNNNNNNNNNNNNNNNNNNNNNNNNNNNNNNNNNNNNNNNNNNNNNNNNNNNNNNNNNNNNNNNNNNNNNNNNNNNNNNNNNNNNNNNNNNNNNNNNNNNNNNNNNNNNNNNNNNNNNNNNNNNNNNNNNNNNNNNNNNNNNNNNGAGCUGGUCGGCCUUGGCGCGGGAGUCGGGGCCGCCCCACUUGUUCUCCACAGCCAUCUGCAGCGCCGUCCACCGCCCGAACACCAGCCCGAUGCCCUCCUGGAGCGCUGCAGCCGCCUGGGGCGAGAGCGAUCCGCCGCCGCUAGUGGAUGUCGACAUGGUGCUGCGAGAGUUCUAGGGAGGCGGCUAGGGUUUUGACCUUUUGGUGUUCUCUAGUAACAGAAUUGAUGGUGGUUGUGAACAAGGAGAGAACCGAAGAGGAUCUUCCGGCCGGCGGUUGCUGGAGGGCGGCGUUGCGCGUGGCGGUGGCUGUGUAGGGUUUGGGGCGGCGAAAUAUCUACUCCUAGGUAGAGCUUUUAUUCAUCAAAAUCCAGAAGGUGUGGAAUACAAAUCGGGUUAUGGGGUUGGCCCAACCAUAUAUGGCGCCUGGGACCCAGAGAAAAAGAAUGCUUGGCUAGUCUAUCUGCUUCUAGAUUAUUCACACGACCUUUAAAAAUAAAAUUACAGCGAAAAGAAACUUGUUGUAGUCUGAUCUCCUUGAUUAUAGCACCAAAAGCUCCCAGACUUUCAUUAUGGAUGGCAUUAACCACUUGCUUUGCAUCCGACACGAUCAUGAAUUGGUCUAAGUGAAGGUCUGCUGCGAGCGCCAUUCCUUCCCGACAUGCUAUAGCUUCUAGCGUUGCCGGACCAUCCACUCCGCGGAUAACCAACGCCGAACUCCGGAGGAAAGCACAUGUACUGUCCCUGCAUACUGCGGCCGUUGUUCCUCGACUUCUCUUCGGCAUCCAGCAUAACAUGAAUCUUGGCGUAUCCCAUUGGAGGAGCUUUUGGUCUCCUGUUUUGCGAUGGCACCCUUGGCUCUAUCCUCACCGGCUCCUGCUUCCCACCAAUAGCCUCGAGCUCAUCAUAUAUCUGUCCACAAAAGUAAUGAUUGCAUGUGGACUCUGAAAAAUUCCUUCGUGAAUGGCUUUACGUUUUGCUGCCCAUAUAGCCCAAAGUGUAACUGAGAGCCUCACGAAUUAUGCAUGUGAUAACAGAUCCAUAAGUGUGAAAAGCCACUGUUUCACCUUCGGUUCUGUUGUAGUUGCCAGCUUCUGCGUCAAUUCCUCAUCUAUGAGCGACCGCAGCGGGACAUGGUACACUCCAGGAGGGAGUGCCUCCAAGAAUCUGGGGCUCCACACAUGCCGCAUAGAUUAGAGUCUGCCAUAUGUCUUCGGGCUCAGACAUCAUUAGUUGGAAUCGAGUGUUUUGAUAGUCUCCAUAAGAACAUCAUCACCUUCCCAGGCACUUGUAUCUUCCAUAAACUCUUUCAGGAUCUUUCCUCCCCUGCCAUGCUCGAUGAACCCGACCUAUUCUCGAGCCAUGCUUCUCUUCUUCACCUAGUUGCAACCAGCAUGUGAUAGGCCGAUCGGACUAAAAAGAGCCCAUUCUUUUCAUAGUGCCAGCUCCAAAAAUCUGGUAUAUUACGCGUGCAUAGAGGAAAACCUAGGAUCACUUGAGCAUCCAUCGGCAUGAACACGAACUCGAUCUUCUGUCUAUCCCAGCAAGCCGAUGUACUGUCGAUAAGUUCAGAAACCAGUUCCGGAGGGUUUUGAGCGAUGCAUGCAUAAGGUUUCAUCAUCUCUUCUCUCGGUAGCCAAUUCUCGUCCCAAAUCUUUGUCGAAUCUCCAUUCCCAAUGCACCUGACAAGACCAAUCUUCAGGGUGUCAUGACCCUCAAUUAUGGCCCUCCAGAUUUGACUCAGGUGGUUUCCCAGUGAAACUUCCAAUAUUGAGCAGCUAGGGUAGUAUAUACUUUUCAGAAUACGCACGCUCAGAGAGUCCGGGUCCUACAGCAGUCUCCAUGCCUGCUUAGCUAACAUGGCCAUGUUAAAAAGCUCAAAAUCCUUAAAACCCAAGCCCCCCAUACCUUUUGGUCUUCCAAGAGACAUAGUGGGGUUUUCUCUUUCCUUCCUUACUCCCCCACCAAAAUUUCUGAAUUAACAUAUUUAGGUGCUCACACAAGCCUUGUGGCAAUUUAAAACAAGACAUUGAGAAAACCAGAACUGCUUGAGCGACUACUUUGACCAACACCUCCUUGCCUGCUGAUGACAUUGUAUUCUCUAUCCAUCCUUGCACUUUGCUCCACAGGCGGUCUUUGAGGUAUUUAAAAGCACCAUUUUUUUGAACUUCCAAUGUCAUAUGGCAUUCCUAAAUAUUUUUCAUUUAGGCUUUCAUUGGGAACUUCCAAUGUCAUAUGACCAAGUUUUUUUUGAGGGGGCGAAGCACCUAGUUUAAAAGGAAAAAGGAGGUACACUCACAGCACCCCUGUCGCGGUCGCAUUGCACCCCACACACGUUCGGUCCUCCACAUGGCUCACGCAAACGGAACGCGCUUCGGCUUGCCUCUUCACUGACACGUGGGACUGCACUUGGAGAAACCGAGCAUGCGCCAAACUCCUCCCGCCCACCGCGCGAACCCCCCGCCCCAAAAAAAAUCCCCCCAAAUCCCAAAUUCAACCGCCCGUCGGCCAACUAGCCAANNNNNNNNNNNNNNNNNNNNNNNNNNNNNNNNNNNNNNNNNNNNNNNNNNNNNNNNNNNNNNNNNNNNNNNNNNNNNNNNNNNNNNNNNNNNNNNNNNNNNNNNNNNNNNNNNNNNNNNNNNNNNNNNNNNNNNNNNNNNNNNNNNNNNNNNNNNNNNNNNNNNNNNNNNNNNNNNNNNNNNNNNNNNNNNNNNNNNNNNNNNNNNNNNNNNNNNNNNNNNNNNNNNNNNNNNNNNNNNNNNNNNNNNNNNNNNNNNNNNNNNNNNNNNNNNNNNNNNNCCCUCCCCGCCAUGACGAUACGUCGGUGCCGCGGUUCAUCGAGGGGACGCACGGCGAUCCUCUUGCUCCCAUAGUAUGCUCUCAUAGACUGCCGUCCUCGAGCCGCGCCGCCACCACUGGCGACGUUCUUGUGGAGGCGCACGGCGGUCAGCGCCGCCACCGCUGGCGACGUUUGUGUGGAGACGCACGGCGGUUAGCUUCUCCCAUGGUACGCGCAUUCUAGACUGAGGCCCCGUGCAUGUCGCUGUAGCGCUGAAUGUUAGCUAAUAGACGUUGUUAAUCUCACUGUUUGCCGAAGUAGUUUACAGUCAAUAUGCUCUGCUUAAGAAGCUUCCUUGCCCUGUUCUGCACUCAAUCUGCUUAGCUGAGAUGGCAUGCCAAGCCCGAUUGGUUGCUAAAAUAUCCUGCCAUAUAUUUAUUGUGACGUAGAUUGCCAUGGUCUAGUAGCCAAUCUGUUAGGUGAAAUAGCUCUACACCGUUUUAUACUCGAUUUUUGUUGCUGCGAUGGCCUUCGGUAGUUCAAUGGCUGUGUGCUCGGCCUCAUUGACUGCUGAAACAGCCUGCCAUAAUUUAGCACUCAAAUCGGUUUGCUGAAUUAGCUUUAAAUAUAUUUCGUUACUUAGAUCUGCUCGUCCAAAUAUCUUGCCAUAGUUUUAGACAUCGACCAAGGUAUUUUUUUUCUUGACUUCAUAAAAAAGCAUAUAUGUUUCUCCUAUAAUAUCUAGUAGAAGAACUAAUUUGUAUAUCUAACAGAUGGACAUAACUUGGAUAACUUCUGCUCGAAGAUUCUCCGCUGCAUAUGUCGAGGGGGUUGAAAACUUCAUGAACUUUAUCAGAGCUGAGUACGAUGGUCCAAAAUUAGAUGUGCUCUGCCCGUGUAGCAGUUGUAUGAAUUCAGUUACAAGACCUCAGUCCAUUGUGCAAAAUCAUCUACACUUGUAUAGGAUGUCGGUCACAUAUACUAGGUGGGUUCAUCAUGGUGAAGUUGUGAACGUCAAUGUUAUAGACUACGUGGAAGCAGCAGACCACCAUCUUGAUCUGCCUGAUGCUCAGGUGGAAGAGGAGGAGGUGGUGGUGACGGAGCCAGUGAGUUUGGACAACAUUGAAACAAUGCUACGAAAUGCUCAUGCAUUUCAUGAAGUUUCACCUACAGAAGAAAACCGGUGGGCCUGCAUGUUGGAACAAUGCAACGUGGCUGUCACCCCAGGAAAUAAGCUGUCAGUAUUCUCAGCUAUGGUCACCUUUCUUCAUGUGAAGACAUCUGAGCGGAUGACCAACAAAUCAUUCGAUGCGAUGUUGGCUGCUUUCCGCAAAGCUUUCCUAGAUGCGUCUGAGCUGCCACACACCUAUGGUAAAAUGAAGAAUUUCCUUCGUGCAGUUGGAAUUGGAUAUGAUAUGGUCCAUGUUUGUAAGAAUAAUUGUGUUCUAUUCCGAAAGGAUUAUGCCAACUUAAGUGAAUGCCUGAUAUGCAAAUCAUCAAGAUGGAAAGAUGGCCAUGCUGUGAAGAGGAUUCCUCAUAAUGUUAGGGGAAAUUUUCCAAUUACACCAAGAUUGCAGAGGUUGUUUCAUGAUGCUGAAACAAGAGAGGAUGUAUUGUGGCAUUCUAGGAACCAGGAGUACAGAGAUCAGAAUGUAAUGAGCCAUCCAUCACAUGGUAGUGAGUGGAAAAGCUUCAAUCAGAAACACUAAAAGUUUGCUACUGACCCAAGAAACAUUAGACUUCGCUUAGCUUCAGAUGGAUUUAACCCAUUUGGCCACCAGAGCGCCACAUAUAGCAUGUGGCCAGUGCUUGUUAUCCCUUACAACAUGCCUCCAAAUGUCUGCACCAAAGAAUCAAACUACAUGAUGGCCGUGCUCAUCCCAGGUCUAAAAAGUCCUGGAAAGGAUUUUGAUUUAUUCAUGGAGCCUCUUGUGGAGGAACUUUAACAACUAUGGAGGGGUGUUCUCACUCGAGACCUAUAUAGCAGCCCACCAGCUCAUUUCUUUCUGUGUGCUAUUAUAAUUUGGUGCAUCCAUGAUUAUCCAGCUUUGGGCACUAUGUCAGGGCGAACGGCACAUGGUUACAAUGCAUGUGUUCGAUGUGACAGGAAUCCGCUGUCAUACGCAAUACUUAGCAAGAUCUGUUACAUUGGACACCGCCGUUUCCUUGCCAAGGACAAGCCGCGUCCUACAAAAUACCGAAGACAUGUGUUCAAUGGAAAGCAUGAAAACCGUGAUGCGCCAAAGAGGCUCACCGCCGAUGAGUUGCAAGUGGAAUUAGAGAAGGUCAGGCAUAUUACACCAGAAUCCAUCCUGGUAAUGGUAGCGGGAAAAGGAAGCGUGGCAGGGCAGAAGAGAGAUUAUUAUUUACCCGCAGGUCCACUUUGUGGGACUUGGAGUAUUGGAAAGAUUUGGAUCUGCGGCAUAAUCUUGAUCUGAUGCACAUCGAGAAAAAUAUAUGUGACAGCAUUAUCGACACACUUCUUAAUAUUGAAGGCAAGACGAAAGAUACCUUAAAAUCUAGGGUUGAUUUGACACACCUGGGUAUCAGAAAGGAUUUACAGGUGCAAGAUGAAGGUAAACCAUGGGAUAUGGCACCAGCUGUGUACGUCUUGGACAAGGUAAAAAGAAAAGAAUUCUGUGAGGUCGUGUCAUGUAUGAGAUUCCCACAUGGAUUUGCUUCCCACCCUGAAAGGAGAGUCAGUGUAGAUGGAAACAAGAUACAAGGGUUGAAAACUCAUGACUGCCACGUCCUACUUCAAAGGGUUUUACCUGUUAUCCUUAGAGGAUUGGGCCGCCCUGACUUAUACAAAGCAGUUGCAGAGUUGGGACAAUUCUUCAGGGAACUCUGCAGUAGAAAUAUCAGGGUAGAUGCUUUAAAGCGUCUUAGAGACAAGAUACCAACUAUCCUAUGCAACCUUGAGGAGAUAUAUCCUCCAGCCUUCUUUGAUGUGAUGGUGCAUUUGGCUGUUCAUCUACCUGACGAGGCACUACUUAGAGGUCCAGUACAGUAUGGUUGGAUGUACCCUAUUAAAAGGCGGCUCGACACUUUCAAGGGCUAUGUUAGGAACAGAGCUAGACCCGAAGGUUCCAUUGCAGAGGCCUACAUUGCUACAGAAGCUUUGACAUUCUCCUCAAAAUACAUUGAAACAACUGAUCAGCUUAGCAAAGAGGUGGGUGAAGAUAAUCCCGGGCUCAAUGUUUUCGAUUAUUCUGUUCGAGUUACAAGGAAGAGUCGACAAGAGGACAAACCUAAAGAUUUGGACAAAAUGGUUUGGUGUGUGUUAAAUAACUGUCCUGAGAUGCUACCUUAUAUCAAGUAAGCGCUAAGUACUGCAGCUUAUACAUCAUAAUCUACUAAGCUUCCAGCACAUUCUUAUAUAUUUAGAUGUUUGACGCGAUCACUAUGUUGUGCAGCAUCUACAAAAAGGAGUUACUACCGCAAAAUCCAAGAAACAUUGACAAACUGGUUAUGGCAGGAUUUGCGAAAUGGUUCAAGAGUCAUGUAAGCUUUUGAAUUGCACUGUCAGUUUUUUUAGUAUAUUGAGUACAUAAGAUGAUCAGCUUGUCUAUUUUCUAACCAUAGGUUAAGAAGAUGCGGGAGGAUGGGCAUGCAGUUGAUGAUGCCAUUUACGCACUAGCAAUGGGUCAUGAUACUCGGGUAAGACAUUAUGAACCUUGCGUUGUUGGAGAUGUGCGCUACAACACCCUUGCACGCGAUGAAGGCAGGAAGACACAAAACAGUGCCAUCAUGAGCACAGAUACGUAUGACAGAGAGAAAACUGAAAUGUAUGCUAACAUAACAGACAUUGUUAAGUUGCAGUAUAUCUCCAGUUUUGAGGAUCAUCGGUGUGUGGUUCUGUUGUGCUGUCGUUGGUAUAACCUAUUUUCCAGGAUCGCAAAACCGAGAGCUGAUGAUUAUUUCAAAUCUAUCAAUGUCAAGGCGGCGUACCAGACCAACGAUCCUUUUAUUUUGGCAAAUCAAGCAUCACAGAUAUUUUUCUUAGAAGACACAUUUGCACGUAGCGAUGACUAGAGAGUAUUGCAAAGGUUUGAGCAGAGGAAUUCGUUUAAUGAAGGUGCACAACAAGAUGAUGCUUACACUGCUCCUGAUGUACAAGAUUCCACAGAUGUUCCUAAUAUCUUUGAGAACCAUCACGUCAAUGACGCUGGGGAAAAGAUUGCUGUUGACACACGAACACGUCACAUGUACCCUCGACGCCGGGGGUGAGCUGCUCGACGCCGGGGGUGAUGCACCGCAGCUCACGUCGAAGGAGACCCGACCGACAGCGCGAUACGCAAGACAGUCGGCGGGUGCUUUUGCAGACCCGAAACCCCGCGCACCUAGGAGGGACCCCGUCAGGGAUUGCGGCGGCUAUGGGCUGCCCUAGGUCGAUUCGCUCUCCCCUAGAGCCUCGGGAUUCACAGCUCUCAAACAUGAAGAACAGCGAAGAACGAGAGAGAAAAACGGUGGAGAGAUAAAAAGUAGACAGGAAAAAGUAGUAUAUUGAUUUGUUCGAUUGUGUGUUGUUCAAUCGGCCAUCACCCCCAACAUAUAUAAGAGGCGGAUAGACUUCCCGUACAAGUAAAGGAUUCAUCUAGGCUUUCCUUACAAGAAAAAUUACAUUAAUUCACGUCCUAGAGUCCUAGUUCUAUCCCAACUCGGAUUCAGUCUGAAUCUGGCCCAAACGCUGUCUUCCUUAUUGCGCGGGCCGCUGAGCUUGCAUACGAUCUCAGAUCAAGACGGCCCAAAUAUCAAACUUGUGCGGCUCGAUGAUACGAACAACUCUCAUGUUGAUCACUUCUCCAAAUAAGGUCACCUUGAAUACUUCAUGAAGUCAUCUUUACGUUCCAGUCGGAUUCGUUCUUGCAGCAGACUGGAUUAUCCGAGUCUCGUAGUGAAUUUGCAUGCCAUAUGCUAUCUCUGAUGAUGAUGACUCCAAAACCAAAUUUCAUCGUUUUACGUUACGCACAACUUCCGUGUUGAACACUUCUCCAUCCGAAAUCAUCUUGAUAAACUUUUGGACACAUGUUCAGUUUCACUCGGAUUUGAGCUCAUCCACUCGGAUAUUAGAGUCUUUCACUCGGAUGGUUCGACUGGACUUUUUCACUCGGAUGUUUAGAAUUUUUCACUCGGAUGACUAUAUUUUCACUCGGAAGACAAUCUUUCACUUGGAUGAUGACCACAUUUUCAGUUGGAAGACAAUCUUUCACUCGACCUUUUACUCGAUCGGUAGGUUUUCACUCGACCUUUUACUCGAUCGGUAGGUUUUUGACCUUUUACUCGAUGAUAGGUUUUCACUCGACCUUUUACUCGAUCAGUAGGUUUUCACCCGACCUUUUACUCGAUCGGUAGGUUUUCACUCGAAAGUUAAGCUUUCACUCGACCGGUAAGUUUUCACUCGGACGGCAAGCUUUUCACUCGACCGAAAACAUAGCCUGAUCUUGAUUUGUCUUCUCAGGUCCCAUACGACCUCGGAUUGAGACGAAUUAUAUAUGAAAAUCGAUCGGCUCGACGAGCCGAAACUUUCUCGUGUUGAAGUUUUUAUGAUUCAAGGAUUUCUUAAGGGCCGAAUUGCUCGCGCGGCCCAUCAGACAGGGUGUCUGGUACUCCGCGCCAUAUUUCCAUCCAGCUUCGGUCUGCAGUGUAUUGCCUCUAACUUUUGCAUAUGAACUCGGAUUGAGAUGAUUUAUAUAUCAAAAUCGAUUGCCUCGACGAGACGAAGACAAUUCCUUUAGAGUACUCCUUCAUCCGAGGUCGUCUUGAAGGCAUGAUCGGCCGAAAACCACUCAGAAUAUUGAAUUCUGCCACUCGGAAUAUAAUUUCGGCCCCUAAGAUGGAGUCGGAUGAUGAUAACCUAAACAUCAAAGUUUUUCCACUCGGUGAUGUGAAACUUUUCAUGCUGAAAACCCUUUCACUCGAAGCCAUCUUACUUUCUUUUAUGCCGUGCCAAAAUCUGAUGUCAACACAUGCCCCCCUGUUUUUCCGCAAAGCUUGCACGCCGAAAAAUAAUAUGCACGGUGUUUGUUCUAAGGACGAUGUCAACACUCCAUCGGCGAUUCAUUUUCUUAGGGCGAUAAUUAUGUAUUGACCAUGUUUGGGAUAAGGGUGAUAAUCAUAUAUCGGCCAUUGCCUAUUUAGGCUUCCUGCCACACACUCGGGUGGUACUUCUUCAAAUAUUUUCCGUUGAGAGCUCGGGGUAACAAUGCCCCUUGUAUUGAUUCCACCAAAUAUGAAUUUCCGGGAACAACUCUUGCAAUCCUAAAAGGACCUUCCCAACUUGGAGACCACUUCCCGAAUUUUCUAUCUCUUGAACCAAUCGGCAGAAUCACUUUCCAGACGAGAUCACCAACUUGAAAAUUCUUCAACUUAACUUUCUUAUUGUAAGCUCUUGCAACCCUCAACUUGUCUCUCUCUAUGGACUUCAAAGCAACCAAAUGUUUAUCGGCAACUUCAUCAAUAUUGUCCAUCAUCAAGUUAUAAAAUUCUACUGCCGAUAAAUCAUUUUGUUUGGCUAUUCUCAAAGCAUUCAAAUUUACUUCCACUGGUAAAACGGCUUCUUGACCAUAUACUAGCUCAUAUGGAGUUACCUUCGUAGCACCAUGCCUUGAAAUUCUAUGUGCCCAUAAAGCUUCAGACAACAACUCAUGCCAUCUCCUCGGAUUAUCCUCAAUCUUCUUUUUGAUGAGCUUGAUUAAAAUUUUAUUGCUAGACUCGGCUUGUCCAUUAGCUUGGGCAUAAUAUGGAGAGGAAUUGAGCAACUUUAUAUUAUAAGAUUCGGCAAACUCUCUGACUUGGUGUGACAUAAAAGAUGAACCUUGAUCUGUAGUUAACGUUUGAGGAAUACCGAAUCUAUGAAUAAUGUGUUCGGUUAUGAAUUGAAUUACCUCCGUAUGUGUCAUGUUCUUGAGAGGUACUGCUUCAGACCAUUUAGUGAAAUAAUAAGUUGCCACCAAUACGAACCGAUGCCCUUUUGAGGAAGACGGGUGGAUUUGUCCAAUGAAAUCUAAACCCCAACCUCUGAAAGGCCACGGUUUGAUAAUAGGAUGUAACAUAGCAGCAGGAGCCAAUUGAAUAUCACCAAACUUUUGACAAGCUUCACACCCUUUAUAAUAUCUGAAGCAAUCAUUAAUCAUAGUCGGCCAAUAAAACCCAGCACGUCGCAAUAACCAUUUCAUUUUGGGAGCCGACUGGUGAGUGCCACAAAUAUCUUCAUGUACUUCUCCCAUAGCAACUCUUGCCUGGUCCUCAUCCAAACACUUUAGAAGAACAUCAUCGACUGUUCGGCGAUAAAGACCAUCAUCUCUCAUUGUAUACUUGAAAGCCAUACGCCGAACAGCCCUGUCCACCCUUUCACUCGGAUUGCACAAGUAAUCAACAAUGGGCUUUCUCCAGUCGGAAUUAUCACCUGCACUAGAUUUUUUGUUAAUGGCCGAAUUAGUGGGUUCAGGUUCGGCCUCUCCCAUAUUGGCAAGACAAGACAUCGGUCUUUGAGAGAUAUGAAACAUGCCAUGAUCAACAUGAUAUCCAGAUGCUUGCUGUGCCAACUCAUUUGCUUUCCAGUUGUCAUGUCUAGAUAUAUGUGCAAUGCUAAAACAAUCCAAAGUAGAAAUUAUAUCUAGACAUUUAUCAAAAUAAACAUUAAGUGAUUCAUCAAAACACUGAAAGACUCUGGAUAUUUGUUGCACCACUAGUAACGAAUCACCAUAAGCCUCAAUAUGUGUAACACCUAUAGCAAGUAUCAUCUCUAGACCGAAUAACAAUGCUUCAUAUUCGGCUUGAUUGUUUGUGCAAAAAUAUUCUAAGCGGCAUGAGGCUUCAAAAACAGCACCAUGAGGAGAUAUAUAAACAAUACCAACACCUUGGCCAUUGCUACAAACUGAACCAUCAAAGUACAAUCUCCAUGGCACUAAUGAAACAAGGUUCAUAUCAACAUCAUGCUUGUCAUUAAUCCGAUGUUUAACAAUGAAAUAGCAACAAUUUGGCCUUUCAAGGAUUUUAGAGAUUCAUAAGCCAAAUCAUACUCAAUCAAAGCAUAAGCCCACUUGCCAAUUCUACCACUAAGAAUUGGCCUAUGCAACAUGUACUUAAUGACAUCGGUUUGACAAGCUACUACACAAGCACUCGGCACUAGGUAAUGUCUCAAUUUUGUGCAAGCGUAAUAUAAGUAUAGACAUAGUUUUUCAAUAAAUGUAUACCUUGUCUCGGCGUCCAAUAAACGUCUGCUCAAAUAUGUAAUGGCAUGCUCUUUUCCUUCGGUAUCUUGGGUCAAAACAGCACCAAUAACACCUUCCUCUACUGUGAUAUAAAGUUUAAAAGGCUCUCUAUGCUUGGGUGCUUUCAUCACCGGAGGAGCGCACAAAUAAUUCUUGAUCAUAUCAAAGGCUUCUUGCUAUUUUCCCCCCAAGUGAAAUCAACAUCAUUCUUUAACCGAAGGAUAGGAGUAAAUGCAUCAACUUUCCCUAACAGAUUAUCUAUGAACCUUCUCAAAUAAUUGACCUUGCCAAGGAACUUUUGCAUAUCUCUCUUGCAUGUUGGAGCCUCCACUUUCUGUAUGGCCUCUAUCUUUUUGGGAUCGAUUUCAAUGCCAUCUUCAUGAAUAAUGAAACCCAAAAAUUUGCCAGCUGACACGCCGAAUGCACACUUCAAAGGAUUCAUCUUCAGUCCAUACUUUUUCAUUCUUUCAAAAGCUAAAUGCAAAUCGGUCAAGUGAGAUUCAAAAGCAUCCGAUUUGACAACAAUAUCAUCAAUAUAAACUUCAAGUAUGAUACCGAGUAAAUCAUGAAAAAUCAAAUUCAUAGCCCUUUGAUAUGUGGCCCCAGCAUUUUUCAAUCUGAAUGUCAUCACUGUCCACUCGAAUAAACCAAGGAAACCAGGACAUCGGAAAGCUGUUUUGUACAUGUCCUCUUCGGCCAUAAAAUUUUGAUUGUAUCCGGCAUUACCAUCUAGAAAGCUAAUAACCUUAUGUCCAGAAGCAUCAUUAAUAAGCAUAUCGGCUAUUGGCAUGGGAUACUCAUCUUUGGGUGUAGCCCUAUUCAAAUCUCUGAAGUCAAUGCACACCCUCAACUUGCCGGAUCCCUUCUUCUCCACUGGGACAAUGUUAGAAAUCCACUUGGCACACCUGCAAGGUCGAAUGAAAUUAGCUUCAAGCAGUCGACCGAUCUCUUCCUUGAUCCGGUCAUAUGUUUUCGGAUUAAACUUUCUGGCCGACUGUUUAUAAGGUCUAAAACCGGCCUUUAUAGGCAACCGAUGCUCCACUAGCUCUCGGCUCAACCCUGGCAUCUCAUGAUAUUCCCAUGCAAAGCAACAAACAUAUUCUUUCAAUAGCUCGAUUAAUUUAGCCUUACAAUCGGCUUUCAAAUUUUUGUUUAUAAAUGUCAGUCGAGUAACUGAACCAUCUCCAAUAUCUAUCUCUUCUAAUGGAUCAGCCGAUGUAAAACCUUGUCCAAGUUUAUCCAUGUCACCCAACUCCUCUAUAGACUCAUACAUAUCGUCCUUACUAGACCGAUAUUUUACGAGACGUUUUUGUAACCACUCGGAAUUAGGAUCCAUUUAAACAUAUCAUACCUUGGAGCCGAUUGCAUUCAGUCGGCUUUAAAGACACGGGCACAAAACCAUUCUUGGUCGCGCUGAGAAAAUCAAACUCUGAUAAGUCACGUCCCAUCAAGCAAGUAGCAUUGGGAUGUUGCCAAUCCACUGAUGCAUCGGCCAAAGCAACACAUGCCGAGUUAUCCGCAUGAAUGACUUCCACUUCAUCAUCAACCCACUGAAUCAAAAACCGGUGCAUAGUGGAUGGCACGCACUGGUUUGCAUGAACCCAAUCACGGCCUAGUAUAACGUUGUAGUUACCUUGCACCUCAGCGACAAAGAAUGCAGUAGCCAAAGUUUUGCUUCCAACUGUAAGCUCCACAUACAUUAUACCUUUGGCUUCAGUUUUCUCUUUGCCUUCAAACCCGUUGAGCACCAUAUUGGUCUUGAUCAAUUCUUCAUCAGGCAAACCCAAUUUCUUGAAGACCGAAUAGGGCAUAAGAUUUACCAUAGCACCUCCAUCCACAAGCAUCCGAGUGAGCGGCGACCCAUUGAUAUGACCUCUGAGAUACAACGGUUUCAGAUGCGUUACUGGGUCUUUUGGCUUCUCGAAUAUUGCAUUUUUAGGGCCAAAAUCCAGCUGAGCCACCUCCCCUUCCUCAUCUACAGCACAAAACUCAGCAGGUAAGUAAUACACCAUAUUGAUAUCCAUACCUUCAUGAACCGGCGUAGACUCAUAGUCCAACAUAUCAACCUCUUCUUCAAGUGGAUCGACCGAUUCUGAAAUCUGGCCGAGUGGAGGAGAAGUAAGAAGUGUCGCAGACGAUGUAAUAGCCGUUACAUCGUCCUCCUUGGGUGGCGUAGGUACUUCUGUGAUAGAUGUAGAAGCUGAUGUAUCUUGUAUUUGUUUAGGCCUCCACACUUGUUUUGCUAGAACCAUGGGCCGAGUGUCAUUGAACAACUUAUCCCUUUGCUUCUCGGCCUCUUGCUCUGCCAUCUCUUGACUCCUUAACCUCUGUAGUUUCCUCUUCUGUGUCUUUGUUAGCCCUGGAGGACACCACUUUGGCUAAGUAUAUUUAGCAUCUUUCACCUUUACUUGGCUAGUGCUUGCUUCAUGGUCAUUAAGCAAGUGCUUUGGCGCGAUAGCAAGUAUCGGCUCAGUUGAGUGAUUAUGCACAGUCGGCUGCUGUAUGGGGGAAUGUUUCGGUGCCCAAGAUAAGUGAGUCGACAUCCACUUUCUCCUUGCCUUUUCCCGACUCAACUGCUGCAACACUUGGUGACUUAACAUGCCAUUCUUUUCGACUUUCCAGAUGCAUGAAAUUUCCACUCGGGCGCACCUUUUUACUCGGAUGGAAUCCACUCGGAUGGACGUAACUCUGAUGGAAUCUACCCAUCCAUAUUUUUUCAUUUGGAUAGCUUCCACCUGGGUGCAUUCUUACACUAGGAUAGUUUCCACUCGGUCGCAUAUUUUGACCAGCCGACUGAUAGUCGCCAAUGUUCAGUCGGCCAUUAUAUGAGUAUUCAAGUCGGUCCCAAACAGUUUGCCUCUGCUCUUCUGGAAACAGUGCCUUUGGUCCACUCGGUUUUGCAUACCGACUGAACAUAUCAUCUGAUGGUGACCUUGGUCGCUUCAAGUGUGAUGGCCGGUUAGAGCUGGGACCAGCCGACUGAUUAGCAUAUUUGGACAGCAACAUAUCAAAAGUUGGCUUGAUCCGCUUGCGUUGCACUUUAGCUUCACUCCUCUUCCAUUUGCCAACUUCUGGACUCUUGGGCUUGACAAAUUUAACUCGAGUGUCUUGCUGCACAUGUGUUUUCCCCCCGAGUGUAGGAUUCUUGAUGGUGAUCUUGAUCACUUCCUUGCCACCGGGUUGCUUAUCAAGCACAACAUGUCUCCCCAAGACCUUGUCACCCUCCUUGUCUUUCCUGGGCUCACCAACAAUGACAUUAGCUUUAUUAGCGGAUUCGGCUACCUCCGGCCGAAUGAGCAGCUUCUUCCCUUCUAAAUCCAUGGUGUUCAUUGGAUAGGGCUGUUUAUCAACUUGCAUCUCAGAAAAGUUCAAUCGUCCAUCAUUAAUGGCCGAUUGUAUCUGUCGUCGAAAAACAUUGCAAUCGUUAGUAGCAUGAGAAAAAGAAUUAUGAUACUUGCAAUAAGCACGCCGUUUCAGCUCUUCAAACGGCGGUGAAGUAUGAGAUAUUCUAAUAAUCUUAGCCUGCAGCAAAGCAUCAAAUAUUCUAUCACACUUAGCAACGUUAAAAGUAAACUUCAUCUCUUCAUCACGAUUCUUAUGAAUCGGUUUCAGAUCAUUGCAAGUAAAGGGUUUGGCCUUAGAUGGCCAAACAAAUUCAGUAGCAAAAACUUCACCCUCAUCGUCCGAGUGAUCACUGUCAUAUUCCACCAUAUUCAUCUUUGGACGAUCAGCUUUGUAUCUAUGCACUUCUUUGAGAUCUUUGCUUCGACUUUCCUGAGCCAAAGCCCUUUGUAAGACUUGGUUAAUAUUUAAGAACUCAUAGCCUUCUAGUUUUUCUCUAAUGGGAGUUCUCAAACCACUCAACACUAGGUCUACCAAGUCUCUCUCGGUUAUCACCAAACUAAAACAUCGGUUUUUUGUUUCUCUGAAUCUUUUGACGUAAUCGGAGACCGAUUCAUCAUGCUUCUGUUUAACCGAUGUUAGAUGUGAAAACUUGAGUUCAUUGUCGCCGCUGUAAAAGUGAUCAUGAAAUUUCUGCUCUAGCUGCAACCAAACUCGAAUGGAACCAUGUGGUAAAGAAGAAAACCAUGAAAAUGCGGUACCAGUUAAUGAUAAAGGAAACAAAUGCACUUUCAGCUCGUUUAGUGAGCCUGCUUCACCUAAUUGUGCCAAGUAUUGACUAACAUGCUCCCAUGUGGUUUUUGUGCCCUCUCCAUUGAACUUAACAAAAUCUGGAAUUUUAUAUCCUGGAGGGCACUAGAUGGCAUCAAAGUACUCGGGGUACGGCUUUUGGUAAAUCCGAUUCCGAGGUAACUCAAGCCCAAAAUUCUCUCGAAGCAUCUUAGCCAUCUCCUCUCUAAGAUUAGCUAGACCAUCAUCCAUAGUGGACGAUGAAACUUGUGGCAGUGGCAUAGGAGGGGUAGGACUACUAGUUGUAGGCAGGAACUGUGGCAUGUAUGUCGACCCAUAAUUUGCUAGUGGUCGAGUGGUUGUAGCUGUAGGUAAGGUUGGGUUCGGCAUUGCCACCGAACCUGGCAUGCUCAUAAUAGGAUUAAUGGGUGCAGCCACAUUCUGAUUUGUUUGGGUAGGAUAAUAAGUCAUCGGCACGGGAGGCGCCGAUGAGAUAGGUAAAGCCAGAUUAGGGUUUUGCACACUAGCAGCUACACCAUCAUUACCACUAGUCGAUUGAGAUGUAUUCUUCUGAGCAUUAGUAUUUUCUAUGAAAGUUUGAUAGACUAGAUUGUUACCAUCAGCAAUACGACUUUCAGUCCCAGCCCACUGCUCAGGAGAAAAGGCAGUACUUACAGAGGGUUUAACCUGCUCGGCUUGAAGAGGAGGGAACUUGAUUUCUUCAAUCAGAGUGAUGUUGCCUUGGCGAUCCUUCUUGAACUUUGCAAGGAACUCCUGCAAGUCCUUCUCCUCAUGCGCCUUCUUGUACUCCUCAUAGACUUGGCGAUGAUCGACCGAUAUCUCAUCAAGACUGGGCUUAAUGAUGUUAUCGGCGUCUACCUCAGAUGGCUUGGGAAGAUCGGACAUGGUGGAUGAUGAUGAUUGAUCUUCGAUCCCCAGCGGAGUCACCAAAAAGUGUGUUGACAAACGAACACGUCACAUGUACCCUCGACGCCGGGGGUAAUGCACCGCAGCUCACGUCAAAGGAGACCCGACCGACAGUGCGAUACGCAAGACAGUCGGCGGGUGCUUUUGCAGACCCGAAACCCCGCGCACCUGGGAGGGACCCCAUCAGGGAUUGCAGCGGCUAUGGGCUGCCCUAGGUCGAUUCGCUCGCCCCUAGAGCCUCGGGAUUCGCAGCUCUCAAACACGAAGAACAACGAAGAACGAGAGAGAAAAACGGUGGAGAGAUAAAAAGUAGACAGGAAAAAGUAGUAUAUUGAUUUGUUCGAUUGUGUGUUGUUCAAUCGGCCAUCACCCCCAACAUAUAUAAGAGGCGGUUGGACUUCCCGUACAAGUAAAGGAUUCAUCUAGGCUUUCCUUACAAGAAAAAUUACAUCAAUUAACGUCCUAGAGUCCUAGUUCUAUUCCAACUCGGAUUCAGUCUGAAUCUGGCCCAAACGCUGUCUUCCUUAUUGCGCGGGCCGCUGAGCUUGCAUACGAUCUCAGAUCAAGACGGCCCAAAUAUCAAACUUGUGCGCCUCGAUGAUACGAACAACUCUCAUGUUGAUCACUUCUCCAAAUAAGGUCACCUUGAAUACUUCACGAAGCCAUCUUUACAUUCCAGUCGAAUUCGUUCUUGCAGCAGACUGGAUUAUCCGAGUCUCGUAGUGAAUUUGCAUGCCAUAUGCUAUCUCUGAUGAUGAUGACUCCAAAACCAAAUAUUCAUCGUUUUUACGAUACGCACAACUUCCGUAUUGAACACUUCUCCAUACGAAAUCAUCUUGAUAAACUUUUGGGCACAUGUUCAGUUUCACUCGGAUUUGAGCUCAUCCACUCGGAUAUUAGAGUCUUUCACUCGGAUGGUUCGAUUGGACUUUUUCACUUGGAUGUUUAGAAUUUUUCACUCGGAUGACUAUAUUUUCACUCGGAAGACAAUCUUUCACUUGGAUGAUGACCACAUUUUCAGUCGUAAGACAAUCUUUUACUCGAUCGAUAAGUUUUCACUUGACCUUUUACUCGAUCGGUAGGUUUUCACUCGACCUUUUACUCGAUCGGUUGGUUUUUGACCUUUUACUUGAUGAUAGGUUUUCACUCGACCUUUUACUCGAUCGGUAGGUUUUCACCCGACCUUUUACUCGAUCGGUAGGUUUUCACUCGAAAGUUAAGCUUUCACUCGACCGGUAAGUUUUCACUCGGACGGCAAGCUUUUCACUCGACCGAAAACAUAGCCUGAUCUUGAUUUGUCUUCUCAGGUCCCAUACAACCUCGGAUUGAGACGAAUUAUAUAUGAAAAUCGAUUGGCUCGACCAGCUGAAACUUUCUCGUGUUGAAGUUUUUCUGAUUCAAGGACUUCUUAAGGGCCGAAUUGCUCGCGCGACCCAUCAGACAGGGUGUGUGGUACUCCGCGCCAUAUUUCCAUCCAGCUUCGGUCUGCAGUGUAUUACCUCUAACUUUUGCAUAUGAACUCGGAUUGAGAUGAUUUAUAUAUCAAAAUCAAUUGCCUCGACGAGACGAAGACAAUUCCUUUAGAGUACUCCUUCAUCCGAGGUCGUCUUGAAGGCAUGAUCGGCCGAAAACCACUCGGAAUAUUGAAUUCUGCCACUCGGAAUAUAAUUUCGGCCCCUAAGAUGGAGUCGGACGAUGAUAACCUAAACAUCAAAGUUGGUCCACUCGGUGAUGUGAAACUUUUCAUGCUGAAAACCCUUUCACUCGAAGCCAUCUUACUUUCUUUUAUGCCGUGCCAAAAUCUGAUGUCAACAAUUGCCUGUCGUGUUGUGGACAUACAAGAGUUGAUCAAGAAGAAGCCAACGUUCGAGGACAUUGAGGAUGAAGAAGAAGAUGACACUCUGGGGAAUUACGAUUCAUACUGAUACACAUGGCGAAGAUGUUGACGCUGCUGCUGCGGAUGAUGAUUAGAUUGCUUUUGUCGUAUUUGCCUGUCAGAAGAUGUUUUUUUAUCUACUAUGUGAAAUUGUGUUUGCUAUGACAACUGAAACCUAAUGAACAUGUUGUUUAGAGCAUCUCCAAUAGAUGGUCCAAAUUUUGACGGUCCAAAACCGGAGAUGUAAAUUUUGGACAGUCAAAAAGUGCGUUUUGGAGCUCCCAAAAAAGGCCAACUGCAACAGAUGGUCCAAAUUCAUGGUCCAAAAGAGCAACUCCAAUAGAUGGUCCAAAUUCAUGGUCUAAAACCUGUGGGGAAUUCCAUCAAACACCUUGUGCGCGCAGUGGAAGAAGAUGGCCGCCGGUUGGAUUGGCUGCUGCUGACGACUGCGGACGGCUGCGGUCGGCUCCGGACAGCGGCGGUGAUAAGAAAUGAGGUAGGAGGCCGACCAAGAGGAGCUCGACGGGCGGCGAAGACUAGUUCGGCAGCCGGGCGGAGGGCGGUGGGGAGGCGGUCGUGCGACCAUCGCAACAGCCGUGGACAGGCUCACGGCCAACAGGAGGAUGUCGGUGGCAACCUAAAAGACCCAGCGGAGGCCUACCGCGGCAGCCGGACCGCCAGAGGGGCCGAAUCCCGCGCCGGCUACCACUCGAUUCGGCAGCGUCUGGGCGGCGGCGGGGAGGCGACGGGGGUGACGGGGGUGGAGGGCGGCGGUGGCGGAGGGGAUGUGGGGUGGUGGCGGCACCGACAACAAGGUUUUGGGCGGUCGCGGCGGUGGAUUCCGGCCGGCUGUUCUUCGGGCAAGCGGACGGGCGCGGGCGGGAACGGAAAUGAAGUGGCGGUUGGGCGUUCGCGGGCGGCGGCUGGUUUUGGACCAGAUGCAUGUCGUGAUGUAUAUUUGCAUCGCGAGGUGUUGCAUUUUACAUCACGAGGAGGCCGCGGUCCAAUUUUUUUGCAUAUGGACCGUCUGUUGGAGCAGCGUUUUCUGCCCCAGACGGUCCAAAAGUUAGGUAUUUUUACAUUUCGACCGUCUAUUGGAGAUGCUCUUAGUAUUUUGCUGUGAGAACUUCACUUGUUAUGUAUGUUCAUUUGUGUUUGGUGAUUGUAUGACGACUAAAACAUGAUGACAUUGUUGUUUAGUUGUACUCAUAUUUGGCUGUGAAACUUGAAUUUGAUGACAUAGUUUGCUGUUGGACUACAAUUUGCUCGACAUCUUUGAAUGGGAACAAAGCUGACCCGACAGGGCCUCUGCUAAUUUAUUUAUUUAUUACUAAAAGGGCAUAUGCUAUUUAUUUAUUUAUGAGCAAAAGGGGAUACCGCCCGAUUUCUGUUAAUAGAAAUCAUUAGAUGUUCACAACACUGCGCCCAGCCUGCUACACAGGUUUCAUUCAUUACUAGUUUCAGCAAAGUGCUCAUGCCAUAGCCACUGAAUACAUCACGAGUGCUACCUACACUGCAAAUAAAGAGACAAUCAUCCUACAGAGCACAUCGAUUUUGCCCAUUAUCUUCACAAGCUCUUUCAUCUCCUCAUUGUUGUCAAGGCCGUUCAGCAGCUGUUGCUUGGCCAUGAUCAGAGGAACUGCAUCUUUAACCUUCUUCUCUGCAUCUUCCUCUUCUGCCGUUCCUUCAGUUACUUGUCCAACACCCCAACCUGCUGGUAUUGGGAUUCACCGGCUAACCAAAUAAUCAGCAUACUUGUGUUCCCCCACAUCAGCAACUUCCCAGAAAUACAAAUCACACGAACCUUCCCUUUUCUACACGAAUCAAAUUGGAAGAUCAUCAACCAAACUAUUAAAAAUAUCAACAACUGAAAGCAGCAGAACAACACUUAAACAUAUUAUUACCCCAUGAUUCGGGCAUUUGUAGAAGACUCGGCCAGGGUUGAGGAUUGUGGUUGAGACGCGACGGAUGACUCUGCGUGAUUUGCAGCAGUGGCACCACACCAACGGCAGCGGGUUGCGAUGAGCAACCGGCUACGGUGCGUGUGCCGGUUUGGGUGUGAUGAGACCCACAGGCGAUGGUACGGGUGGCGACUUGGCGCAUAUCUGAUUGUUGCCUGCUAAAGAGCAGGUGGACGAGCAGCCAGCGGACAUGGUUGUUGCGGCCAGAGCUUCUGAUGCUAGGCAGAGUAAGUAAAGAAGAGGAGAAGCGAACGUUGGAUAUGUUAGUUUCAUUACUUGCAGAGUAGCAUAGCACCAUAUAUAGUCAUAGUCUAGGUUUGGAUUCGAACCAGCUACAGGAGCAUGUCUCUCUUUUUUCUAAAACUCAGCAACGUCUCUUUACUGGUACACUAGCUUGUUCUGUACGCCUUCUCAAGUCUUUGAUUUUCUUUCUUUUUUUGCGAGGAAGGAAGGAGGAAAAAAUUGAGAUUUCCUGGGACUCGAACCCAAGACCUCUCGGUUGAAAACCAAGGGUGCUAGUCACUUAUGUGGCGAAUGUUCCCUCGGAGGAGGACGACAGACGAACGCAUUUUCCUCGCAGUUUUAGUUGUGACGCAAGAUCGAAUGGUCACAGUUUCGGGAAUGUUAUCAGGCGAACGAGCCCAGUUUUUCUUUUCUUCCUAUAUAUAAAAAAGUAUGCUACUUGGUGUCAGCUUAGUCAACAAAUGAUUGUGCCAACCUUGACCGUUGGAUUGACAUUCAACGUCUGGCGUGUUUCUUCAGUCUCUUCUUCCUCCAGCCGCCAAAGCCAAACCAGCACCGGCUGGACCGCCUGCCUGCCUCCCAUGGCUGGUUGUGCUACUGCGCUGAUACGUCUCCGUCGUAUCUAUAAUUUUUGAUUGUUCCAUGCCAAUAUUCUACAACUUCCAUAUACCACCUGCUCCCGCCUCCCAGGGCUGGCUCUGUUGCCGCACGCAUCGUGGCCACAUCGCACCCUAAAACUCUGCGCCUCUUCCCCGGCUCCUAUUCGGUCCCGUCUGAGGCCUCACCAUCGUCCUCUGACUUGGUUCGCUCGCCGCGGCGCUGCCCUCCGGUGUUGUCAACAUGGUCAACAACGGAGAGGAAUAAGGAGAUGACUGCACAUGGUGAGGAUGACAGUAGGGACCCAGCAGCACGCACAAUAAUUUUGUUUUUUCAGGACGGAGAAGGGUAUCAACUGGGUUGUUCGGGAGCUAUGGCCCGUCUAGUACAUGACCAACCCAGUUUUUUUUCCUUUCUAAAAAUGGCUAGCCCAGCUAUUUUGUUUUUCGCAGAAUAACCAACGUAGGCCUACUUGUUUUUCUACGCCCUGCUGGGCCGGAAAUCUUUCAAGACGAGGAGGGAUGCAUUUUGCCCAGAAAAUGGGCUAUAAGUAAUAAGAAAUGGGCUAUAAGUAAUAUUAAAUGGGCUGUAAAAUGAAAAAAUACGCCAAACAGACAAUUAGUUCCAAAAUACUUUUUCCUUUCAGAUUUUGAUAUUUUGGAUUUCAUUGUUUUUGUGCUCGUAAAAUUUUAUUGCAUUUAAAUUAAGGUAUGUUUAGUUUUUAAAUUAAUUUGAAUCUGGCUAGAAAUUUCGAGCUGUAUGCUGUUUGGGACAGAUUUGGAGGCUGACUUGUGGGUCUACUAGGUUGACGUGUACGAAAGGCUUUGUCAACCUAGUCCACAAACGAUUCUAGUAGUAGUGACCGCUCGAUGUUAAUCCAACGGCCGUGUUGCUUCUUCAAUAUCUGAUCUUCUUGCUCCAGCCGCCCAAACCAGCGCCGGUGGGACUACCUGCUCCCGCCUCCCGUGGUUGGCUAUGCUGCCGCACAGGCCGCACCGCCCCACCCUACUGAAGGAAAUAUGCCCUAGAGGCAAUAAUAAAGUUAUUAUUUAUUUCCUUAUAUCAUGAUAAAUGUUUAUUAUUCAUGCUAGAAUUGUAUUAACCGGAAACAUAAUACAUGUGUGAAUAUAUAGACAAACAGAGUGUCACUAGUAUGCCUCUACUUGACUAGCUUGUUAAUCAAAGAUGGUUAUGUUUCCUAACCAUGAACAAGGAGUUGUUAUUUGAUUAACAAGAUCACAUCAUUAGUUGAAUGAUCUGAUUGACAUGACCCAUUCCGUUAGCUUAGCACCCGAUCGUUUAGUAUGUUGCUAUUGCUUCCUUCAUGACUUAUACAUGUUCCUAUGACUAUGAGAUUAUGCAACUCCCGUUUACCGGAGGAACACUUUCUGUGCUACCAAACGUCACAACGUAACUGGGUGAUUAUAAAGGUGCUCUACAGGUGUCUCCAAAGGUACUUGUUGAGUUGGCAUAUUUCGAGAUUAGGAUUUGUCACUCUGAAUGUCCGAGAGGUAUCUCUGUGUAACACCCUCGAUGCGGCUAUAUCUCCCACGUGUCGAAGCACGACUUAGAGGCAUAACCGCAUUGAAAGCAAUGUCGCAAGUGAGGUAAUCUUCACACAACCCAUGUAAUACAUAAGGGAAAGAGAUACAUAGCUGGCUUACAGUCGCCACUUCACACAAUACAUAAAUAAACAUCCAUCAUCCAGAAUACACUCAAGGUCCGGCUACGGAACCAAAAUAAAAGAAGACUACCCCAAAAGCUACAUAGAUCCCCGAUCAUCCCAACUGGGCUCCACUACUGAUCGUCUAGAAAUGAAACAUAGUAACGACCACGGUCCUCGUCAAACUCCCACUUGAGCUCGAUUGCGCCACUUGCGCUGGUAUCAUCGGUACCUGCAUCUGUUUUGGUAGAAUCUGUGAGUCACGGGGACUCAGCAAUCUCACACCCGCGAGAUCAAGACUAUUUAAGCUUAUAGGUAGGACAUAGUGGUGAGGUGGAGCUACAGCAAGCGACUAGCAUAUAGGGUGGCUACAUUCGCAAAAGAGAGCGAGAAGAGAAGCAAGGCACAGUCGUGAAGCUAGUAGUGAUCAAGAAGUGAUCCUAGAGCAACCUACGCCAAACAUAACUCCAACACCGUGUUCACUUCCCGGACUCCGCCGAGAAGAGACCAUCACGGUUACACACACGGUUGAUGUAUUUUAAUUAAGGUCAACUUCAGGUUUUCUACAACCGGACAUUAACAAAUUCCCAUCUGCCUCAUAACCGCGGGCACGGCUUUCAAAAGAUAGUACCCUGCAGGGGUGUCCCAACUUAACCCAUCAUAAGCUCUCACGGUCAACGAAGGAUAAACCUUCUCCCGGGAAGACCCGAUCAGUCUCGGAAUCCCGGUUCGCAUGACAUUUCGACAAUGGUAAAACAAGACCAGCAAAGCCUCCCGAAUGUGCCGACAAAUCCCGAUAGGAGCUGCACAUAUCUCGUUCUCAGGGCACACCGGAUGGGCAAGACGUCGGGUUGGUAUAGACCCUGGUUGCCCAGGGGACGCCGGACAUCGCCCAGGUUGGACCAGCAUUCGAAGGAACACCGGCCCGGGGGGGGGGGGUAAAUAAAGAUGACCCUCGGGCUCGCGAAAACCCAAGGGAAAAAGGCUUAGGUGGCAAAUGGUAAAACCAAGGUUGGGCCUUGCUGGAGGAGUUUUAUUCAAAGCGAACUGUCAUGGGGGUCCCAUAAAUCACCCAACCGCGUAAGGAAUGCAAAAUCAAGGAACAUAACACCGGUAUGACGGAAACUAGGGCGGCAAGAGUGGAACAAGACACCAGGCAUAAGGCCGAGCCUUCCACCCUUUACCAAGUAUAUAAGGUGCAUUAAAUAAACAGGAGAUAUUGUGAUAUCCCAGAGUAUCUGUGUUCCAACAAGGAACAACCUUCAUCUUCACCUGCAAAUAGCAACGCUAUAAGAGGGGCUGAGCAAAAGCGGUAACAUAGCCAAACAACGGUUUGCUAGGAAAGGAUGGUUAGAGGUUUGACAUGGCAAUAUGGGUGGCAUGAUAUAGCAAGUGGUAGGUAACGUAGCAUAGGCAUGGCAAAAGAGCGAGCAUCUAGCAAGCAAAGAUAGAAGUGAUAUCGAAGGUAUGGUCAUCUUGCCUGCAAGGUUCUCAGAGUUGUCGAAGGCUUGAUCCUCGUAGGCGUUCUCAACAGGUUCCUCGUUCACGUACUCGUCUCCCGGCUCUACCCAAAGCAAGAACACAAGCAAUGGAACCACAAUCAAACAUGGAGCAAUGCACAAGCAAUAUGAUGCAAUACAUCACAUGCUAUGCGAGAUGUGAUAUGCAAUGCAUAUGUGGGCUCCGGAAGGAAAAUGAUGAACAAGGCAUCAACUUGGCAAACCAAGUAUGCCGCUGGAAAGAUGAGAUGAUUUCGGUUGAAAUCGAUAUAAAGAUCACCGGAAUCGGAUGCACGGUUUGCAAAUGGCAAGCAAAACAAUAAUGGCACAAAUCUGCGAUUAACAGCAUGAUGCUACUUAGCAUGCAACAAGAAACUAUGCUACAGCACCCCAACAUACAAACAAAGCAUAUGGCAGUGAUCUACAGGAGAUGCUUAACAAAAGAGGAACACUGAGCUACGGCUAAAUCACAUCAUAACAGGCUCAAUCAAGCAUGGUGAAAGUGCAAAAAAAUCAGGUUCACAGACUUAGUGAAACCACUAAUAUGCCAGAAAUUAACAUCAGGAAGGCAUGUUUAGAGCAAGCAAGCAACAAGCUACAUGAACUUAUAAUAGCAAAACAAGACAUGGCAGGAAUCUACUCAAAGCAUAGAUCAAAAGUCUCUUACUGACCAUAAGCCAAAAAAGGACAAUAAGAAAUGAUGGCACCCAUGUAAACAUAGCAAGUUUCAUUACAGAUCUAAGACUUAGCAGAAAAACUGGACAUGGCAAAAAUAGAUAACAAGUAGGCAUGUUCGUGAGCUCGAUGCACUCACUACAGAGCAUCUUAUGAUAAACUAAGCAUACACCCAUCAAGAAGACACGGUAUAGAAGCUAUACAUGGCAAGAACAACAUCAUAUCAUACAAGGAUCAACUACAACAACCUUGUAGAAAUUGAAUAUCAUGUAAACAAUCUGCCAGGAAACAUUUUGUAGCAAAAGUAGAGCACGAAAAUGACAUGCUAGACUACUCCAUAAAUGCCAACAAAGGCAUGGAUGGAUAGAGCACAUCCAUAUGUUCAAAACACCCUUACUGAUCAUGCUCAAAAUGGGCAUAGAUCUCUCUGUAACAACAUGAACACAUGGCAUAAAAAUAACAGCAGGACAUGACUUAGUGAAAUUACCAAGUUCCUGAAAUCAGCAACAUUAUCAUCCCUAGUUUUCAUGCUUGUGCUAGUCACCACAGAGAUCACAAAAAUACAUGGCAUACACCCCUGUAAAGCUGGCAUGGCAUAGAUCAAAACAUAUGUAGGGCUCAAGUACAUAAGAUGCACACAUUAAUCAUGGCAAAAAUGACAAAAGUGCAUGUUCUGUUAAGAAACAAAAACUAACAUCACAUAGCCCUCUUCCAACAGCAUUUCGGGCAUCAAGAUGAGCUCAAAUGAAAAUGGUGCAGUGAGAUGAAAUGAUGUACUCAUCGAGACGAACAGAACGGCGGCGAGGCGGAGGCGCGACGGCAGAACGGCGGCGAGGCGGAGGCGGUCGGCGGCGGCGGCGGGCCGCGGGAGCGGGNNNNNNNNNNNNNNNNNNNNNNNNNNNNNNNNNNNNNNNNNNNNNNNNNNNNNNNNNNNNNNNNNNNNNNNNNNNNNNNNNNNNNNNNNNNNNNNNNNNNNNNNNNNNNNNNNNNNNNNNNNNNNNNNNNNNNNNNNNNNNNNNNNNNNNNNNNNNNNNNNNNNNNNNNNNNNNNNNNNNNNNNNNNNNNNNNNNNNNNNNNNNNNNNNNNNNNNNNNNNNNNNNNNNNNNNNNNNNNNNNNNNNNNNNNNNNNNNNNNNNNNNNNNNNNNNNNNNNNNNNNNNNNNNNNNNNNNNNNNNNNNNNNNNNNNNNNNNNNNNNNNNNNNNNNNNNNNNNNNNNNNNNNNNNNNNNNNNNNNNNNNNNNNNNNNNNNNNNNNNNNNNNNNNNNNNNNNNNNNNNNNNNNNNNNNNNNNNNNNNNNNNNNNNNNNNNNNNNNNNNNNNNNNNNNNNNNNNNNNNNNNNNNNNNNNNNNNNNNNNNNNNNNNNNNNNNNNNNNNNNNNNNNNNNNNNNNNNNNNNNNNNNNNNNNNNNNNNNNNNNNNNNNNNNNNNNNGAUGUGGGUGCGGGCUGCCCACGUGGCAGCCCCUGGUUGGCUGCGGGCGCGGCGGCGGAUGCGUCCGGCGCCGUCCGGACGGGUCCGGCGGCGGGGAGAGGAGCGGGGCUAGGGUUAGGGUGGAAAUGAUCCGGAAUUUCGGGAGGAGGGGUGUUUUUAUAGGUAGAGGGAGCUAGGAGGCUCCAAAUGGAGUGCGGUUUUCGCCCAUCCGAUCGUGAUCCGACGACGAAGAGCAUGGAAGUGACUUAGAUGAGUUAUUGGUCUGUUUUGGAGGGGUGUUGGGCUGCAACCCAAAAGAGGCCUUUGCGGUUACCCAGUUAACCGUUGGAGUAUCAAACGAGCUCCAAAUGACCCGAAACUUGACAGGUGGUCUAUUGGUGCUAUACCAGGCCCACUUGGCAAGGCUCGGUCCAUUCCGAGAACGUUCAACACCCGCACACGAAAAAAACAACAAGAGGGGUGCACCGGUGCAUGUGGGAGUGUCAGAAUGCAAAACGGACAACGGGGAAAAUGCUCGGAAGCAUGAGACGAACACGUAUGCAAAUGAGAUGCACAUGAUGACAUGAUAUGAGAUGCAUGACAUGAACAAAAUGAAAAAUGAAGAAAAACCCAAUCACGGAGGGAAUAUCAUAUCACAAUGCCGAAAAUGGCAAGAGUUGGAGUUACAAAUAUGGAAAGUUACAUCCGGGGUGUUACACUCUGGGCCCUCUCGGUAAUGCACAUCACUUAAGCCUUGCAAGCAUUGCAACUAAUGAGUUAGUUGCGAGAUGAUGUAUUACGGAACGAGUAAAGAGACUUGCCAGUAACGAGAUUGAACUAGGUAUUGGAUACCGACGAUCGAAUCUCGGGCAAGUAACAUACCGAUGACAAAGGGAACAACGUAUAUUAUUAUGCGGUCUGACCGAUAAAGAUCUUCGUAGAAUAUGUAGGAAUCAAUAUGGGCAUCCAGGUCCCGCUAUUGGUUAUUGACCGGAGACUUGUCUCGGUCAUGUCUACAUUGUUCUCGAACCGUAGGGUCCGCACGCUUAAGGUUUCGAUGACAGUUAUAUUAUGAGUUUAUGAGUUUUGAUGUACCGAAGGAGUUCGGAGUCUCGGAUGAGAUCGGGGACAUGACGAGGAGUCUCGAAAUGGUUGAGGCGUAAAGAUCGAUAUAUUGGACGACUAUAUUCGGAGUUCAGAAAGGUUCCGAGUGAUUCGGGUAUUUUUUGGAGUACCGGAGAGUUACGGGAAUUCGCCGGGGAGAAGUAUUGGGCCUUAUUGGGCCAUACGGGAAAGAGAGAGGGGCUGCCUAGGGCAGGCCGCGCGCCCCCCCAUGGCCUAGUCCGAAUUGGACUAGGGGGAGGGGCCGCACCCCCUCCUUCCUUCCCUUCUCUCUUCCCCUUCCUUGUCUCCUACUCCUAAUACUUGGAAGGACUCCUAGUUGGACUAGGAAAGGGGGAAUCCUACUCCCGGUGGGAGUAGGACUCCCCUAGGGCGCGCCAUAGAGAGGGCCGGCCCUCCCCUCCUCCACUCCUUUAUAUACGGGGGCAGAGGGCACCCCAUAGACACACAAGUUGAUCAUCGUGAUCGUUCCUUAGCCGUGUGCGGUGCCCCCCUCCACGAUAUUACACCUCGGUCAUAUUGUAGCGGUGCUUAGGCGAAGCCCUGCGACAGUUGAACAUCAAGAUCGUCACCACGCCGUCGUGCUGACGGAACUCCUCCCCGUACCUCUGCUGGAUCGGAGUUCGGGGUGCGUCAUCGAGCUGUACGUGUGUCAAGAACUCGGAGGUGCCGGAGUAACGGUGCUUGGAUCGGUUGGACCGGGAAGACGUACGACUACUUCCUCUACGUUGCGUCAACGCUUCCGCUUCGGUCUACGAGGGUACGUAGACAACACUCUCCCCUCUCGUUGCUAUGCAUCACCAUGAUCUUGCGUGUGCGUAGGAUUUUUUUUGAAAUCACUACGUUCCCCAACAGUAGUAUCCGAGCCAGGUUUUAUGGUUUGAUGUUAUAUGCACGAGUAGAACACAAGUGAGUUGUGGGCGAUAUAAGUCAUACUGCUUACCAGCAUGUCAUACUUUGGUUCGGUGGUAUUGUUGGAUGAAGCGGCCCGGACCGACAUUACGCGUACGCUUACGCGAGACUGGUUUUACCGCCGUGCUUUGCACACAGGUGACUAGCGGGUGUCAGUUUCUCCAACUUUAGUUGAACCGAGUAUGGCUACGCCCGGUCCUUGCGAAGGUUAAAACAACAUCAACUUGACAAACUAUCGUUGUGGUUUUGAUGCGUAGGUGAGAUUGGUUCUUGCUUAAAGCCCGUAGCAGCCACGUAAAACUUGCAACAACAAAGUAGAGGACGUCUAACUUGUUUUUGCAGGGCAUGUUGUGAUGUGAUAUGGCCAAGACGUGAUGCUAUAUUUUAUUGUAUGAGAUGAUCAUGUUUUGUAACCGAAGUUAUCGGCAACUGGCAGGAGCCAUAUGGUUGUUGCUUUAUUGUAUGAAAUGCAAACGCCCUGUAAUUGCUUUACUUUAUCACUAAGCGGUAGCGAUAGUCGUAGAAGCAAUAGAUGGCGUAAACGACAACGAUGCUACGAUGGAGAUCAAGGUGUCGCGCCGGUGACAAUGGUGAUCAUGAUGGUGCUUCGGAGAUGGAGAUCACAAGCAAAAGAUGAUGAUGGCCAUAUCAUAUCACUUAUAUUGAUUGCAUGUGAUGUUUAUCUAUUAUACAUCUUAUUCUUGCUUUGAUUGACGGUAGCAUUUUAAGAUGAUCUCUCACUAAUUAUCAAGAAGUGUUCUCCCUGAGUAUGCACCGUUGCCAAAGUUCGUCGUGCCCAGACACCACGUGAUGAUCGGGUGUGAUAAGCUCUACGUCCAUCUACAAUGGGUGCAAGCCAGUUUUGCACACGCGGAAUACUCAGGUUAAACUUGACGAGCCUAGCAUAUGCAGAUAUGGCCUCGGAGCACGGAGACCGAAAGGUCAAGCGUGAAUCAUAUAGUAGAUAUGAUCAACAUAGUGAUGUUCACCAUUGAAAACUACUCCAUCUCACGUGAUGAUCGGUUAUGGUUUAGUUGAUUUGGAUCACGUGAUCACUUAGAUGACUAGAGAGAUGUCUGUCUAAGUGGGAGUUCUUAAGUAAUAUGAUUAAUUGAACUUAAAUUUAUCAUGAACUUAGUCCUGGUAGUAUUUUGCAAAUUAUGUUGUAAGAUCAAUAGCUUGCAUUGUUGCUUCCAUAUGUUUAUUUUGAUAUGUUCCUAGAGAAAAUUGUGUUGAAAAAUGUUAGUAGCAAUGAUGCGGAUUGGAUCCGUGAUCUGAGGUUUAUCCUCAUUGCUGCAUAGAAGAAUUAUGUCCUUAAUGCACCACUAGGUGACAGACCUAUUGCAGGAGCAGAUGCAGACGUUAUGAACAUUUGGCUAGCUCAAUAUGAUGACUACUUGAUAGUUUUGUGCACCAUGCUUUAUGGUUUAGAAUCGGGACUUCAAAGAUGUUUUGAACAUCAUGGACCAUAUGAGAUGUUCCAGGAAUUGAAGUUAAUAUUUCAAGCAAAUACCCAAGUUGAGAGAUAUGAAGUCUCCAACAAGUUCUAUAGCUAAAAGAUGGAGGAGAAUCGCUCAACUAGUGAGCAUGUGCUCAGAUUGUCUGGGUACUACAAUCGCUUGAACCAAGUGGGAGUUAAUCUUCCAGAUAAGAUAGUGAUUGACAUAAUUCUCUAGUCACCAUCACCAAGUUAAUAGAACUUCGUGAUGAACUAUAGUAUGCAAGGGAUGAUGAAAAUGAUUCCCGAGUUUUUCAUGAUGAUGAAAUCGAUGAAGGUAGAUCAAGAAAGAACAUCAAGUGUUGAUGGUUAACAAGACCACUAGUUUCAAGAAAAGGGCAAAAGGAUAGAAGGGAACUUCAAAAGAACGGCAAGCAAGUUGCUGCUCAAGUGAAGAAGCCCAAGUCUGGACCUAAGCCUGAGACUAAGUGCUUCUACUGCAAAGGGACUGGUCACUGAAAGCAGAACUACCCCAAGUAUUUGGCGGAUAAGAAGGAUGGCAAAGUGAACAAAGGUAUAUUUGAUAUACAUGUUAUUGAUGUGUACUUCACUAGUGUUUAUGGCAACCCCUCGGUAUUUGGUACUGGUUCAGUUGCUAAGAGUAGUAACUCGAAACAGGAGUAGCAGAAUAAACAGAAACUAGUUAAGGGUGAAGUGACGAUGUGUGUUGAAAGUAGUUUCAAGAUUGAUAUGAUCAUCAUCGCACACUCCCUAUACUUUCGGGAUUAGUGUUGAACCUAAAUAAAUGUUAUUUGGUGUUUGCGUUGAGCAUGAAUAUGAUUUGAUCAUGUUUAUUGCAAUACGGUUAUUCAUUUAAGUAAGAGAAUAAACUAUUGUUCUGUUUACAUGAAUAAAACCUUAUAUGGUUACACAUCCAACGAAAAUGGUUCACUGGAUCUUGAUCGUAGUGAUACACAUAUUCAUAAUAUUGAAACCAAAAGAUGCAAAGUUAAUAAUGAUAGUGCAACUUAUUUGUGGCACUGCCGUUUAGGUCAUAUUGGUGUAAAGCGCAUGAAGAAACUCCAUGCUGAUGGGAUUUUGGAAUCACUUGAUUAUGAACCACUUGAUACUUGCGAACCAUGCCUCAUGGGCAAGAUGACUAAGACUCCGUUCUCCGGAACAGUGGAGCGAGCAACUGACUUAUUGGAAAUAAUACAUACUGAUGUAUGCGAUCCGAUGAGUGUUAAGGCUCGCGGCGGGUAUCGUUAUUUUCUGACCUUCACAGAUGAUUUGAGCAGAUAUGGGUAUAUCUACUUGAUGAAACAUAAGUCUGAAACAUUUGAAAAGUUCAAAGAAUUUCAGAGUGAAGUGGAAAAAAUCAUCGUAACAAGAAAAAUAAAGUUUCUACGAUCUGAUCGCGGAGACAAACAUUUGAGUUACGAGUUUGGUCUUCAAUUAAAACAAUGUGGAAUAGUUUCACAAAUUCAUGCCACCUGGAACACCACAUCAUAAUGGUGUGUCCGAACGUCAUAACCGUACUUUAUUGGAGAUAGUACAAUCUAUGAUGUUUCUUACCGAUUUACCAAUGUCGUUUUGGGAUCAUGCAUUAGAGACAACUGCAUUCACGUUAAAUAGGGCACCAUCUAAAUCCGUUGAGACGACACUAUAUGAACUAUGAUUUAGCAAGAAACCAAAGUUGUCGUUUCUUAAAGUUUGGGGCUGCGAUGCUUAUGUGAAAAGUUUCAUCCUGAUAAGCUCAAACCCAAAUCGGAGAAGUGCGUCUUCAUAGAAUACCCAAAGGAAAUUGUUGGGUACACCUUCUAUCACAGAUCCGAAGGCAAGAUAUUCGUUGCUAAAAAUGGAUCCUUUCUAGAGAAGGAGUUUCUCUCGAAAGAAGUGAGUGGGAGGAAAGUAGAACUUGAUGAGGUAACUGUACCUUCUGCCGAAUUGGAAAAUAGUUCAUCACUGAAAUCAGUUCCAGUGAUUCCUAUACCAAUUAGUGAGGAAGCUAAUGAUGAUGAUCAUGAAACUUCAGAUCAAGUUACUAUAGAACCUCGUAGGUAUUCCAGAGUACGGUCCGCACCAGAGUGAUACGGUAAUCCUGUUCUGGAAGUCAUGUUACUAGACCAUAAUGAACCUACGAACUAUGAAGAAGCGAUGGUGAGCCCAAAUUCCGCAAAAUGGCUUGAGGCCAUGAAAUCUGAGAUGGGAUCCAUGUAUGAGAACAAAGUGUGGACUUUGGUGGAUUUUCCCGAUGAUCAGCAAGCCAUAGAAAAUAAAUGGAUCUUCAAGAGGAAGACGGACGCUGAUAGUAGUGUUACUAUCUACAAAGCUAGACUUGUCGAAAAAGGUUUUUGACAAAGUUCAAGAUGUUGAAUACAAUGAGAUUUUCUCACUCGUAUCGAUGCUUAAAAGUCUGUCCGAAUCAUGUUAGCAAUUGCCACAUUUUUUUUGAAAUCUGGCAAAAGGAUGUCAAAACUGCAUUUCUUAAUGGAUUUAUUAAAGAAGAGUUGUAUAUGAUGCAACCAGAAGGUUUUGUCAAUCCUAAAGGUGCUAACAAAAUGUGCAAGCUCCAGCGAUCCAUCUAUGGACUGGUGCAAGCAUCUUGGAGUUGGAAUAUACGCUUUGAUAAGUUGAUCAAAGCAUAUAGUUUAUAUAGACUUGAAGUGAAGCCUGUAUUUACUAGAAAGUGAGUGGGAGCACUACAGCAUUUCUGAUAAGUAUAUGUGAAUGACAUAUUGUAGAUCAGAAAUAAUGUAGAAUUAUUCUGCAAAGCAUAAAGGAAUGUUUGAAAGGAGUUUUUCAAGGAAAGACCUCGGUGAAGUUGCUUACAUAUUGAGCAUCAAGAUCUAUAGAGAUAGAUCAAGACGCUUGAUAAGUUUUUUUUCAAUGAUUACAUACCUUGACAAGUUUUUGAAGUAGUUCAAAAUGGAACAGUCAAAGAAAGAGUUCUUGCCUGUAUUACAAGGUGUGAAAUUGAGUAAGACUCAAAACCCGACCACGGCAGAAGAUAGAAAGAGAAUGAAAGUCAUUCCCUAUGCCUUGGCCAUAGGUUCUAUAAAGUAUGCCAUGAUGUGUACCAGAUCUAUUGUAUACCCUACACUGAGUUUGGCAAGGGAGUACAAUAGUGAUCUAGGAGUAGAUCACUGGACAACGGUCAAAAUUAUCCUUAGUGGAAUAAGGAUAUGUUUCUCGAUUAUGGAAGUGACAAAAAGGUUCGUCGUAAAGGGUUACGUCGAUGCAAGUUUUGACACCGAUCUGGAUGACUCUAAGUCUCAAUCUAGAUACAUAUUGAAAGUGGGAGCAAUUAGCUAGAGUAGCUCCGUGCAGAGCAUUGUAGACAUAGAAAAUUGCAAAAUACAUAACGGAUCUGAAUGUGAAAGACCCGUUGACUAAGAUUCUCUCACAAGCAAAACAUGAUCACACCUUAGUACUCUUUGGGUGUUAAUCACAUAGCGAUGUGAACUAGAUUACUGAAUCUAGUAAACCCUUUGGGUAUUGGUCACAUGGCGAUGUGAACUAUGGGUGUUAAUCACAUGAUGAUGUGAACUAUCGAUGUUAAUCACAUUGUGAUGUGAUCUAGAUUAUUGACUCUAGUGCAAGUGGGAGACUGAAGGAAAUAUGCCCUAGAGGCAAUAAUAAAGUUAUUAUUUAUUUCCUUAUAUCAUGAUAAAUGUUUAUUAUUCAUGCUAGAAUUGUAUUAACCGGAAACAUAAUACAUGUGUGAAUAUAUAGACAAACAGAGUGUCACUAGUAUGCCUCUACUUGACUAGCUUGUUAAUCAAAGAUGGUUAUGUUUCCUAACCAUGAACAAGGAGUUGUUAUUUGAUUAACAAGAUCACAUCAUUAGUUGAAUGAUCUGAUUGACAUGACCCAUUCCGUUAGCUUAGCACCCGAUCGUUUAGUAUGUUGCUAUUGCUUCCUUCAUGACUUAUACAUGUUCCUAUGACUAUGAGAUUAUGCAACUCCCGUUUACCGGAGGAACACUUUGUGUGCUACCAAACGUCACAACGUAACUGGGUGAUUAUAAAGGUGCUCUACAGGUGUCUCCAAAGGUACUUGUUGAGUUAGCAUAUUUUGAGAUUAGGAUUUGUCACUCCGAAUGUCGGAGAGGUAUCUCUGGGCCCUCUCGGUAAUGCACAUCACUUAAGCCUUGCAAGCAUUGCAACUAAUGAGUUAGUUGCGAGAUGAUGUAUUACAGAACGAGUAAAGAGACUUGCCAGUAACGAGACUGAACUAGGUAUUGGAUACCGACGAUCGAAUCUCGGGCAAGUAACAUACCGAUGACAAAGGGAACAACGUAUAUUAUUAUGCGGUCUGACCGAUAAAGAUCUUCGUAGAAUAUGUAGGAAUCGAUAUGGGCAUCCAGGUCCCGCUAUUGGUUAUUUACCGGAGACUUGUCUCGGUCAUGUCUACAUUGUUCUCGAACCGUAGGGUCCGCACGCUUAAGGUUUUGAUGACAGUUAUAUUAUGAGUUUAUGAGUUUUGAUGUACCGAAGGAGUUCGGAGUCUCGGAUGAGAUCGGGGACAUGACGAGGAGUCUCGAAAUGGUUGAGACAUAAAGAUCGAUAUAUUGGACGACUAUAUUCGGAGUUCGGAAAGGUUCCGAGUGAUUCGGGUAUUUUUUGGAGUACCGAAGAGUUACGGGAAUUCGCCAGGGAGAAGUAUUGGGCCAUACGGGAAAGAGAGAGGGGCUGCCUAGGGCAGGCCGCGCCCCCCCCCCCAUGGCCUAGUCCGAAUUGGACUAGGGGGAGGGGCCGCACCCCCUCCUUGCUUCCCUUCUCUCUUCGCCUUCCUUGUCUCCUACUCCUAAUACUUGGAAGGACUCCUAGUUGGACUAGGAAAGGGGGAAUCCUACUCCCGGUGGGAGUAGGACUCCCCUAGGGCGCGCCAUAGAGAGGGCCGGCCCUCCCCUCCUCCACUCCUUUAUAUACGGGGGCAGGGGCACCCCAUAGACACACAAGUUGAUCAUCGUGAUCGUUCCUUAGCCGUGUGCGGUGCCCCCCUCCACGAUAUUACACCUUGGUCAUAUUGUAGCGGUGCUUAGGCGAAGCCCUGCGACAGUUGAACAUCAAGAUCGUCACCACGCCAUCGUGCUGACGGAACUCCUCCCCGUACCUCUGCUGGAUCGGAGUUCGGGGUGCGUCAUCGAGCUGUACGUGUGUCAAGAACUCGGAGGUGCCGGAGUAACGGUGCUUGGAUCGGUUGGACCGGGAAGACGUACGACUACUUCCUCUAUGUUGCGUCAACGCUUCCGCUUCGGUCUACGAGGGUACAUAGACAACACUCUCCCCUCUCGUUGCUAUGCAUCACCAUGAUCUUGCGUGUGCGUAGGAAAUUUUUUGAAAAUUACGUUCCCCAACACCUACUCCAUUGCUGGCCAGGCCAUUCCUCUACUCACCCACACCUCCUGUUAUUUUCUGGCGAUGGCAGCCGGACCAGUAAACCCUCGUACUCCCCACCGCGUGGGCAACCACUGCCGAGUCUUCCCCGGCUCCGUGUCAUUCCCUUCCUAGGCCUCGCCGUCGUCCACUGCCCUGGUGCUCUCGGCGCGUCGUGGUCAACGUGGUCAACGAACGACAUCCAUCGGACGUGGACUGUACGUGGAGAGGCUGACAGCUGGGUCCACGGCCGCACACAAGGAAAUGCCUCCUUAUUACGCGCAAAAUAAUGAUUCCUCCACCUGACAUCUGGGACCCACCAGAAGGGCCUCUGUAUUUCACGAAAAAAAUGUUCCCGCCGCUGACAGGUUGGACCCACCAGCUAUACCUUCGCACGCAAGGAAGUGCCUCCUUAUUACACACAAAAAAUGAAUACUCCCCCUGCUAGCUGGGACCCAGCAUAGUGGGAGGCUGACAUGUGGGCCUACUAAGUUGAUGGGGACGGAGGGCUUUGUCAACUUAGUCAAUAUGAACGAUUCUAGCUCUAGUGACCGUAUGAUGUCCAUCCAACGGCCGUAGUGCUUCUUCAACCUCUGGCCUUCUUGCUCCAGCCGCCCAAAGCAGUGUCGGUCGUGCCGCCUGCUCCUGCCUCCUGUGGCCGGCUGUGCUACCACGGAGGCCUCACUCCCCCCUACUACUCCCACCGCUGGCCAGGCCCUCCGGCGACGGUAGCCUCACACCGCAGCCGAACCAGUGAACCCUCGUACUCCUCUCCGCCUGGGCAUCCACUACCGCAUCUUCCCCGGCUCCGUGUCAUCCCCUUCCUAGGCCUCGCCGUCAUCCACCGCCUUGGUGCUCUCGGCGCGGCGUGGUCAAUGUGGUCAACGAACGACUUCCAUUGGAAGAGUACUGUACGUGGAGAGGCUGACAGCUGGGUGCACGGCCGCAGCAAGGAAGUGCCUCCUUAUUACGCGCAAAAUAAUGAUUCCUCCACCUGACAGCAGGGACCCACCAAACGGGCCACCGUAUUUCAUGAAAAAAAUGUUUCCCCCUGACUGCUGGGACCCACCAGCUACAUCUUCGCACGCAAGUAAGUGCGUCCAUAUUACGGGCAAAAAAAUGAUUCGCCCCUGACUGCUGGGACCCACCAGCUACAUCUUCGCACACAAGGAAGUGCCUGACAGUCGGGACCCACCUGGUCGAAGCGUACGUAGCGUUGUCAUUCUCGUCGCAAACGUGUACGUACAUACUGGUCGAUGUAGAGGCACACACGUGUCAUAGUAGAGGCGUGCACGUAUCAUAGUAGAGGCGCACACGUAGCAUGUACACGUACGUACAAUGGCCAGGGUGCAAGAAAGUAAAUACGGCCACGUACGUAUAUAUGGGCGGGGUCUCAAACGCCUACUCGCGCAUACUUAUGGCCAGGGCUCGUGUACAUGGCUGGGUCAGAAUGGAGAAACUGCGUCGUCGUCGUGUUCAUGGGGAGGCAGUGGAAUGCGUCGUGUUCAUCGGGAGGCAACGGAACGUGUGCUGUUCAUUGGGAGCCAACCAGCUUGGACGGAACAGCCGAUGGAAACGAGGUCUGGCGUACCGCAGAACGGAGGAAACGGCUUUGUGUUCGACCGGCCACGGUCGAAACGGUAUCCUGUUCAUCGGGAGGGGUCUGGCGUACCGCAAAAUGGUUGAAACGGACUUCUGUUGGACCUCCUACGGUCGAAACAGGGUCCUGUUGACCGGGAGGGGUGUGGCGUACCGCAAAACGGAGGAAACGGACUUGUGUUGGAGCGCUACGGUCGAAACAGGGGUCCUGUUCAUCGGGAGGGGUGUGGCGUACCGCAAAACGGGACACCAUGGGAUACUGUUCAUCUUCACCGUCGACCUCCUCCAGCCUCCACGGGCUACUGUUCAUCCACCGUCGACCUCCUCCAGCCUCCACCUGCGACUGUUCAUCCACGGGCUCCUAUUCAUCCAGCCUCCACCGCGCGCUCCUCCACUGGCUACUGUUCAACCAGUCCUCUCCACGGGGUCCUGUUCAACCACCCCUCCACGGGCUACUGUUCAACCAGCCCUCCACGGGGUCCUGUUCAACCAGUCCUCUAGGGGGUCCUGUUCAUUCACCCCUCCACGGGGUCCUGUUCAUCCAGCCCCCAACCGGCUCGAUCGAUCGGGGUCCUGUUCAUCUAGCGGCAACACCACGGGGUACUGUUCAUCCAACCCCCCAUCGGGAACUGUUCAUCCAAACCCCCCAACAACGCUCACUGUUUAUCCAGAGGCAGCAGUGACCGGCUUCAGUUAGCAGCAGUAGUGAAGGAAUCACUCGGGUGCAGUUAACAGCAAGGGAUCUAUCGAUCGCUCGGGUUCAGUAACGCGUAGCCUGCAGUGCAAUCGCUUGGGUUCAAUUAGAGCCCAACGCCUUGCUCGGGUUCAGUUAGAGCCUAACGCCUCGCACACACGUGCGUACGUACGAGAGAAACGUGCAUCGCUCAGCCCGCGACCACCCACUGUAACCUGGAACUCCCCGAUAUAUUCCUCUCCCUUGCUUCUACCACGGUUUUUUCCGUCAUGGACGGCCCAAAGAAUGUCAUUUAGCUGCGUCUCCCUCCCGCCCAGGAGGAAAAGCUCAUUUUCUGUCAUGACUUUUUUAUCAGAGAAGUAGGAGCCCACCACAUCUAUGAUGAUACCAGGUUUUGUCACAAUUAUCUGAAGAAAAUAUUCCCUAGAGGCAAUAAUAAAGUUGUUGUUUAUAUUUCCUUAUAUCAUGAUAAAUGUUUAUUAUUCAUGCUAGAAUUGUAUUAAUCGGAAACUUAGUACAUGUGUGAAUACAUAGACAAACAAAGUGUCACUAGUAUGCCUCUACUUGACUAGCUCAUUAAUCAAAGAUGGUUAAGUUUCCUAGACAUAGACAUGAGUUGUCAUUUGAUGAACGGGAUCACAUCAUUAGGGAAUGAUGUGAUUGACUUGACCCAUUCUAUUAGCUUAGCACUUGAUCGUUUAGUAUGUUGCUAUUGCUCUCUUCAUGACUUAUACAUGUUCCUAUGACUAUGAGAUUAUGCAACUCCCGAAUACCGGAGGAACACUUUGUGUGCUACCAAACGUCACAACGUAACUGGGUGAUUAUAAAGGUGCUCUACAGGUGUCUCCGAUGGUGUUUGCUGAGUUGGCAUAGAUCGAGAUUAGGAUUUGUCACUCCGAUUGUUGGAGAGUAUAUCUGGGCCCUCUCGGUAAUGCACAUCACUAUAAGCCUUGCAAGCAAUGUGACUAAUGAGUUAGUUGUAGGAUGAUGCAUUAUGGAACGAGUAAAGAGACUUGCCGGUAACGAGAUUGAACUAGGUAUUGAGAUACCGACGAUCGAAUCUCGGGCAAGUAACAUACCGAUGACAAAGGGAACAACGUAUGUUAUUAAGGGUUUAACCGAUAAAGAUCUUCGUAGAAUAUGUGGGAGCCAAUAUGAGCAUCUAGGUUCCGCUAUUGGUUAUUGACCAGAGACGUGUCUCGGUCAUGGCUACAUAGUUCUCAAACCCAUAGGGUCCGCACGCUUAACGUUCAGUGACGAUCGGUAUUAUGAGUUUUUGUGUUUUGAUGUACCGAAGGUAGUUCGGAGUCCCGGAUAUGAUCACGGACAUGACGAGGAGUCUCCAAAUGGUCGAGACAUAAAGAUCGACAUAUUGGACGACUAUAUUUGGACAUCGGAAUGGUUCCGAGUGAGAUCAGGCAUUUACCGGAGUACCGGGAGGUUACCGGUACCCCCCCGGGAGGUAUAUGGGCCUUAUUGGGCCUUAGUGGGAGAGAGGGGAAAGGAGCAAAGGAGGGGGCACCCCCCAAGCCCAAUCCGAAUUGGGAGGGCCCCCCCUUUCCUUCCUCCUUCCUCCCCCUUCCUUCUCUCCUAAUCCAACUAGGGGAAGGGGGAAUCCUAGUCCCGGUGGGAGUAGGACUCCCCUUGGGGCGCGCCUAGGAGGCCGGCCUCCUCCCCCUCCUCCACUCCUUUAUAUACGGGGGAGGGGGGCACCCCAUAGACACACAAGUUGAUCAUUGAUCUCUUAGCCGUGUGGGUGCCCCCCUCCACCAUAAUCCACCUCGGUCAUAUCGUUCCAGUGCAUAGGCGAAGCCCUGCGCCAGUAGCUUCAUCAUCACAGUCAUCACGCCGUCGUGCUGAUGAAACUCUCCCACGACACUCUGCUGGAUCGUGAGUUCGUGGGACGCCAUCGAGCUGAACGUGUGCUAAACUCGGAGGUGUCGUGCGUUCGGUACUUGGAUCGGUCGGAUCGUGAAGACGUACGACUAGAUCAACCGUGUUGAUAAAACGCUUCUGCUUAUACGGUCUACGAGGGUACGUGGACUAUACUCUCCCGCUCGUUGCUAUGCAUCACCAUGAUCUUGCGUGUGCGUAGGACUUUUUUUUUGAAAUUACUAUGUUCCCCAACAUUUGCAUCCGAGCCAGGUUUAUGCAUAGAUGUUAUAUUCAUGAGUAGAACACAAGUGAGUUGUGGGCGAUACUAGUAAUACUGCUUACCAGCAUGUCAUAUUUGAUUCGGCGGUAUUGUUGGAUGUAGCGGCCCGGACUAACAUUAUGCGUACGCUUACGCGAGACUGGUUCUAUCGACGUGCUUCACACACAGGUGGCUGGCGGGUGUCAGUUUCUCCAACUUUAGUUGAAUCGAGUGUGGCUACGCCUUGUCCUGGUUUAAGGUUAAAACAUCACAUACUUGACUAAAUAUCAUUGUGGUUUUGAUGCGUAGGUAAGAACGGUUCUUGCUUAGCCCGUAGCAGCCAAAUAAAACUUGCAACAACAAAGUAGAGGACGUCUAACUUGUUUUUGCAGGGCAUGUUGUGAUGUGAUAUGGUCAAGACAUGAUGCUAAAUUUUAUUGUAUGAGAUGAUCAUGUUUUGUAACGCAGUUAUCGGCAACUGGCAGGAGCCAUAUGGUUGUCGCUUUGUAGUAUGCAAUGCAAUCGCCCUGUAAUUGUUUUUACUUUAUCACUAAGCGGUAGCGAUAGUUGUAGAAACAAUAGUUGGUGAGACGACAACGAUGCUACGAUGGACAUCAAGGUGUCACGCCGGUGAUGAUGGUGAUCAUGACGGUGCUUUGAAGAUGGAGAUCAAAGGCACAAGAUGAUGAUGGUCAUAUCAUAUCACUUAUAUUGAUUGCAUGUGAUGUUUAUAUUUUGUGCAUCUUAUUUUGCUUUGAUUGACGGUAGCAUUAUAAGAUGAUAUGUCACUAAAUUUCAAGUUACAAGUGUUCUCCCUGAGUAUGCACUGUUGAGAAAGUUCGUCGUGCCGAGACACCACGUGAUGAUCGGGUGUGAUAAGCUCUACAUUCACAUACAACGGGUGCAAGCCAGUUUUGCACACGCAGAAUACUCGGGUUAAACUUGAUGAGCCUAGCAUAUGCAGAUAUGGCCUCGGAACACUGAGACCGAAAGGUCGAGCGUGAAUCAUAUAGUAGUUAUGAUCAACAUAGUGAUGUUCACCAUUGAAAACUACUCCAUCUCACGUGAUGAUCGGACAUGGUUUAGUUGAUUUGGAUCACGUGAUCACUUAGAUGAUUAGAGGGAUGUCUAUCUAAGUGGGAGUUCUUAAGUAAUAUGAUUAAUUGAACUUUAGUUGAUCAUGAACUUAGUACCUCAUAGUAUUUUGCAUGUCUAUGUUGUUUGUAGAUCAAUGGCCCAUGCUACUAUUCCUUUGAAUUUUAAUGUGUUCCUUGAGAAAGCUAAGUUGAAAGAUGAUGGUACCAAUUACACGGACUGGGUCUGUAACUUGAGGAUUAUCCUCAUUGCUGCACAGAAGAAUUACAUCCUGGAAGCACCGCUGGGUGCCAGGCCUGCUGCUGAUGCUACUGAUGACGUUAAGAACGUCUAGCAGAGCAAAACUGAUGACUACUCAAUAGUUCAGUGUGCCAUGCUUUACGGCUUAGAAUCGGGACUUCAAUAAGGGACAUAUGAGAUGUAGAGUUGAAGUUAAUAUUUCAACCAAUUGUCCGGAUUGAGAGAUAUGAAGUCUCCAAUAAGUUCUACAGCUGCAAGAUGGAGGAGAAUAGUUCUAUCAGUGAACAUAUACUCAAAAUGUCUGGGUAUAACAAUCAAUUGAUUCAACUAGGAGUUAAUCUUCCUGAUGAUAGUGUCAUUGACAGAAUUCUUCAAUCACUGCCACCAAGCUAUAAGAGCUUCAUGAUGAACUAUAACAUGCAAGGGAUGGAUAAGACAAUUCAUGAGCUCUUCGCAAUGCUAAAGGCUGCGGAGGUAGAAAUCAAGAAGGAGUAUCAAGUGUUGAUGGUCAACAAGACCACCAGUUUCAAGAAAAAGGGUAAAGGAAAGAAGGGGAACUUCAAGAAGAAUGGAAAACAAGUUACUGCUCAAGUGAAGAAGCCCAAGUCUGGACCUAAGCCUUAGACUGGGUGCUUCUACUGCAAAGGGACUGGUCACUGGAAGUGGAACUUCCCCAAGUAUUUGGCGGAUAAGAAGGAUGGCAAGGUGAAGAAAGGUAUAUGUGAUAUACAUGUUAUUAAUGUGUACCUUACUAAUGCCUGCAGUAGCACUUGGGUAUUUGAUACUGGUUCUGUUGCUAAUAUUUGCAACUCGAAACAGGGACUACGGAUUAAGCGAAGAUUGGCUAAGGACGAGGUGACGAUGCGCGUGGGAAAUGGUUCCAAAGUCGAUGUGAUCAUCGUCGGCAUGCUACCUCUACAUCUACCUUCGAGAUUAGUUUUAGACCUGAAUAAUUGUUAUUUGGUGCCAGCGUUGAGCAUGAACAUUAUAUCUGGAUCUUGUUUGAUGCGAGACGGUUAUUCAUUUAAAUCUGAGAAUAAUGGUUGUUCUAUUUAUAUGAGUAAUAUCUUUUAUGGUCAUGCACCCUUGAAGAGUGGUCUAUUUUUGUUGAAUCUCGAUAGUAGUGAUGCACAUAUUCAUAAUAUUGAAGCCAAAAGAUGCAGAGUUGAUAAUGAUAGUGCAACUUAUUUGUGGCUCUGCCAUUUGGGUCAUAUUGGUGUAAAGUGCAUGAAGAAACUCCAUUCUGAUGGACUUUUGGAAUCACUUGAUUAUGAAUCACUUGGUACUUACGAACCAUGCCUCAUGGGUAAGAUGACUAAAACUCUGUUCUCCGGAACAAUGGAGCGAGCAACAGAUUUAUUGGAAAUCAUACAUACUGAUGUAUGUGGUCCGAUGAAUAUUGAAGCUCGUGGUGGGUGUCGGUGUCAAAACCGGCGGAUUUCGGGUAGGGGGUCCUGAUCUGUGUGUCAAGGCCGAUGGUAACAAGAAGCAAGGGACACAGAUGUUUACCCAGGUUCGGGCCCUCUCGAUGGAGGUAAAACCCUACUUCCUGCUUGAUUAAAAAAUAUUAAAAGAUAUAUAUUGAUGAUAUGGGUAGUACAAGAGUAGAUCUACCACGAGAUCGCAGAGGCUAAACCCUAAGAGCUAGCCUAUGAUGGUAUGAUUGUAAUUGUGAUCGGCCUUCUAAGGACCAACUGUUGGGGAAUGUUGCAGAAAAUAAAAAAUUUCUACGCUUCACCAAGAUCAAUCUAUGGAUUCAUCUAGCAACGAUAUAGAGGAGUGCAUCUACAUACCCUUGUCGAUCGCGCGGAAGCGUUCAAGAGAACGGGGUUGAGGGAGUCGUACUCGUCGUGAUCCAAAUCACCGAUGAUCCUAGUGCCGAACGGACGGCACCUCCGCGUUCAACAUUGGGAAGACGUCUCCUCCUUCUUGAUCCAGCAAGGGGAAGGGAGAGGUUGAUGGAGAUCCAGCAGCACGACGGCGUGGUGGUGGAAGUAGCAGCGAUCUCGGCAGGGCUUUGCCAAGCUCUACGAGAGGGAGAGGUGUUGUAGAGGGAGAGGGAGGCGCCAGGGACUAUGGUGCGGCUGCCCUCCCUCCCUCCUCUUUAUAUAGGGGCCAGGGGGGUGCCGCCCCCCUACAGAUUGGAUCUCAAGGGGGCGGCAACGGCCAAGGGGGGGGGGUGGCUUGCCCCCCAAGCCAAGUGGGGCGCCCCCACCCCUAGGGUUUCCAACCCUAGGCGCAGGGGGAGGCCAAAGGGGGGCGCACCAGCCCACCAGGGGCUGGUUACCCUCCCACUUCAGCCCAUGGGUCCCUCCGGGAUAGGUGGCCCCACCCGGUGGACCCCCGGAACCCUUCCGAUGGUCCCGGUACAAUACCGGUGACCCCCAAAACUUUCCCGAUGGCCGAAACUGGACUUCCUAUAUAUAAUUGGGACAAUUACAUUUGAGCCCCUAGUUGUGUCACACCCGUGUGUUUUGCCCCUAAAUUCAAAAAACCCUCGUUUCUGCCCGAGCUCGUUUGCUCUUCUUAUGCUUUUGCCCUUUGACCGUUUGACCGUAACUUUGAAAACUUCAUAACAUAUUCAUACUAACUCAGAAAAAUGCAUAUAAGAUAUCAAAAUGUUCGGAAAAACAUCACAUGUAUGUGCAUGUCAUUUUCAUUCAUGACAAAAAGUGUAUUCAUGACAAAAGACAUCAUAUGAUCUCAAACUGAGAUAGGGACUUUUCAACACUUUUGUCAUGAAUGCAAAUGACAUGCACAUAUAGGUGAUGUUUUUCCGAUCAUUUUGAUAUCUUAUUUGCAUUUUUUUGAGUUAGUAUGAAUUCGUUAUGAAGUUUUCAAAGUUGCGGUCAAACGGUCAAACGGCAAAAGCAUAAGAUGAGUAAACGAGCUUGGACAGAAAUGAGGUUUUUUUGAAUUUAGGGGCAAAACACACGGGUGUGACACAACUAGGGGCUCAAAUGUAAUUAUCCCUAUAUAAUUCUUCACCUCCGGACCAUUUCGGAACUCCUCGUGACGUCCGGGAUCUCAUCCGGGACUCCGAACAACUUUCUGGUUACCGCAUACUAGCAUCUCUACAACCCUAGCGUCACUGAACCUUAAGUGUGCAGACCCUACGGGUUCGGGAGACAUGCAGACAUGACCGAGACGACUCUCCGGCCAAUAACCAACAGCAGGAUUUGGAUACCCAUGUUGGAUCCCACAUGCUCCUCGAUGAUCUCAUCAGAUGAACCACGCUGUCAAGGAUUCAAGUAAUCCCAUAUACAAUUCCCUUUGUCAAUCAGUACGUUACUUGCCCGAGAUUCGAUCGUCGGUAUACCAAUACCUCAUUCAAUCUCGUUACCGGCAAGUCACUUUACUCGUACCGUAAUGCAUGAUCCCGUGACCAACCGCUUAGUCACUUUGAGCUCAUUAUGAUGAUGCAUUACUGAGUGGGCCCAGAGAUACCUCUCCGUGAUAAGGAGUGACAAAUCCCAGUCUCGAUCAGUGUCAACCAACAGACACUUUUGGAGAUACCUGUAGUAUACAUUUAUAGUCACCCAGUUACGUUGUGAUGUUUGGUACACCCAAAGCACUCCUAUGGUAUCCGGAAGUUACACGAUCUCAUGGUCUAAGGAAAUGAUACUUGACAUUGGAAAAGCUCUAGCAAACGAACUACACGAUCUUAUGCUAUGCUUAGGAUUGGGUCUUGUCCAUCACAUCAUUCUUCCAAUGAUGUGAUCCCGUUAUCAAUGACAUUCAAUGUCCAUGGUCAAGAAACCGUUACCAUCUAUUGAUAAACGAGCUAGUCAACUAGAGGCUCACUAGGGACAUGUUGUGGUCUAUGUAUUCAUACAUGUAUUACGAUUUCCAGAUAACACAAUUAUAGCAUGAAUAAAAGACAAUUAUCAUGAACGAGGAAAUAUAAUAAUAACCAUUUUAUUAUUGCCUCUAGGGCAUAUUUCCAACAGUCUCCUGCUUGCACUAGAGUCAAUAAUCUAGUUACAUUGUGAUGAAUCGAACACCCAUAGAGUUCUGGUGUUGAUCAUGUUUUGCUCGCGGAAGAGGUUUAGUCAACGGAUCUGCGACAUUCAGAUCCGUAUGCACUUUGCAAAUAUCUAUGUCUCCAUCUUGAACAUUUUCACGAAUGGAGUUGAAGUGACGCUUGAUGUGCCUGGUCUUCUUGUGAAACCUGGGCUCCUUGGCAAGGGCAAUAGCUCCAGUGUUGUCACAGAAGAGUGUUAUCGGCCCCGACGCAUUAGGUAUGACUCCUAGGUCGGUGAUGAACUCCUUCAUCCAUAUUGCUUCAUGCGCUGCCUCCGAGGCUGCCAUGUACUUUGCUUCACAUGUAGAUCCCGCCACCACACUUUGCUUGCAACUGCACCGGCUUACUGCCCCACCAUUCAAAAUAUACACGUAUCCGGUUUGUGACUUAGAGUCAUCCAGAUCUAUAUCGAAGCUAGCGUCGACAUAACCCUUUAUGACGAGCUCUUCGUCACCUCCAUAUACGAGAAACAUAUCCUUAAUCCUUUUCAGGUACUUCAGGAUAUUCUUGACCGCUGUCCAGUGUUCCAUGCCGGGAUUACUUUGGUACCUUCCUACCAAACUUACGGCAAGGUUUACAUCAGGUCUGGUACACAGCAUGGCAUACAUGAUAGACCCUAUGGCUGAGGCAUAGGGGACGACACUCAUCUUUUCUCUAUCUUCUGUCGUGGUCGGACAUUGAGCCGAGCUCAAUUUCACAGCUUGCAACACAGGCAAGAACCCCUUCUUGGACUGGUCCAUAUUGAACUUCUUCAAUAUCUUAUCAAGGUAUGUGCUUUGUGAAAGUCCUAUGAGGCGUCUCGAUCUAUCUCUAUAGAUCUUGAUGCCUAAUAUGUAAGCAGCUUCUCCAAGGUCCUUCAUUGAAAAACACUUAUUCAAGUAGGCCUUAAUGCUGUCCAAAAGUUAUAUAUCAUUUCCCAUCAAAAGUAUGUCAUCCACAUAUAAUAUGAGAAAUGCUACAGAGCUCCCACUCACUUUCUUGUAAACGCAGGCUUCUCCAUAAGUCUGCAUAAACCCAAACGCUUUGAUCAUUUCAUUAGAGCAAAUGUUCCAAGUCCGAGAUGCUUGCACCAGCCCAUAGAUGGAGCGCUGGAGCUUGCAUACCUUGUUAGCAUUUUUAGGAUCGACAAAACCCUCCGGCUGCAUCAUAUACAGUUCUUCCUUAAGAUGACCGUUAAGGAAUGCCGUUUUGACGUCCAUUUGCCAUAUCUCAUAAUCAUAGUAUGCGGCAAUUGCUAACAUGAUUUGGACGGACUUCAGCUUCGCUACGGGAGAGAAAGUCUCAUCGUAGUCAACCCCUUGAACUUGUCGAUAACCCUUAGGGACAAGUCGAGCUUUAUAGAUGGUAACAUUACCAUCCGCAUCCGUCUUCUUCUUAAAGAUCCAUUUGUUUUCUAUCGCUCGCCGAUCAUCGGGCAAGUCUGUCAAAGUCCAUACUUUGUUUUCAUACAUGGAUCCUAUCUCGGAUUGCAUGGCUUCAAGCCAUUUGUUGGAGUCUGGGCCCGCCAUGGCUUCUUCAUAGUUCGAAGGUUCACCGUUGUCUAACAACAUGAUUUCCAGGACAGGGUUGCCAUACCACUCUGGUGUGGAACGUGUCCUCGUGGACCUACAAAGUUCAGUAGUAACUUGAUCCGAAGUACCUUGAUCAUCAUCAUUAGUUUCCUCUCUAGUCAGUGCAGGCACCACAGGAACAUCUUCCUGAGCUGCGCUACUUUCAAGAGGUAGUACUUCAUCAAGUUCCACUUUCCUCCCACUUAGUUCUUUCGAGAGAAACUCUUUCUCCAGAAAGGACCCGUUCUUGGCAACAAAGAUCUUGCCUUCGGAUCUGAGGUAGAAGGUAUACCCAAUGGUUUCCUUAGGGUAUCCUAUGAAGACGCAUUUCUCCGACUUGGGUUCGAGCUUUUCAGGUUGAAGUUUCUUGACAUAAGCAUCGCAUCCCUAAACUUUUAGAAACGACAGCUUAGGUUUCUUCCCAAACCAUAGUUCAUACGGUGUCGUCUCAACGGAUUUAGACGGUGCCCUAUUUAAAGUGAAUGUAGUUGUCUCUAGAGCGUAUCCCCAAAAUGAUAGCGGUAAAUCGGUGAGUGACAUCAUGGAUCGCACCAUAUCCAAUAGAGUGCGAUUACGACGUUCGGACACACCAUUACGCUGAGGUGUUCCAGGCGGCGUGAGUUGUGAAACGAUUCCACAUUUCCUUAAGUGUGUACCAAAUUCAUGACUUAAAUAUUCUCCUCCACGAUCUGAUGGUAAGAACUUUAUCUUUCGGUCACGUUGAUUCUCUACCUCAUUCUGAAAUUCCUUGAACUUUUCAAAGGUUUCAGACUUGUGUUUCAUCAAGUAGAUAUACCCAUAUCUACUCAAGUCGUCAGUGAGAGUGAGAACAUAACAAUAUCCUCCGCGAGCCUCAACGCUCAUUGGACCACACACAUCAGUAUGUAUGAUUUCCAAUAAGUUGGUUGCUCGCUCCAUUGUUCCGGAGAACGGAUUCUUGGUCAUUUUGCCCAUAAGGCAUGGUUCGCACGUGUCAAAUGAUUCGUAAUCAAGAGACUCCAAAAGUCCAUCAGCAUGGAGCUUCUUCAUGCGUUUGACACCAAUGUGACCAAGGCGGCAGUGCCACAAGUAUGUGGGACUAUCGUUAUCAACUUUACAUCUUUUGGUAUUCACAUUAUGAAUAUGUGUAACAUCACGUUCGAGAUUCAUUAAGAAUAAACCCCAUUGACCAGCGGGGCAUGACCAUAAAAUAUAUCUCUCAUAUAAAUAGAACAACCAUUAUUCUCGGAUUUAAAUGAGUCGCCAUCUUGCAUUAAACGAGAUCCAGAUACAAUGUUCAUGCUCAAAGCUGGCACUAAAUAACAAUUGAGGUUUAAAACUAAUCACGUAGGUAAAUGUAGAGGUAGCGUGCCGACGGCGAUCACAUCGACCUUGGAACCAUUCCCGAUGCGCAUCGUCACCUCGUCCUUCGCCAGUCUCCGCUUAUUCCGCAGCUCCUGUUUUGAGUUACAAAUAUGAGCAACCGCACCGGUAUCAAAUACCCAGGAGCUACUACGAGUACUGGUAAGGUACACAUCAAUUACAUGUAUAUCACAUAUACCUUUAGUGUUGCCGGCCUUCUUGUCCGCUAAGUAUUUGGGGCAGUUUCGCUCCCAGUGUCCCUUUCCCUUGCAAUAAAAGCACUCAGUCUCGGGCUUGGGUCCAUUCUUUGGCUUCUUCCCGGCAGCUGGCUUACCGGGCGCGGCAACUCCCUUGCCGUCCUUCUUGAAGUUCUUCUUACCCUUGCCUUUCUUGAAACUAGUGGUUUUAUUGACCAUCAACACUUGAUGUUCCUUUUUGAUUUCCACCUCUGCUGAUUUCAGCAUUGAAAAUACUUCAGCAAUAGUGUUCACCAUCCCCUACAUAUUGUAGUUCAUCACAAAGCUCUUGUAGCUAGGUGGGAGUGACUGAAGGAUUCUGUCAAUGACCUCCUCGUCCGGGAGGUUAAUCUCCAGCUAGGACAAGCAGUUGUGCAACCCAGACAUUUUGAGUAUGUGCUCACUGACAGAACUAUUUUCCUCCAUCUUACAACUGUAGAACCUGUCAGAGACUUCAUAUCUCUCGACCCAGGCAUGAGCUCGGAAAACCAUUUUCAGCUCUUCGAACAUCUCAUAUGCUCUGUGUUGCUCAAAACGCUUUUGGAGCCCCGGUUCUAAGCUGUAAAGCAUGCCGCACUGAAUGAGAGAGUAAUCAUCAGGACGUGACUGCCAAGCGUUCAUAACGUCUUGGUUCUCUGGGAUGGGUGCUUCACCUAGUGGUCCUUCUAGGACAUAUGCUUUCUUGGCAGCUAUGAGGAUGAUCCUCAGGUUCCGGACCCAGUCCGAAUAGUUGCUGCCAUCAUCUUUCAGCUUAGUUUUCUCUAGGAACGCGUUCAAGUUAAGGUUGACAUGAGCGUUGGCCAUUUGAUCUACAAGACAUUUUGCAAAGGUUUUUAGACUAAGUUCAUGAUAAUUAAGUUCAUCCAAUCAAAUUAUUUAAUGAACUCCCACUCAGAUUAGACAUCCCUCUAGUCAUCUAAGUGAUACAUGAUCCGACUCAACUAGACCGUGUCCGAUCAUCAUGUGAGACGGACUAGUCAUCAUCGGUGAACAUCUCCAUGUUGAUUGUAUCUUCCAUAUGACUCAUGUUCGACCUUUCGGUAUCUUGUGUUCCGAGGCCAUGUCUGUACAUGCUAGGCUCAUCAAGUCAACCUAAGUGUUUUGCAUGUGUAAUUCUGUCUUACACCCGUUUUAUGUGAACAUUAGAAUCUAUCACACCCGAUCAUCACGUGGCGCUUUGAAACAACGAACUUUCGCAAUGGCGCACAGUUAGGUGGAACACUUUCUUGAAAUUAUUAUAAGGGAUCAUCUUAUUUACUACUGUCGUACUAAGCAAAUAAGAAGCAAAACAUGAUAAACAUCACAUGCAAUCAAAUAGUGACAUGAUAUGGCCAAUAUCAUAUUGCUCCUUUGAUCUGCAUCUUUGGGGCGCCAUGAUCAUCUUCGUCACCAGCACGACACCAUGAUCUCCAUCAUCGUGUCUUCAUGAAGUUGUCACGCCAACGAUUACUUCUACUUCUAUGGCUAACGUGUUUAGCAAUAAAGUAAAGUAAUUUACAUGGCAUUAUUCAAUGACACGCAGGUCAUACAAAAAAUAAAGACAACUCCUAUGGCUCCUGCCGGUUGUCAUACUCAUCGACGUGCAAGUCGUGAUUCCUAUUACAAGAACAUGAUCAAUCUCAUACAUCACAUAUAUUUCAUUCAUCACAUCCUUUUGGCCAUAUCACAUCACAAGUCAUAUGCUACAAAAACAAGUUAGACGUCCUCUAAUUGUUGUUGCAUGUUUUUACGUGGCUUCUAUAGGUUUCUAGCCAGAACGUUUCUUACCUACGUAAAACCACAACAUGAUAUGCCAAUUUCUAUUUACCCUUCAUAAGGACCCUUUUCAUCGAAUCCACUCCAACUAAAGUGGGAGAGACAGACACCCGCUAGCCACCUUAUGCAACUAGUGCAUGUCAGUCGGUGGAACCUGUCUCACGUAAGCGUACGUGUAAGGUCGGUCCGGGCUGCUUCAUCCCACGAUGCCGCCGAAGCAAGAUAAGACUAGUAGUGGCAAGAAAAUUGACAACAUCUACGCCCACAACAAGUUUGUGUUCUACUCGUGCAUAGAAACUACGCAUAGACCUAGCUCAUGAUGGCAUUGUUGGGGAACGUUGCAAAAAAUAAAAAAUUUCUAUGCUUCACCAAGAUCAAUCUAUGGAUUCAUCUAGCAACGAGAUAGAGGAGUGCAUCUACAUACCCUUGUAGAUCACGCGGAAGCGUUCAAGAGAACCGGGUUGAGGGAGUCGUACUCGUCGUGAUCCAAAUCACCGAUGAUCCUAGUGCCGAACGGACGUCACCUCCGCGUUCAACACACGUACAUUUGGGAAGACGUCUCCUCCUUCUUGAUCCUGCAAGGGGAAGGGAGAGGUUGAUGGAGAUCCAGAAGCACGACGGCGUGGUGGUGGAAGUAGCAGCGAUCUCGGCAGGGCUUCGCCAAGCUCUACGAGAGGGAGAGGUGUUGCAGAGGGAGAGGGAGGUGCCAGGGACUAGGGUGCGGCUGCCCUCCCUCCCCCCUCUUUAUAUAGGGGCCAGGGGGCGCCGGCCCCCUAGAGACUGGAUCUCAAGGGAGGGGGGCAGCGGCCAAGGGGGGUGGCUUGCCCCCCAAGCCAAGUGGGGCGCCCCCACCCCUAGGGUUUCCAACCCUAGGAGCAGGGGGAGGCCCAAGGGGGGCGCACCAGCCCACCAGGGGCUGGUUCCCCUCCCACUUCAGCCCAUGGGGCCCUCCGGGAUAGGUGGCCCCACCCGGUAGACCCCCGGGACCCUUCCAGUGGUCCCGGUACAAUACUGGUGACCCCCGAAACUUUCCCGAUGGCCGAAACUGGACUUCCUAUAUAUAAUUCUUCACCUCUGGACCAUUCCGGAACUCCUCGUUACGUCCGGGAUCUCAUCCGGGACUCUGAACAACUUUCGGUUACCGCAUACUAGCAUCUCUACAACCCUAGCGUCACUGAACGUUAAGUGUGUAGACCCUACGGGUUCGGGAGACAUGCAGACAUGACCGAGACGACUCUCUGGCCAAUAACCAAUAGCGGGAUCUGGAUACCCAUGUUGGCUCCCACAUGCUCCUCGAUGAUCUCAUCGGAUGAACCACGAUGUCAAGGAUUCAAGUAAUCCCGUAUACAAUUCCCUUUGUCAAUCGGUACGUUACUUGCCCGAGAUUCGAUCGUCGGUAUACCAAUACCUUGUUCAAUCUCAUUACCGGCAAGUCACUUUACUCGUACCAUAAUGCAUGAUCCCGUGACCAACCGCUUAGUCACUUUGAGCUCAUUAUGAUGAUGCAUUACCGAGUGGGCCCAGAGAUACCUCUCCGUCAUACGGAGUGACAAAUCCCAGUCUCAAUCCGUGUCAACCCAACAGACACUUUCAGAGAUACCUGUAGUAUACCUUUAUAGUCACCCAGUUACGUUGUGACGUUUGGUACACCCAAAGCACUCCUACGGUAUCCGGGAGUUACACGAUCUCAUGGUCUAAGGAAAUGAUACUUGACAUUGGAAAAGCUCUAGCAAAUGAACUACACGAUCUUGUGCUAUGCUUAGGACUGGGUCUUGUCCAUCACAUCAUUCUUCCAAUGAUGUGAUCCCGUUAUCAAUGACAUCCAAUGUCCAUGGUCAGGAAACCAUGACCAUCUAUUGAUAAACAAGCUAGUCAACUAGAGGCUCACUAGGGACAUGUUGUGGUCUAUGUAUUCACACAUGUAUUACGAUUUCCGGAUAACACAAUUAUAGCAUGAAUAAAAGACAAUUAUCAUGAACGAGGAAAUAUAAUAAUAACCAUUUUAUUAUUGCCUCUAGGGCAUAUUUCCAACACCAACCUCUCCAGUUUAUAUAGACACCGGAGAGGGCUAGGGUUUACAUGGAGUCGGUUACAAGGAAGGAAACACAAUAUCUGGAUCGCCAAGCUUGACUUCCACGCAAAGGAGAGUCCCAUCUGGACACAGACCGAAGUCUUGAGUCUUGUAUCUUCACACUUCAAUAGUCCGGACGUUGCACAUAGUACGGCUGUCCGGAUACCCCCUAAUCCAGGACUCCCUCAGUAGCCCCUGAACCAGGCUUUAAUGACGAUGAGUCCGGCGCGCAGUAUUGUCUUCGGCAUUGCAAGGCGGGUUCCUUCUCCGAGUACUCCAAAGUAAUUAUCGAACACGUAGAGCGUGUCUGGAUCUGCAAGAUGAUCUUCACGUGGCAUAAAUAUGAUCUGCUGGCAAUCUUCGUGCGUCGUGCCCAUGCAUCAUGGCCUGGUCCAAUGCGAACCAGCGUUUCUUACCCCACAAUGACUCGUGUUACGAGGCAGUUUUAUUGGCAUGUCCUGUCGAGGCAGAGAUCGUGUUCCUCUUAUUACGGGAUUUUCCAUUAAUAUGGGCGUGUGUGACCCCACGACGGCCGUUGGUACAACUCCCUGUGUUUUUAGAUAAGCCUCAAACGGUCACAUCGAGGACUCUUGAUAUUCACCCUCUUUAUAAAGGGGUCGAGGCCUAUGCCUCUUUUCCACCUUCCUCGCGCCUUCUCGUACCUCAAGUUCUAACACCCGAAACCCAAGCUUCGACACCCCAGAUCCUCCAAUAUGUCCGGAUCCGCCCCUUAGGGCCGAUGGGUGGCCUCCUCAAUUCAAUAGGAAGACAUUGCGAGGCUUAGGGAGGUCAGAUACCUGACCGCCGAUAUUCAGCACAGGCUUCCUGCUCCAGGGCAAGUCAUCGCCACACCGGAGCCCAAUGAGUGCGUCGUUUUUGUCCCACACUUCCUCUGCGGCUUGGGCUUCACCCUCGACCCCUUUGUGAGGGGGCUCAUGUUCUAUUAUGGGUUGGAUUUUCAUGAUCUGGCUCCAGACGCCAUCCUCCAUAUCUCGUCGUUCAUCAUCGUGUGCGAGGCUUUUCUCCAUGUCACCCCACACUUCGGCUUAUGGCUUAAGACCUUCAGUGUGAAGCCGAAGAUGAUCGAGGGGCGACAUGCGGAGUGCGGAGGCGCCAUAAUAAGCAGGAACGCCGAUGCCCCAUGGCCAGAGGGUUCUUUCCCGGAAGUAUCCAAUGUAUGGCAACGGAGGUGGUUUUAUGUCACGGCUCCCAGAGGCACGAAGUGGGUGGCUGCUCCCGAGUUCCGCUCGGGCCCCCUGUCACAGCUAGCGUCUUGGAGCGACAUAGGGCGGAAUUGGGGGCCCGCUGGUGAUGUACCAGUACUGCAGAAUCACAUCCGGGAGCUCCUUGAGAGGGACAUUAAUCUUGUCAGCAUAAUGCAAGUGAUGCUAAUCCGACGGAUGUUGCCGUGCCAACGCUGGCCUCUCCGGAUGUGGGAGUUCAAUCCGGAGGGUCCGCGGACUGUCAAUCACUUCUUCGACUUGAAGCCCGAGGAGAUGUGCAAAUUAUUCUUCGGACAGAAAGUAGAGUGUCCGGACACCACCGAGGAUGCGGGCCUAAGCUGCAAUCGCCUAGAUACCCAAGUAAGUAAUCUUGAUAUCGGACACCUUGUUUUGAGUUUGUCAUAGUUGUUUAUUUUGAAAAUCAUCCGUGGCCAGGAAUGGCUCAGCAAGGUGGAGAGAAUCAGCUGUCCGGCGCCACUUCCCGAAGGUUUGCCUGGUCCCACCGUGGCCAAGAUGCUUGACUGGGUACUCAGCAGGAUGCCCUCGGGGAAAGACAAGGGGAAGAAUGAAGAAACCGAACCCCACACACUACGCAUCUGAACCUGGGGAAUUGUUACCUCCCCUAAGGAGGAUAGUCGGGAAAGGGAGGCUAAGGCCUCCUCCCCGCGCGGGAGGAAGAGGGCUGCCUCCGAAGACAUGGAGGCGGAGAUGCCCAAACCAGGGAAAAAGACAUCCCCGGGGGACCUUGCCCUGACGGGCACCCUCACCGCAUCAUGCCCUCCAACGGGCCAGCCCUCCAUCGAGCUGUAAGUCAAUUUACAAUCCGAAGGUACUGUGUUUAUCCUAGAUCAAUAACCAGGAUUCAACUUUUUGCAGUCCGGCCAGCAGCUUUUCUCAACAGGGUUCGUCUUCGGGGGACCUUCCUCAGGAGAUGAUGGAAAGUGAGACCCCACCCGCCUCUCUGACUCAUGAAACGGGCGACACCGAGGUGUCGUCACGGAGGAGUCCGGAUCCGCUGAAGCCGGAAGCCAAUACGUCAGCCGCCCUGAGUCAGGAGCAUUUGGCUCACACGAGGGGCGAUGGGAAGGGUCCAGCGCAGUUCAAUGUCCGGCCGGACGUACUAACGGGCUUACUGGAGCGAGCUGCGCUCUCGGAGGAGCACCGCUCGUUAAUGAGCGCGGUGCUCAAGAAGAUUUCAUCCGCUACAAGCGGUUUGGAUGAAGCAUUCACAAGCCUUCUCAGAGGCUUUGAGGUAUGAAAUGAAGACUACACUAUUUCUUUGGCUGUGAAGCACGCGCUAGGUGUGCUCCAUAUAGAUAGUAGCCCCUGAGACUCUGGUUGCCCGCCCUAGGCAGCAAACGGGGGAUCAUAAACCAAUGAUUGUGCUGUAAAUAUGUGCAUGUACCUAUGGGUCCGGACACCGGCCAAUCCGUUGAAGUUGUCGAACUAACGAGGCAAAUUGGGUCGAUUGAUGCCGAUAUCACACUGGUGAAUGAGCGGCUGGACAUAUCACAAGGUAUGUGUCAUGCCUUCCCUUGUAUAGGAAAAUAUGAAGGUGGCAUGAUAUUGAUGUAAUAUGUUUGGACUGCAGAUGGUGCUGCUGCCGUGAAGGCCCUGAGGGCAGAACUUGCUCAAGCCAAGGAACAAGCUCGGGUGAGCAAUGUGGCUGCCUAAAGUCGGCCGAGGAAUUGAGGGCCGAACAGGCUGCUCAUCGCCGAAGCAAGGAAAAGAUAGCCAAAAUGGCUAUUGAGUUAAAAAAUGCCGCUGACCGGUAUGAGCUCCUUAAAAAGGAACAUGAGGAUAAUUCGGCUGAACUGAACAAGGCACUGAACGCCACCAAGGAAAUCCGGACCAAGCUCAGGGGGGCGCGGGAGGAGCUUCGACAGGCCGGUGAAAUCGCGGCUGGGGGCUCCUAUUUGCUGCGGACAAAUUUUUUUGAUCUGAAGUACGCUCCCCUGGAUGGACGCUGGAGUCCUGCGGAUGCGUAUGUGGAUUUGGCGAAGAGUACGGCUGACGCUGCCGACUUCUUCAAAGGUCAAGGUGACAAGGAAGUGGAGAAGCUUUUCUGGUCGCAAUUCCAUGCUCCCACUCGCCCGCUGCCGUUAAGUGACAAGAUGGCUGCUGUAGCGGAGCUUCACAGGCUGCUCAUCACCGAAGCAAGGAAAAGAUAGCCAAAAUGGCUAUUGAGUUAAAAAAUGCCGCUGACCGGUAUGAGCUCCUUAAAAAGGAACAUGAGGAUAAUUCGGCUGAACUGAACAAGGCACUGAACGCCACCAAGGAAAUCCGGACCAAGCUCAGGGGGGCGCGGGAGGAGCUUCGACAGGCCGGUGAAAUCGCGGCUGGGGGCUCCUAUUUGCUGCGGACGAAUUUUUUUGAUCUGAAGUACGCUCCCCUGGAUGGACGCUGGAGUCCUGCGGAUGCGUAUGUGGAUUUGGCGAAGAGUACGGCUGACGCUGCCGACUUCUUCAAAGGUCAAGGUGACAAGGAAGUGGAGAAGCUUUUCUGGUCGCAAUUCCAUGCUCCCACUCGCCCGCUGCCGUUAAGUGACAAGAUGGCUGCUGUAGCGGAGCUUCACAGGCUGUCCGGGCAUGCAAUGCGGUCUGUAAUAGACCAUCUUUGGCCAAAGGGGCCUAAGCCAGACAGUUACUUUGGUUUGAUGCAACAGUUCCUUGGGGCCGUGCCUCGGAUUGAUGCCAUGAGGAGGUCGGCAUGUAUAGAGGGUGCACAGAUGGCUCUUGCCCGCGUUAAAGCCUAUUGGGCGGAUAUGGAUGCCACCAUUAUAGCGUCCCAGGAUCCGGUGGGGGGCCAAUAUCUGGCCGAGCACUACUUGGCAUAGGUCACAGAGGGUGCCCGCCUGAUAGAGGCGCAGUGCUCGAAGAAUGUUUUAUUCGAGUGAUGAGUCGAAUUAUUGUAAAAACAAUGUUUAUUUUGAUUAUAAGGCUAUAUUUAUCCUAAAAAUAUGAUUGUAUCCCCUGUGUGGCCGUUUAUAUAUAUAUAUAUAUAUAUAUAUAUAUAUAUAUACAUAUACGUGUGUGUGUGUAAUCCGAAAGUUAGCAGUCGUUGGCUUCAGCCCCCACGCAUAUAAUGCGGGGGUGUUCGUGAAAAAUGUGCUUAAUCACACUUGUUCCAACGUCUUGGUCCAUUAAGGAGGUGAUCCCACGUCGAACUAGGCAACCGGACUAUAUAGUUGUAACACUUUCGCUUAGCCACGGGAGUUUAACAUUGGGGCUACUAUGUAGCCCCUGGUACCCUCACGUGCAUCCGAAUACGGGCGCGUGUGUACAUGGCCGAGAAAUGGCCCUUCAUUAAUGCGGAGGAAUCCAAAAGAUUCUGAUGAGUCCUUGAGUGGUUGAACAGUCUCUUGUUGCAUCAUGACAGUCAGUUUUCGGCUUUCUCUACUGAGGUGCUCGUCCGGAAAAACCAGGGCACAAUCGCAGUAGUUCUCCUUUGGCCACCUUAGCCGAUAAUAACGGAACAUAAGGCGGCAAACCCAGGAGCCGGGCAAACCCAACAUUUUACCAAAGACAUGAUUCGGAGCUGAUGCAUAUAAGGCCUAACUCGUGACGCCGAACACUCCCGAAGGUAUUCGGACUUCAUAAUAGAUGAUGGGCUCAAGAAUGCCUAUUCAUUAUAAACCCUGUGUUUCCAGGUAUGUGCAUUAAUCUGUCGUGGCGAAAUGCCAAAACGGCAGUAUCCUCUAUGGGUAUGGAACCCAUGGGAUGGUUAAACAACAAGAGGCAAUAGAAAAGGUUUACACAUGGGCUUAAUCUAAAAAGAAACUUGUUGAACGGGGCCCUGUUGCACGUCUGCGCCUUUGUCUCCGUUAUGCCGUAUCCUGUAAGGGUAUCGCGCAAACGUUGUAUGUGGAAAAAGAAAACUCAUAGUAGGUUACAACGUUAGUACGCGAUGGAUAGUAAAAGUGUAAGCUGUUGGCCUGCCAAUAAGGUUGAGCCAAGUGUGGGGCUUUAUUAGGUAGUUAUAGCCCCUGGUAUCCACUAUAGGAUUACAUAUAAGGUGCCCUAGUUCGAUCUGGGCUACCGGACUCGUCUAACCGUGUCCAUGGUCUUAACGACCGGUCAUAUUUUUUUUGAUGUUGGAGGUCGCUUAUAGUCCGGCCACGAGGGCCGUCGCAUGUUCCUCUGCGCGUGACGAGCGCUCUGUUAUUCCGCUGACGGCGAUGACGCCACGUGGACCGGACAUCUUAAGUGUAAGGUAUCCAUAGUGCGGCAAUGCGUUGAAGCGGGCGAAGGCCAUUCUUCCGAGCACUGCGUGAUAGUCGCUUUGGAAGGGUGCGAUGAUGAAGAGUAGUUCUUCGCUUCUAGAGUUGCCUGGAGAGCCGAAUGUUACCUCCAGUAUGACGAAGCCCCUGCUGUAGGCUUCGACGCCUGGUAUCACCCCUUCAAAGGUGGUGUUGCUUUGGCUGAUUCUGGAUGGGUUUAUCCCCUUCCUGCGGACAGUGUCCUCGUAUAUUAAAUUGAGACUACUGCCGCCGUCCAUGAGGACCCGGGUGAGACGGUAUCCCUCGAUCAUUGGGUCAAGCACCAAGGCCUCUGAUCCGCCGCGCCGAAUACUAAUCCGGCUGUCCAAGUGAUUGAAAGUGAUCGGAUAAGACAUCCAGUAGUUAGGUGUGGGUAUGAUGGGCUCUAUAUCGUGCACGUCUCUAUGCACGCGUUCGUGCCCUCUCAUGGAUGUGUGAGUCGUGUGGAUCAUGUUUACUGUUUGAACCUCUGGCGGGAAUUUUUUUCUGUCCCGCAGUGUUCAGCUAGCGAGGUUCAUCCUCGUCCUCACUUGGUGUUUUCCUUCCCUUGUGUUCGACAUUCAAUUUGCCGGCCUGCUUGAAGACCCAACACUCUCUGUGCGUGUGGUUUGCAGGCUUGUCAGGGGUGCCAUGGAUUUGGCACAAUCUGUCUAGGACUCUAUUCAGUCCGGACGGUCCCUCUUUACUGCCUUUAGAUGGCUUAUUUUGCUGAUUAGGUCGAGAGCCCCUGAAUCCGGCAUUAACCGUUGUGUUAUCCAGGCUCUCUUCCUUGUUUUGGCGUUUAUUUUUAUUAUGCCAUGGCUUCCCAUUGCCAUCCCUUAUUUCGGAUGUGCUGGGGUCGCUGGUGCCUUUACGAGCUAGCCAGCUAUCUUCUCCCGCGCAAAAGCGGGUCAUAAGGCUUGUUUGGGCUGCCAUUGUCCUUGGCUUUUCUUGGCCGAGGUGUCUGGCGAGCCACUCGUCACGGAUGCUGUGUUUGAGUGCCGCUAAGGCUUUGACAUCCGGACAAUCAACAAUUUGAUUCUUCUUAGUGAGGAAUCUGUUCCAAAGCUUGCGGGCGGACUCUCUAGGCUGUUGGACUAUGUGACUUAAAUCGUCAGCAUCCGGAGGCCGGACAUAAGUCCCUUGAAAAUUGGCCCUGAAGGCGUCUUCGAGUUCUUCCCAGCUCCCAGUUGAAUUUUUGGGGAGGCUUUUCAACCAGUGUCUAGCUGGUCCCUUUAGUUUGAGUGGAAGGUAUUUGAUGGCGUGGAGGUCAUCCCCGUGAGCCAUAUGUAUAUGUAGGAUAAAGUCCUCUAUCCAGACCCCUGGGUCUGUCGUUCCGUCAUAUGCCUCUAUGUUCACAGGUUUAAAGCCCUGUGGAAAUUCGUGGUCCAGUACUUCAUCAGUAAAGCACAGGGGGUGAGCAGCCCCUCUGUAUCUGGACAUACUGUGGCAUAUGCCGUUGGCUGUUGUUGUGUUCGGUGUUUAUUCCGAACUGGUAUUUGGUUGGUGUAAUCGUUGUGGUGACCAUAGUCCCUCGCCGGGGUGUGUCCUUUAGAUCUGUAGAUGUACCUAGCUGCGCCAGCUAUCUUAUCCAGGUGCUCACGUAGGUCAUGUGCGGCGUCUGUAGCUGCUUUGUUGCGGUUAUGGAGUGGUACGUCUGGUCUCCUGGUCGUGUUACUCUUUGGUGGAACGGCCUCGUCGUUGAAUUCUGGCAGUAGCUUACGUUUUGGGUAGCUCUUUGUAUGGCGAUCGUCGCCAUAUCUUUCUUCAGUGUCAAGCACUUUGUUCCAUCUGCGAUUGAGCAUUUCCUGUGCGGCUUUAAGCCGUUGCUUCUGCUUCUCCAGACUUCUCACUAUGGCCAUAAGCUUCCUGUGGAGGUUAUCUCAUUCCACGCAUUCUUCCAAAAUGAUGAAUGCGUCAUCAUCCGGACUAUCUUCUUGUCCUGGGCCGGUUUGAUGAACUCGUCCCUUUGGAUCAUUGUCUUCGGGCGUCUGCUCCAAACUGUGUUCGGCGUGACCUAGUUCGUCCUGCUCCAUCGCUGGUUCCGUAUGGUCGUUGUUGCCUUCAGGGUUGGCCGGAGUAUCGAUCCCUCUGGCGCUUUUGCUAGUAUUUUUACUGUUGCUGGACUUGGAACGGCGUCUGUGCCGUCACUUUGGCUUUUGCCCGGGGGUUUUAUCUUCUGGAUUGUCACCGUCAUCCUCCCUGGGUGUAUCCACCAUGUAUAUGUCGUGUGACGAGGCGGAAGUCCGGUGCCCCAUAGGUUCUGAAUCUUCUCCUGCAUCGUCGUCCAUACCGUCGAUGGCUUCAGAGUCGAAGUCAAGCACGUCGGUUAAAUCAUCAACCGUGGCUAUGAAGUGGGUGGUGGGUGGGCCGCGAAUCUCGUCGUCGCCUGCUUCCCACUCGAGCCAGACAUAGUUCGGCCAAAAGCCUCCUGACAAAGAGAGAGACUUUAAUGAGUUCAGCAUGUCGCAAAAGGGCGAGUGCUGAAAGAUGUCCGCAGCGGUGAACUCCAUUACCAGAGCCCAACCAGGUUCGGCGGGCUCGGGAAUGCGCGGACUGGAUCCUACAACCAGAUAUGAAUCCGGGGAUCGGGAGUCACAGGCAUCCUCAGAAGCGAGGCCUAUGUUCGGCUCCACCGCCGAUGAGGGUAUGGCCUGCGGGGCGGGGUCCAUCCCUCCGUCACUAGGCAACGCAGCCUGCUCCGGAUUUGAGUUUGGGGCUACUGCAGGGAUGAUAUCCCGAGCGUUGUCCGACAGCAGGUCCAGGCCAUGCUCGCCGUGACUGUCCGGCGCUCCUGGCGCGGGCCCGAAUCCAUUGGAGAUCAAGUCUCCGCGGAUCCGCCGUGUAGUUUAGGUUUCCGAACCUGAUUUGGUGGCCAGGGGCGUAGGUAUUGAUCUGCUCCAAAUGGCCAAGCGAAUUGGCCCGCAGUGCAAAGCCGUCAAACACGAAGAUCUGUCCGGGGAGGAAAGUCUCACCCUGGACCAUGUCACUGACGAUGAUUGAAGGAGCCAUCGAGCCUUGCAACAACGUCACGGAGGAACUCUCAAUGAAAGCACCAAUGUCGGUGUCAAAACCGGCGGAUCUCGGGUAGGGGGUCCCGAUCUGUGUGUCAAGGCUGAUGGUAAUAGGAAGCAAGGGACACAGAUGUUUACCCAGGUUCGGGCCCUCUCUAUGGAGGUAAAACCCUACUUCCUGCUUGAUUAAUAUUGAUGAUAUGGGUAGUACAAGAGUAGAUCUACCACGAGAUCAUAGAGGCUAAACCCUAAGAGCUAGCCUAUGAUGGUAUGAUUGUAAUUGUGAUCGGCAUUCUAAGAACCAAUCUCUCUGGUUUAUAUAGACACCAGAGAGGGCUAGGGUUUACAUGGAGUCAGUUACAAGGAAGGAAACACAAUAUCCGGAUCGCCAAGCUUGCCUUCCACGCAAAGGAGAGUCCCAUCCGGACACGGGCCGAAGUCUUGAGUCUUGUAUCUUCACGCUUCAAUAGUCCGGACGUUGCACACAGUCCGGCUGUCCAGAUACCCCCUAAUCCAGGACUCCCUCAGCGGGUAUCAUUAUUUUCUCACCUUCACAGAUGAUUUGAGCAGAUAUGGGUAUAUCUACUUGAUGAAACAUAAGUCUGAAACAUUCGAAAAGUUCAAAGAAGUUCAGAGUGAAGUGGAAAAUCAUCGUAACAAGAAAAUAAAGUUUCUACGAUCUGAUCGUGGAGGAGAAUAUUUUUCUUACGAGUUUGGUCUUCAUUUGAAACAAUGCGGAAUAGUUUCGCAACUCACGCCACCCGGAACACAAAACAUAAUGGUGUGUCCGAACGUCGUAACCGCACUUUAUUAGAUAUGGUGUGAUCUACGAUGUUUCUUACUGAUUUACCGCUAUCAUUUUGGGGUUAUGCUUUAGAGACGGCUGCAUUCACGUUAAAUAGGGCACCAUCUAAAUCCGUUGAGACGACGCCUUAUGAACUGUGGUUUCGCAAGAAACCAAAGUUCUUGUUUCUUAAAGUUUGGGGCUGCAAUGCUUAUGUGCAAAAGCUUCAACCUGAUAAGCUCGAACCCAAAUCGGAGAAGUGUGUCUUCAUAGAAUACCCAAAGGAGACUGUUGGGUACACCUUCUAUCACAGAUCUGAAGGCAAGACGUUCGUUGCUAAGAAUGGAUCCUUUCUAGAGAAGGAGUUUCUCUCGAAAGAAGUGAGUGGGAGGAAAGUAGAACUUGAUGAGGUAACUAUACCUGCUCCCUUAUUGGAAAGUAAUUCAUCACAGAAAUCAGUUCAUGUGAUCCCUACACCAAUUAGUGAGAAAGCUAAUGAUAAUUAUCAUGAAACUUCAGAUCAAGUUACUACCAAACCUCAUAGGUCAACCAGAGUAAGAUCCGCACCAGAGUGGUACGGUAAUCCUGUUCCGGAGGUCAUGUUACUAGACCAUGACGAACCUACGAACUAUGAAGAAGCGAUGAUGAGCCCAGAUUCCGCGAAAUGGCUUGAGGCCAUGAAAUCUGAGAUGGGAUCCAUGUAUGAUAACAAAGUGUGGACUUUGGUUGACUUGCCCGAUGAUCGGCAAGCCAUAGAGAAUAAAUGGAUCUUCAAGAAGAAGACUGACGCUGACGGUAAUGUUACUGUCUACAAAGCUCGACUUGUCGUGAAAGGUUUUUGACAAGUUCAAGGAGUUGACUAUGAUGAGACCUUCUCACCCAUAGUGAUGCUUAAGUUUGUCCGAAUCAUGUUAGCAAUUGCUGCAUUUUAUGAUUAUGAAAUUUGGCAAAUGGAUGUAAAGACUGCAUUCCUGAAUGGAUUUCUAGAAGAAGAGUUGUAUAUGAUGCAACCUGAAGGUUUUAUCGAUCCAAAGAGUGCUAACAAAGUGUGGAAGCUCCAGUGAUCCAUUUAUGGACUGGUGCAAGCCUCACGGAGUUGGAAUAAACAUUUUGAUAGUGUGAUCAAAGCAUAUGGUUUUAUACAGACUUUUGGAGAAGCCUGUAUUUACAAGAAAGUGAGUGGGAGCUCUGUAACAUUUCUAAUAUUAUUUGUAGAUAACAUAUUGUUGAUUGGAAAUGAUAUAGAAUUUCUGAAUAGCAUAAAAGGAUACUUGAACAAGAGUUUUUCAAUGAAAGACCUCGGUGAAGCUGCUUAUAUAUUGGCAUCAAGAUCUAUAGAGAUAGAUCAAGACGCUUAAUUGGACAUUCACAAAGCACAUACCUUGAUAAAGUUUUGAAGAAAUUCAAAAUGGAUCAAGCAAAGAAAGGGUUCUUGCCUAUGUUACAAGGUGUGAAGUUGAGUCAGACUCAAUGCCUGACCACUGCAGAAGAUAGAGAAAGAAUGAAAGAUGUUCCCUAUGCUUCAGCCAUAAGCUCUAUCAUGUAUGCAAUGAUGUGUACCAGACCUGAUGUGUGCCUUGCUAUUAGUUUAGCAAGGAGGUACCAAAGUAAUCCAGGAGUGGAUCACUGGACAACGGUCAAGAACAUCCUGAAAUACAUGAAAAGGACUAAGGAUAUGUUUCUCGUUUAUGGAGGUGACAAAGAGCUCAUCGUAAAUGGUUACGUUGAUGGAAGCUUUGACACUAAUCUGGAUGACUCUAAGUCACAAACCGAAUACAUGUUAUUAUAGAACGGUGGAGCUGUAAGUUGGUGUAGUUCUAAGCAAAGCGUCGUGGCGGGAUCUACGUGUGAAGCGGAGUACAUAGCUGCUUCAGAAGCAGCAAAUGAAGGAGUCUGGAUGAAGGAGUUCAUAUCCGAUCUAGGUGCCAUACCUAGUGCAUUGGGUCCAAUGAAAAUCUUUUGUGACAAUACUGGUGCAAUUUCCUUGGCAAAGGAAUCCAGAUUUCAUAAGAGAACCAAGCACAUCAAGAGAUGCUUGAAUUCCAUCUGCGAUCUAGUCAAGGAGGGAGACAUAGAGAUUUGCAAGAUACAUACGGAUCUGAAUGUUGCAGACCCGUUGACUAAGCCUCUCUCACGAGCAAAACAUGAUCAGCACCAAGACUCCAUGGGUGUUAGAAUCAUUACUAUGUAAUCUAGAUUAUUGACUCUAGUGCAAGUGGGAGACUGAAGGAAAUAUGCCCUAGAGGCAAUAAUAAAGUUGUUAUUUAUAUUUCCUUAUAUCAUGAUAAAUGUUUAUUAUUCAUGCUAGAAUUGUAUUAACCGGAAACAUAAUACAUGUGUGAAUACAUGGACAAAAAGAGUGUCACUAGUAUGCCUCUACUUGACUAGCUCGUUGAUCAAAGAUGGUUAUGUUUCCUAGCCAUGGACAAAGAGUUUUCAUUUGAUUAACGGGAUCACAUCAUUAGGAGAAUGAUGUGAUUGACUUGACCCAUUCCGUUAGCUUAGCACUUGAUCGUUAAGUAUGUUGCUAUUGCUUUCUUCAUGACUUAUACAUGUUCCUAUGACUAUGAGAUUAUGCAACUCCCGAAUACCGGAGAAACACUUUGUGUGACACCAAACAUCACAACGUAACUGGGUGAUUAUAAAGGUGCUCUACAGGUGUCUCCGAUGGUGUUUGUUGAGUUGGCAUAGAUCGAGAUUAUGAUUUCUCACUCCGAUCGGAGAGGUAUCUCUGGGCCCUGACGGUAAUGCACAUCACUAUAACCCUUGCAAGCAAUGUGACUAAUGAGUUAGUUGCGGGAUGAUGCAUUAGAGAAUGAGUAAAGAGACUUGCCGGUAACAAGAUUGAACUAGGUAUUGAGAUACAGACGAUCGAACCUCGGGCAAGUAGCAUACCGAUGACAAAGGGAACAACGUAUGUUGUUAUGCGGUUUGACCGAUAAAGAUCUUCGUAGAAUAUGUGGGAGACAAUAUGAGCAUCCAGGUUACGCUAUUGGUUAUUAACCGGAGACAUGUCUCGGUCAUGUCUACAUAGUUCUCGAACCCGUAGGUCCGCACGCUUAACGUUCGGUGACGAUCGGUAUUAUGAGUUUUUGUGUUUUGAUGUACCGAAGGUAGUUCGGAGUCCCAGAUAUGAUCACGAACAUGACGAGGAGUCUCGAAAUGGUCGAGACAUAAAGAUCGAUAUAUUGGACGACUAUAUUUGGACAUCGGAAUGGUUCCGGGUGAGAUCGGGCAUUUAUCGGAGUACCGGGAGGUUACCAGACCCCCCGGGAGGUAUAUGGGUCUUAGUGGGCCUUAGUGGGAGAGAGGGGAAAUGAGCAAAGGAGGGGGCGCCCCCCCCCCCAAGCCCAAUCCGAAUUGGGAGGGGGCCGGGCCCCCCUUUCCUUCCUCCUUCCUCCCCCUUCCUUCUCUCCUAAUCCAACUAGGGAAAGGGGGGAAUCCUACUCCCGAUGGGAGUAGGACUCCCCUUGGGGCGCGCCUAGGAGGUCGACCUCCUCCCCCUCCUCCACUCCUUUAUAUACGGGGGAGGGGCACCCCAUAGACACAUAAGUUGAUCAUUGAUCUCUUAGCCGUGUGCGGUGCCCCCCUCCACCAUAAUCCACCUCGGUCAUAUCGUUGCAGUGCUUAGGCGAAGCCCUGCGCCGGUAGCUUCAUCAUCACCGUCAUCACGCUGUCGUGCUGACGAAACUCUCCCACGAAACUCUGCUAGAUCGUGAGUUCGUGGGACGUCAUCGAGCUAAACAUGUGCAGAACUCAGAGGUGCCGUGCAUUCAGUACUUGGAUCGGUCGGAUCGUGAAGAUGUACGACUACAUCAACCAAGUUGAUAAAACACUUUCGCUUACGGUCUACGAGGGUACGUGGACUAUACUCUUCCGCUCGUUGCUAUGCAUCACCAUGAUCUUGCAUGUGUGUAGGAAAUUUUUGAAAUUACUACGUUCCCCAACACUAUCGUCAUAGAAGUGUCAUAAGCAUGACAGGAAAAAAAUUCGUUCGGUCCCAAAUGUCACAGAUGUGUCUUUUUUUUGUAGUGCCCCCUCCACAGUUUAUCACCUCGGUCAUAUUGUCGUAGUGCUUAGGCGAAGCCCUGUGCGGAUCACAUCACCAACACCAUCGCCACGCCGUCGUGCUGACGGAACUCUCCCUAUACCCUCUACUGGAUCAAGAAGCUCGAGGGACGUCAUCGUGCUAAACGUGUGCCGAACAUGGAAGUGCCAUACGUUCGGUACUUGGAUCGGUUGGAUUGUGAAGACGUUCGACUACAUCAACUGCAUUACUAAACGCUUCCGCUUUCGGUCUAUGAGGGUACGUGGACACACUCUCCCGUCUCAUUGCUAUGCUUCUCCUAGAUAGAUCUUGCAUGAUCGUAGGAAUUUUUUUGAAUUACUACGUUCCCCAACAGUGGCAUCCAAGCCAGGUCUAUGCGUAGAUGUUACAUGCACGAGUAGAACACAAAGAGUUGUGGGCGAUAAUAGUCAUACUGCUUACCACCAACGUCUUACUUUGAUUCAGCAGUAUUGUUGGAUGAAGCGGCCCUGACCGACAUUACAUGACCGCAUUCAUGAGACUGGUUCUACCAAAGUGCUUCGCACACAGGUGGCUGGCGGGUGUCUGUUUCUCCAACUUUAGUUGAAUCGAGUUUGACUACCGUCGGUCCUUGUUGAAGGUUAAAACAACACACUUGACGAAAAAUCGUUGUGGUUUUGAUGCGUAGGUAAGAACGGUUCUUGCUAGAAGCCCGUAGCAGCCACAUAAAACUUGCAACAACAAAGUAGAGGACGUCUAACUUGUUUUUGCAGGGCAUGUUGUGAUGUGAUAUGGUCAAGACGUGAUGAGAUAUAAAUUGUUGCAUGAGAUGAUCAUGUUUUGUAAAAGUUAUCGGCAACUGGCAGGAGCCUUAUGGUUGUCGCUUUAUUGUAUGAAAUGUAAUCGCCUGUAAUUGCUUUUCUUUAUCACUAAGCGGUAGUGAUAGUCGUAGAAGCAAUAGUUGGUGAGACGACAACGAUGCUACGAUGGAAAUCAAGGUGUCAAGCCGGUGAUGAUGAAGAUCAUGACGGUGCUUUGGAGAUGGAGUUCAAAGGCACAAGAUGAUGAUGGCCAUAUCAUGUCACAUAUUUUGGUUGCAUGUGAUGUUCAUCCUUUAUGCAUCUUAUUUUGCUUAGUACGGUGGUAGCAUUAUAAGAUGAUCCCUCACUAAAUUUCAAGGUACAAGUGUUCUCCCUGAGUAUGCACCGUUGCUACAGUUCGUCGUGCCGAGACACCACGUGAUGAUCGGGUAUGAUAAGCUCUACGUUCACAUACAACGGGUGCAAGCCAGUUUUCCACAUGCAGAAUACUCGGGUUAAACUUGACGAGCCUAGCAUAUGCAGAUAUGGCCUCAGAACACUAAGACCGAAAGGUCGAACGUGAAUCAUAUAGUAGAUAUGAUCAACAUAGUGAUGUUCACCAUUGAAAACUACUCCAUCUCACGUGAUGAUCAGACAUGGUUUAGUUGAUAUGGAUCACGUGAUCAUUUAGAUGACUAGAGGGAUGUCUAUCUAAGUGGGAGUUCUUAAGUAAUAUGAUUAAUUGAACUUUAAUUUAUCAUGAACUUAGUCCUGAUAGUUUUUGCAUAUCUAUGUUGUAGAUCAAUAGCUCGCGUAUAGCUCCCCUAUUUUAUUUUUGAUAUGUUCAUAGAGAAAAAUUAAGUUGAAAGAUGAUAGUAGCAAUGAUGUGGACUGGGUCCAUGAGCAGAGGAUUAUCCUCAUUGCUGCACAGAAGAAUUAUGUUCUUGAUGCACCGCUAGGUGACGGACCUAUUGCAGGAGCAGAUACAAAUGUUAUGAACGUUUGGCAAGCUCGGUAUGAUGACUACUUGAUAGUUUAGUGCGCCAUGCUUUACGGCUUAGAACCGGGACUUCAAAAAUGUUUUGAACGCCAAGGAGCAUAUAAGAUGUUCCAAGAGCUGAAAUUGGUAUUUCAGACUCAUGCCCGAGUCGAGAGGUAUGAGACCUCUGAAAAGUAUUUUGCCUACAAGAUGGAGGAGAGUAGCUCAACCAGUGAGCAUGUGCUCAGAAUGUCUGAGUACUACAAUCGCUUGAAUCAAGUGGGAGUUAAUCUUCUAGAUAAGAUAGUGAUUGACAGAACUUCGUGAUGACGAAAAUGAUUCCCCGAGCUCUUCGCGAUGCUACAAUCGGCGAAGGUAGAAAUCAAGAAAAGAAUCAAGUGUUGAUGGUUGACAAGACCACUAGUUUCAAGUAAAAGGGCAAGGGAAAAAGGGAACUUCAAGAAUAAUGGCAGUCAAGUUGCCACUCCCAUGAAGAAGCCCAAAGCUAGACCCAAGCCUGAAACUGAGUGCUUCUACUACAAAGGAAAUGGUCACUGGAAGCGAAACUGCCCCAAAUACUUGGCGGAUAAGAAGGAUGGUAAAGUGAGCAAAAGUAUAUAUGAUAUACAUGUUAUUGAUGUGUACUUUACUAGUGUUCAUAGUAGCCCCAGGGUAUUUUGAAAGCACAAGUGCUCCCUAGGUGGUUUUGGUAAUUAAUGCCAACAUAUCUCUUGUUGGACUAACACUUCUAUCUAGUAUGUUUCAUAUAAGUUCAACAAUGGAGUGGCAUGGACUAAAGGAUGUGGGAACUCCUUCAAGAUGCUAAGGACAAAGGAUUGGCUCAAGCUUCAAGCUCAAGACUCGUCAUUUUACAUUUUAGUGAUCCAAGAUCACAUUGAGUCUAUAGGAAAAGCCAAUACUAUCAAGGAGGUAUGAGGUGUUGUUUAAUGAGCCUCUUGCUUCAUGUGCUUAGUGAUAUGCUCCAAAACCCUCAACUACUUUCCCACUUCCACAAAUGACCUAAACCUAAAGCAAAAUCAGUCACACCGAUUCUUCCUAUCCGGCGCCACCGAUUUCAUAUGUCCUAGCCACUGCCACAAACCCUAAGCAAAUCGGUUCUACCGAUAGGGAUCUCGGUAUCACCGAGAUGGGAUUGUAAUCUCUCUGUGUAUGUCCAUUAUCAAAAUUGGUCUCACCGAGUUUGAGCAGUCGCUACUAUCGAGAUUACAAUGCAAACUUUCUAGUUGACUCAUUACCAAAAUCGGUCCCACCGAGUUUGUGUAAUCGGUCAAACCAAGUUUGCCUGACCAACUCUCUGGAAAGCUUAUUACCAAAAUCGGUCUCACCGAGUUUGUGUAAUCGGUCUUACCGAGAUUACAUUAUGCCCUAACCCUAACCAUAUCGGUCUCACCGAGUUGCAUUUCGGUCCCACCGAAAACCCUAACGGUCACAUUAUUUGCUAAAUCGGUCUGACCGGGUUUAAUGAUUCGGUCCCACCGAGUUUGGUAGAUUGUGUGUAACGGUUAGAUUUUGUGUGGAGGCUAUAUAUACCCCUGCACCUCCUCUUCAUUCGUGGAGAGAGCCAUGAGACUGAACCUACACUUCCAGCAUACAUUUUUUGAGAGAGAACUACCUACUCAUGUGUUGAGGCCAAGAUAUUCCAUUCCUACCAUAUGAAUCUUGAUCUCUAGCCUUCCCCAAGUUGCUUUCCACUCAAAUAUUCUUUCCAUCAGAUCCAAAACCUAUGAGAGAGAGUUGAGUGUUGGGGAGACUAUCUUUUCAAGCACAAGAGCAAGGAGUUCAUCAUCAACGCACCAUUUGUUACUUCUUAGAGAGUGGUGUCUCCUAGAUUGGCUAGGUGUCACUUGGGAGCCUCUGACAAGAUUGUGGAGUUGAACCAAGGAGUUUGUAAGGCAAAGGAGAUCGCCUACUUCAUGAAAAUCGACCGCUAGUGAGGUAAGUCCUUCGUGGGCGACGGCCAUGGUCGGAUAACAAGGUUGCUUCUUCGUGGACCCUUCGUGGGUGGAGCCCUCCGUGGACUCGCGCAACCGUUACCCUUCGUGGGUUGAAGUCUCCAUCAACGUGGAUGUACGAUAGCACCACCUAUCGGAACCACGCCAAAAACAUCCGUGUCUCCAAUUGCGUUUGAAUCCUCCAAACCCUUCCCUUUACAUUCUUGCAAGUUGCAUGCUUUACUUUUCGCUGCCCAUAUAUACUCUUUGCAUGCUUGCUUGAUAUGUAUUGUGAAUGUUAAACGUGUGGCUAAUCUCCACUUAAACUUAAGAAAACUUAAAAACUGCAACUUUGGUACUUAGUGUCUAAUCACCCCCCCCUCUAGACACCUCUUCUCAAGGUCCUACAAGUGGUAUCAGAGCAUUGGUCUCCAUUGCUUUGGUUUAAUCACCAUUGGAGGAAGAUGGAUGAGUCUACUAUUGGGAGUCUUAGACAUAGAGUGCCUAUUCUUGAUGGAGAGUAUUUUCAUGAGUGGAAAAAUGAGAUGCUUGUUAUUUUCAAUCAAUAUCAUUUGAACAAGUACAUUGCUAGUCCUUGUGCACCUUAUGUUAAUCCUAUGCAUCCUACCCAUGAUGAGUCAAUUGACAUGAUUAGGAAUCUUAGAACUGCCGAACUUAUCAUUAGAGGAUUGCCUAGAAACUUGAUUGGAUGUUUGCCUACUUUUAAGUGUGCCUACACUAUAUGGAAAUUUCUUGAGGAACGAUUUCCAGAUUAUUCCUUGAAAAAUCUUGAUGAAAUUCUCCAUAAGUCUAUUGCCUUGAGUAAGAUGAAUUCUAGUGAUCCUACGUUUGGUGAUCGUCUAUUUGAGCUUACAAACCUUAUGCGUGCCAAAGGAAAUGUUGGUAUUAUUAGUGAUAUUGUUUCCGAAGCUAUAAAAAUUCAUAAGCAAGAUCAUUGUCAAACUCACUCUAACGAAUCACCCUCUCUAGGACUUGAUCCACCACAUGACGAUGUUGAACAUGGAUACUAUGAUGAGGAUGAUGAUAGUGACUUCGAUCUUGAUGAUGCAAUGAGACACUUUGGUCUUAUGGCAAAUCUCUUCGGGGAUAUAUGUCAGGAGGAAAGGAAUGGGUUCUUGAUAGUGGAUGUACCGAUCACAUGACCGGAGAUAAAGACAUGUUUCGUGAGCUUGCUGAUAAUGAUAGUCCUCGAAAGUAUGUCACUUUCGGUGACAACUCAAAGGGUAAGGUGGUUGGCCUCGGUAAGGUGGACAUAUCACAUGAUAGCUCCAUACAAAAUGUUAUGCUCGUUGAAUCUCUUGGAUACAACUUACUUUCAGUAUCUAGACUUGCUGAUUUCGGUUUCAAUGUUCUAUUUACUGAAGUAGAUUGCCAAGUAUUUUGUCGAGACAAUCAUAAAAUGGUCUUUACCGGUGUGCGUAGAGGUGAUCUAUACAUUGUUGAUUUCACUAAAAAGGCUCAACCUAAAACUUGCUUCAUUGCUAAAUCCUCAAAAGGUUGGUUAUGGCAUAGAAGACUAGGUCAUGUUGGUAUGCGAAACCUUGACAAGCUUAUUAAAGGAAAUCAUAUCCUUGGAGUUAACGAUGUCAUAUUUGAUAAGGAUAGACUUUGCAGUGCUUGUCAAGCAGGUAAACAGGUUGGAGGAAGGCAUCCCGUGAAGAACAUCAUGACCACAAGGAGGCCACUCGAGCUGCUUCACAUGGAUCUCUUUGGUCCCAACUCUUACAAGAGUCUCGGUGGAAAUUCUUUUGGUCUAGUUAGAGUUGAUGAUUUUUCAAGAUUUACGUGGGUGUUCUUUCUCGAUGAUAAAUCACAGGUCCAAAAGAUCUUCAAAAACUUCGCUAGGAAGGCCCAAAAUCAAUUUGAAGUGAAGACCAAGAAGGUUCGCAGCGACAACGGAACGGAGUUCAAGAACGCAAAUGUGGACACCUUUCUUGAUGAAGAACAGAUUUCACAUGAGUUCUCGGCUACGUACACACCUCAACAAAACGGAGUUGUUGAGAGGAAGAACCGGACGCUCAUCGAAAUGGCGAGAACGAUGCUUGAUGAGUAUAAGACGCCGAAGUACUUUGGGGCAGAAGCGGUUGAGACAGCUUGUCAUGCGACAAAUCGCUUGUAUCUUCACAAGCUACUCGGCAAGACGGCAUAUGAGCUCCUCACCGGUAACAAACCCCAAGUUGGAUACUUUCGAGUAUUUGGCUCAAUGUGCUACAUUCUUGAUAAGCAUCAUGGUUCUAAAUUUGCUCCUAAGUCUCAUGAAGGUUUCCUACUAGGUUAUGGCUCAAACUCUCACACUUACCGUGUCUACAACAAUUUCACCCGAAAGGUUGAAGAGACGGUAGAUGUGAAGUUUGAUGAAUCUAACGGCUCGCAAGUAGAGCAAUUGUCAAUUGAUGUAGGAGACAAAAAUCCUUCGGAAGCAAUUCAAGACUUGGCUAUUGGCAAGGUUCAUCCAACGGAGGUGAAGGAGAGUACCUCGUCCGUCCAAGUGGAAGCUUCUACCUCACGACAAGGUGAACCAAGAGUUGAUACGGAAGCAUCCACAAGUGGGACACACCAAGAUGAGGAAAACGAGGAAGUGCAUCAAGAUGAACGUCAACAACCUCCUUCUCCACCACGACAAGAGAACGACAACGCCAACAAUGAAGAAGGCCAAGAAGAAGAACAAGAUGAAAAAGAUGUUCAACGAAGACCCAAGCAAAAGCUUUCAUGAGUUCGAGCAAGAAUUGCUAAAGAUCAUCCCGUCGAGCAAAUCUACAAUGACAUUCAAACCGGGAGAAUCACUCGCUCUAAAACUCAUUUAGCUAACUUUUGUGAAAACUAUUCUUUCAUCUCUAGCAUUGAACCUAUGAAGGUUGAAGAAGCAUUGGAAGAUCCGGAUUGGAUAAAUGCUAUGCAUGAAGAGCUACACAACUUUGAGAGGAACCAAGUUUGGACAUUGGUUGAGAAGCCCAACAACAACCACAACAUCAUCGGUACCAAAUGGGUGUUUCGCAACAAGCAAGAUGAAGAUGGACAAGUAGUUCGCGACAAAGCACGUCUCAUCGCCCAAGGCUACACACAAGUCAAAGGUAUGGACUAUGGUGAGACUUACGCCCCCGUUGCUAGACUUGAGUCCAUUCGCAUCUUACUUGCCUAUGCUAAUCAUCAUGAUAUCACCUUGUACCAAAUGGACAUUAAAAGUGCUUUUCUAAAUGGUGAAAUAGAGGAGGAAGUUUAUGUUAAGCAACCUCCCGGCUUUGUCAAUCCUAAGAAACCAAAUCAUGUUUACAAACUUCACAAAGCUCUUUAUGGUCUUAAACAAGCUCCUAGAGCAUGGUAUAAAUGCUUGACCAAGUUCCUUAUUGAAAAAGGCUUUGAAAUUGGGAAAAUUGAUUCUACUCUUUUUACUAAAAGGGUUAAUGGAGAACUAUUUGUGUGCCAAAUCUAUGUUGAUGAUAUUAUAUUUGGUUCAACUAACCCUCAUUUUAGUGAAAAGUUUGGGAAGCUAAUGUCGGAGAAGUUUGAGAUGUCUAUGAUGAGUGAACUCAAAUUCUUCCUUGGGUUGCAAAUCAAGAAAACUAAGGAAGGUACCUUUGUUUCUCAAACGAAGUACACCAAGGACUUAUUCAAGAAGUUCAAUAUGCAAGAAUGCAAAGGUAUGUCUACACCCAUGCCUACUAGUGUACAUAUUGACUUGACCAAAGAUAGUGAACCGGUUGAUCAAAAGGUUUAUCGCUCUAUGAUUGGUUCAUUGUUAUAUCUAUGUGCUUCACGUCCCGAUAUCAUGCUAAGUGUGUGCAUGUGUGCACGAUAUCAAGCUGCUCCUAAGGAAUGUCAUCUUAAGGCCGUGAAAUUGAUAGUGAGAUACUUAAUCCAUACACCAAACUUUGGCAUUUGGUAUCCUAAGAGGGCCUCUUUCGAUCUUGUUGGCUAUUCCGACUCGGACUAUGCCAGAGACAAGGUUGAUAGAAAGUCCACUUCGGGUACUUGUCAAUUUCUUGGUAGAUCUCUUGUGUCUUGGUCCUCCAAGAAACAAAACUCGGUAUCCUUAUCCACCGCCGAAGCUGAAUAUAUUGCCGCUGGUUCAUGUUGUGCUCAAUUACUUUGGAUGACCCAAACUCUUAAAGAUUAUGGGAUAUAUGUGAGACAUGUUCCAUUGCUUUGCGACAAUGAAAGUGCUAUCAAAAUUGGUCAUAACCCUGUGCAACAUUCUCGAACUAAGCAUAUUGAAGUUCGUCAUCAUUUCAUUCGAGAUCAUGUUGCUAAGGGUGACAUUGAUCUUAAGCAUGUUCGCACCGAAAAGCAAUUAGCGGAUAUAUUCACUAAACCUCUUGAUGAGAAAGUGUUUUGUAGGUUAAGAGGAGAAUUGAACAUCAUUGAUGCUUCAAAUUUGGAGUAGAAACUCCAUUGGAUACAUGCAAGACAUGAGCUUAUGACUAAUCCUUGAUAUUUCUCUUAUGAUGAAAAUCUUAUGUCUAGGAUAUAUUUGUAUCUUGCAUGUUAUCUAACCCAUGUAGGUACUUGGUGGAAUCAAAUUCCAUGAGAUUGUAAUCUACUCACAUCUUGAGCAAUCUCUACAUCACCAAGUCUCUACACUAUGAUGGAUGAAGACAAGGAAGCAUGAAACCAUUCAAACACAUCCUUUAACAAAUUCUAUGUUGAACUUCAUGAUUGUCAUUUUUGGAUACACAAGUGCUCUUACUUGCAAGAACUAACCCAUGUAGGUAGAUGGACUAAAAUUCCAAGUGGUGCUCCAAAUUCUUGAUGAGCUACAUCAACCUUGAGCAACCCACACAAGUUCAACUACAUGGACAACACCACCAACCAAGGUAUGUCAUUCCAUCUUAGAGAAGCUUUAAUCCAAGUAAUGAGCUAAAGCAACUCGACAUGAAUACAUCAAGAUGCUUAAACGAAAAAUGGCAACCCCAUUUUGAGCUUAAACGAUGAGUAUGACCUAUGAUCAAGUGAUCUCACUUGACUCCUAAGUCAAUAUACUCUAACAUAAGUGACUUUGUCGCCGACCACCUCUAGAUGAAGUUCUCUUGUGUUCUUUUCUGUGUUUUUGCACUUGUCUCAUGCAUAUUUGUUUCCCCUUUUUCAAAAAAAAAACUUCAUCUAGAUUUCUUUCUAUUUGCUCUGCAUUUUUUGCAUCCAAUUCAUUGCACAUCUUUCAGUAAAUUCCUUGCAAAUCUUUAUGAGAUCUUACUAGUCUAGUGAGCUGAGGUGACAACCGUUUUCUCUGAAAUGAACUCGGUUACACCGAUUUGUUAUUUUCGGCCCAACCGAAUCCUUUCGGUACAACCGAAGCAUACCACUCGGUGCCACCGAUUUCACAACAAGAAAAACAGUUUGCCACAUAUUCUAUGUUUCUUCUGAUCCAGCUCCGCUCAAUGAAACUUGUCCUCUACAAGCAUCACAUUUUUAUCAUUGCUUUGUGCUAUGUCUCAAGGAACAAACCCAUUAGACAGAUUCCCGAAGAUCCUUCUUGGAAAUUGAUGUCAAAGGGGGAGAGAGAGAACAUCAAAGCUUAUCAUUUAGAAAAAGAUCCUUAAGGGGGAGAGAGAUCUUCAAGGGGAGAGAGAGAUCUCUAGGGGGAGAGAAUACUUAAAUAGAAAGUAUUUCUCAAGGAUCCCAGAUGCUUGGUGUUCAAGAGGAGAGAUGCCCACAUGUUUUCUUGAGGGGAGAGACAUGUUCAUAUGAUCUAUUGUGCUUAUUUGCAUUAGCAUGUAUUAGCUCUGAUCAUCAUUCAUAUCUUUCAGCUCUGAUUUUUUCAGCUCUGAUUUUCUAUUCCCUAUCUUCUCCCAGUAUCCCAUGAUAGAUUCAGGGGGAGCAAGACAUCUAAGGGAAAGAAAUCAUUUAAAUUCAUUGCAUAUCUUUAUUCUUGGGGACAUGUCUAAUCCAAUGUGGUACUUAGUACUCACUCUCUACAUGUCGUCCCAGUCUUGGUAUUCUUGUGGUUUCUUCUGUUUGCUCUGGCUAGUAGAUGUAUCUGUGUCAUCUAACCUUGUUUACGCAGGUUCAUUCCAUCCUAAGCCAACUCAAGACUACAAGGUAAGUAUAUGCAUCACAAUCAUGUGUAUGAGGAAUUCUUGCUGAUGUACAUAUUGUUUGCAAGAAGGACUCAUGAGCAUGAAGGUAUUUUCUUUAACAUUCUUUGCUCUGAUGCAUAUGGCCAAGAUACAUGUAACACAUUGCCUACUCUAUCAUGGUUAUGCUCUCAUAUGCUUCUAUAUUCCAUAUUCACAUGAUUGCAUACAUGUAGGGGGAGCCUAUGUUAGUUACAUGUCUUUCCAAAGCUUUACUUGUUAUUCUUUAUAUCUUUAUCUAAAGCUUUGAUGUAUGUUGUCAUCAAUUACCAAAAAGGGGGAGAUGGAAAGCACAAGUGCUACCUAGGUGGUUUUGGUAAUUAAUGCCAACAUAUCUCUUGUUGGACUAACACUUCUAUCUAGUAUGUUUCAGAUAAGUUCAACAAUGGAGUGGCAUGGACUAAAGGAUGUGGGAACUCCUUCAAGAUGCUAAGGACAAAGGAUUGGCUCAAGCUUCAAGCCCAAGACUGUUCAUUUUACAUUUUAGUGAUCCAAGAUCACAUUGAGUCUAUAGGAAAAGCCAAUACUAUCAAGGAGGGAUGAGGUGUUGCUUAAUGAGCCUCUUGCUUCAUGUGCUUAGUGAUAUGCUCCAAAACCCUCAACUACUUUCCCACUUCCACAAAUGACCUAAACCUAAAGCAAAAUCGGUCACACCAAUUCUUCCUACCCGGCGCCACCGAUUUCAUAUGUCCUAGCCACUGCCACAAACCCUAAGCAAAUCAAUACUACCGAUAGGGAUCUCGGUCUCACCGAGAUGGGAUUGUAAUCUCUCUGUGUAUGUCCAUUAUCAAAAUUGGGCUCACCGAGUUUGAGCAAUCGGUACUACCGAGAUUACAAUGCAAACUUUCUGGUUGACUCAUUACCAAAAUCGGUCCCACCGAGUUUGUGUAAUCGGUCAAACCGAGUUUACCUGACCAACUCUCUGGAAAGCUUAUUACCAAAAUCGGUCUCACCGAGUUUGUCUAAUCGCUCUUACCGAGAUUACGUUAUGCCCUAACCCUAACCAUAUCGGUCUCACCGAGUUGCAUUUCGGUCCCACCGAAAACCCUAACGGUCACAUUAUUUGCUAAAUCGGUCUGACCGAGUUUAACGAUUCGGUCCCACCGAGUUUGGUAGAUUGUGUGUAACGGUUAGAUUUUGUGUGGAGGCUAUAUAUACCCCUCCACCUCCUCUUCAUUCGUGGAGAGAGCCAUGAGACUAAACCUACACUUCCAGCAUACAUUUUGUGAGAGAGAACUACCUACUCAUGUGUUGAGGCCAAGAUAUUCCAUUCCUACCAUAUGAAUCUUGAUCUCUAGCCUUCCCCAAGUUGCUUUCCACUCAAAUCUUCUUUCCAUCGGAUCCAAAACCUAUGAGAGAAGUUGAGUGUUGGGGAGACUAUCAUUUGAAGCACAAGAGCAAGGAGUUCAUCAUCAAUGCACCAUUUGUUACUUCUUGGAGAGUGGUGUCUCCUAGAUUGGCUAGGUGUCACUUGGGAGCCUCCGACAAGAUUGUGGAGUUGAACCAAGGAGUUUGUAAGGGCAAGGAGAUCGCCUACUUCGUGAAGAUCUACCGCUAGUGAGGAAAGUCCUUCGUGGGCGACGACCAUGGUGGGAUAGACAAGGCUGCUUCUUCGUGGACCCUUCAUGGGUGGAGCCCUCCGUGGACUCGCGCAACCGUUACCCUUCGUGGGUUGAAGUCUCCAUCAACGUGGAUGUACGAUAGCACCACCUAUCGGAACCACGCCAAAAACAUCCGUGUCUCCAAUUGCAUUUGAAUCCUCCAAACCCUUCCCUUUACAUUCUUGCAAGUUGCAUGCUUUACUUUCCGCUGCCCAUAUAUACUCUUUGCAUGCUUGCUUACUAUGUAUUGUGAAUGUUAAACUUGUGCCUAAUCUCCACUUAAACUAAGGAAACUUAAAAACUGCAACUUUGGUACUUAGUGUCUAAUCACCCCCCCCCUCUAGACACCUCUUCUCAAGGUCCUAUAUAUUUGAUACUAGUUCAGUUGCUAUGAUGAGCAACUUGAAACAGGACUUAUAAAAUGAACAGAGACUAGUUGAGUGCGAGGUGACGAUGUGUGUUGGAAGUCAUUCCAAGGUUGAUAAGAUCACCAUCGCACACUCCCUUUACCUUCGGGAUUAGUGUUGAACCUAAAAUAAAUGUUAUUUGGUGUUUGCAUUGAGCAUAAUAUGAUUGGAUCAUGUUUAUUGCAAUACGGUUAUUCAUUUAAGUCAAAGAAUAAUUGUUAUUCUGUUUACAUGAAUAAAACCUCCUAUGGUCAUACACCCAAGGUGAAUGUUGUUGGGGAACGUAGUAAUUUCAAAAAAAUUCCUACGCACACGUAAGAUGAUGGUGAUGCAUAGAAACGAGCGGGAGAGUGUUGUCCACGUACCCUCAUAGACCGAAAGCGGAAGCGUUAUGACAACGCGGUUGAUGUAGUCGUACGUCUUCACGAUCGACCGAUCCUCAGUACCGAACGUACGGCACCUCCGUGUUCAACACACGUUCAGCUUGGUGACGUCCCGCGAACUCACGAUCCAGUAGAGCUCGAGGGAGAGUUUUCUCAGCAUGACGACGUGAUGACGAUGUUGAUGAAGUUGCCGACACAGGGCUUCACCUAAGCACCGCUACGAUAUGACCGAGGUGGAUUAUGGUGGAAGGGGGCACCGCACACGGCUAAGAGAUCAAUGAUCAAUUGUUGUGUCUCCAAGGGGUGCCCCCUCCCCGUAUAUAAAGGAGCUAGGGGGAGGAGGCGGGCGGCCAGGAGGAGGGCGCGCCAACGGGAGUCCUACUCGCACCGGGAGUAGGAUUCCCCCCUUUCCAAGUUGGAGUAGGAGAGGUGGGAAAGAGGAGGGAGAGAAGAAGGAAAGGGGGGCCGGCCCCCUCACCCAAUUCGGAUUGGGCUUGGGGGGGGGCUCCUAUGCUUCCUCCACCUCUAUUCCACUAAGGCCCAAUAAGGCCCAUACACUUACCGGGGGGUUCCGGUAACCUCCCGAUACUCUGGUAAAUUCCCGAAUUCACCUGGAACCAUUCCGAUGUCCAAAUAUAGUCAUCCAAUAUAUCGAUCUUUAUGUCUCGACCAUUUUGAGACUCCUCAUCAUGUUCGUAAUCAUAUCUGAGACUCCGAACUACCUUCGGUACAUCAAAACAUAUAAACUCAUAAUACCGAUCGUCACAAAACUUUAAGCGUGCGGACCCUACGGGUUCGAGAACUAUGUAGACAUGACCGAGACACUUUUCCGGUCAAUAACCAAUAGCGGAACCUGGAUGCUCAUAUUGGUUCCUACAUAUUCUACGAAGAUCUUUAUCGGUCAAACCGCAUAACAACAUACAUUGUUCCCUUUGUCAUUGGUAUGUUACUUGCCCGAGAUUCAAUCGUUGGUAUCUCAAUACAUAGCUCAAUCUCGUUAUCAGCAAGUCUCUUUACUCGUUCCGUAGUGCAUCAUCCUGUAACUGACUCAUUAGUCACAUUGCUUGCAAGGCUUAUAGUGAUGUGCAUUACCAAGAGGGCCCAGAGAUACCUCUCCGACAAUCGGAGUGAAAAAUCCUAAUCUCGAACUAUGCCAACUCAACAAGUACCACCGGAAACACCUGUAGAGCACCUUUGUAAUCACCUAGUUACGUUGUGAAGUUUGGUAGCACACAAAGUGUUCCUCGGUAAUCGGGAGUUGCAUAAUCUCAUAGUCAUAGGAACAUGUAUAAGUCAUGGAGAAAGCAAUAGCAGUAAACUAAACGAUCAAGUGCUAAGCUAAUGGAAUGGGUCAAGUCAAUCACAACAUUCUCCUAAUGAUGUGAUCCUGUUAAUCAAAUGACAACUCAUGUCUAUGGCUAGGAAACUCAACCAUCUUUGAUUAACGAGCUAGUCAAGUAGAGGCAUACUAGUGACACUAUGUUUGUCUAUGUAUUCACACAUGUAUUAUGUUUCCGGUAAAUACAAUUCUAUCAUGAAUAAUAAAAAUUUAUCAUGAUAUGAUGAAAUAAAUAAUAACUAUAUUAUUGCCUCUAGGGCAUAUUUCCUUCAGUCUCCCACUUGCACUAGAGUCAGUAAUCUAGAUUAUACAGUAAUGAUUCUAACACCCAUGGAGUCUUGGUGCUGAUCAUGUUUUGCUCAUGGAAGACGCUUAGUCAACGGGUCUGCAACAUUCAGAUCCAUAUGUAUCUUGCAAAUCUCUAUGUCUCCCACCUGGACUUGAUCCCGGAUGGAAUUGAAGCGUCUCUUGAUGUGCUUGGUUCUCUUGUGAAAUAUGGAUUCCUUUGCCAAGACAAUUGCACCAGUAUUGUCACAAGAGAUUUUCAUUGGACCCGAUGCACUAGGUAUGACACCUAGAUCGUAUAUGAACUCCUUCAUCCAGACUCCUUCAUUUGCUGCUUCUGAAGCAGCUAUGUACUCCGCUUCACACGUAGAUCCCGCCAUGACGCUUUGUUUAGAACUACACCAACUGACAGCUCCACCGUUCAAUACAAACACGUAUCCAGUUUGCGAUUUAGAAGCGUCUGGAUCAGUGUCAAAUCUUGCAUCAACGUAGCCAUUUACGACGAGCUCUUUGUCACCUCCAUAAACAAGAAACAUAUCCUUAGUCCUUUUCAGGUAUUUCAGGAUGUUCUUGACCGCUGUCCAGUGAUCCACUCCUGGAUUACUUUGGUACCUCCCUGCUAAGCUAAUAGCAAGGCUCACAUCAGGUCUGGUACACAACAUUGCAUACAUGAUAGAGCCUAUGGGUGAAGCAUAGGGAACACUUUUCAUUUUCUCUCUAUCUUCUGCAGUGGUCGGGCAUUGGGUCUGACUCAACUUCACACCUUGUAACACAGGCAAGAAACUUUUCUUUGCUUGAUCCAUUUUGAACUUUUUCAAAACUUUGUCAAGGUAUGUGCUUUGUGAAAGUACAAUUAAGCGUCUUGAUCUAUCUCUAUAGAUCUUGAUGCACAAUAUGUAAGCAGCUUCACCGAGGUCUUUCAUUGAAAAACUCUUAUUCAAGUAUCCUCUUAUGCUAUCCAGAAAUUCUAUAUCAUUUCCAAUCAGCAAUAUGUCAUCCACAUAUAAUAUUAGAAAUGCUACAGAGCUCCCACUCAAUUUCUUGUAAAUACAGGCUUCUCCAAAAGUCUGUAUAAAACUAUAUGCUUUGAUCACACUAUCAAAACGUUUAUUCCAACUCUGAGAGGCUUGCACCAGUCCAUAAAUGGAUCGCUAGAGCUUGCACACUUUGUUAGUUCCCUUUGGAUUGACAAAACCUUCUGGUUGCAUCAUAUACAACUCUUCUUCCAGAAAUCCAUUCAGGAAUGCAGUUUUGACAUCCAUUUGCCAAAUUUCAUAAUCAUAAAAUGCGACAAUUGCUAACAUGAUUCGGACAGACUUAAGCAUCGCUACGGGUGAGAAAGUCUCAUCGUAGUCAACCCCUUGAACUUGUCAAAAACCUUUCACAACAAGUCAAGCUUUGUAAACAGUAACAUUACCGUCAGCGUCAGUCUUCUUUAAGAUUCAUUUAUUCUCUAUGGCUUGCCGAUCAUCGGGCAAGUCAACCAAAGUCCACACUUUGUUCUCAUAGAUGGAUCCCAUCUCAGAUUUCAUGGCCUCAAGCCAUUUUGCGGAAUCUGGGCUCACCAUGGCUUCUUCAUAGUUCGUAGGUUCGCCAUGGUCAAGUAACAUGACUUCCAGAACAGGAUUACCGUACCACUCUGGUGUGGAUCUUACUCUGGUUGACCUACGAGAUUCGGUAGUAACUUUAUCUGAAGUUUCAUGAUCAACAUCAUUAGCUUCCUCACUAAUUGGUGUAGGUGUCACAGGAACCGGUUUCUGUGAUGAACUACUUUCCAAUAAGGGAGCAGGUACAGUAACCUCAUCAAGUUCUACUUUCCUCCCACUCACUUCUUUUGAGAGAAACUCCUUCUCUAACAAUGAUCCAUUUUUAGCAACAAAUGUUUUGCCUUCGGAUCUGUGAUAGAAGGUGUACCCAACAGUCUCCUUUGGGUAUCCUAUGAAGGCACAUUUCUCCGAUUUGGGUUCGAGCUUAUCAAGUUGAAGCUUUUUCACAUAAGCAUCACAGCCCCAAACUUUAAGAAACGACAACUUUGGUUUCUUGCCAAACCACAGUUCAUAAGGCAUCGUCUCAACGGAUUUCGAUGGUGCCCUAUUUAAGGUGAAUGCAGCCAUCUCUAAAGCAUAACCCCAAAACGAUAGCGGUAAAUCAGUAAGGGACAUCAUAGAUCGCACCAUAUCUAGUAAAGUACGAUUACGACGUUCGGACACACCAUUACGCUAUGGUGUUUCGGGUGACGUGAGUUGCGAAACUAUUCCGCAUUGUUUCAAAUGAAGACCAAACUCGUAACUCAAAUAUUCUCCUCCACGAUCAGAUCGUAGAAACUUUAUUUUCUUGUCACGAUGAUUUUCCACUUCCCUCUGAAAUUCUUUGAACUUUUCAAAUGUUUCAGACUUAUGUUUCAUUAAGUAGAUAUACCCAUAUCUGCUCAAAUCAUCUGUGAAGGUGAGAAAAUAACGAUACCCGCCGCGAGCCUCAACAUUCAUAGGACCACAUACAUCAGUAUGUAUGAUCUCCAACUAAUCUAUUGCUCGCUCCAUUGUUCCGGAGAACGGCAUUUUAGUCAUCUUGCCCAUGAGACAUGGUUCGCAAGUACCAAGUGAUUCCAAAAGUCCAUCAGUAUGGAGUUUCUUCAUGCGCUUUACACCAAUAUGACCUAAAUGGCAGUGCCACAAAUAAGUUGCACUAUCAUUAUCAACUCUGCAUCUUUUGGCUUCAAUAUUAUGAAUAUGUGUAUCACUACUAUCGAGAUUUAAUAUAAAUAGACCACUCUUCAAGGGUGCAUGACCAUAAAAGAUAUUACUCAUAUAAAUAGAACAACCAUUAUUCUCUGAUUUAAAUGAAUAACCGUCUCGCAUCAAACAAGAUCUAGAUAUAAUGUUCAUGCACAACGCUGGCACCAAAUAACAAUUAUUAAGGUCUAAAACUAAUCCCGAAGGUAGAUGUAGAGGUAGCGUGCCGACUGUGAUCACAUCGACUUUGGAACCAUUUCCCACGCACAUCGUCACCUCGUCCUUAGCCAAUCUUCGCUUAAUCUGUAGUCCUUGUUUCAAGUUGCAAAUAUUAGCAACAGAACCAGUAUCAAAUACCCAGGUGCUACUGCGAGUGUUAGUAAGGUACACAUCAAUAACAUGUAUAUCACAUAUACCUUUGUUCACCUUGCCAUCCUUCUUAUCCGCCAAAUACUUGGGGCAGUUCCGCUUCCAGUGACCAGUCCCUUUGCAGUAGAAGCACUCAGUCUCAGGCUUAUGUCCAGACUUGGGUUUCUUCUCCUGAGCAGCAACUUGUUUGCUGUUCUUCUUGAAGUUCCCCUUCUUCUUCCCUUUACCCUUUUGCUUGAAACUGGUGGUCUUGUUGACCAUCAACACUUGAUGCUCCUUCUUGAUUUCUACCUACGCAGCUUUUAGCAUCACGAAGAGCUCGGGAAUUGUCUUACCAUCCCUUGCAUAUUAUAGUUCAUCACAAAGCUCUUGUAGCUUGGUGGCAGUGAUUGAAGAAUUCUGUCAAUGACGCUAUCAUUCGGAAGAUGAACUCCCAGUUGAAUCAAGUGAUUAUUAUACCCAGACAUUUUGAGUAUAUGUUCACUGACAGAACUAUUCUCCUCCAUCUUACAGCUGUAGAACUUAUUGGAGACUUCAUAUCUCUCAAUCCGGGCAUUUGCUUGAAAUAUUAACUUCAACUCCUGGAACAUCUCAUAUGCUCCAUGACGUUAAAAACGUCGUUGAAGUCCCGGUUCUAAGCCGUAAAGCAUGGCACACUGAACUAUCAUGUAGUCAUCAACAUGCGACUGCCAGGCAUUCACAAUGUCUGCAGUUGCCGGCGCGGGUGGUACACCUAACGGUGCUUCCAGGACGUAAUUCUUCUAUGCAACAAUGAGGAUAAUCCUCAAGUUACGGACCCAGUCCGUGUAAUUGCUACCAUCAUCUUUCAACUUUGCUUUCUCAAGGAACGCAUUAAAAUUCAACGGAACAACAGCACGGGCCAUCUAUCUACAACAACAUAGACAAGCAAAAUAAUAUCAGGUACUAAGUUCAUGAUAAAUUAAAGUUCAAUUAAUCAUAUUACUUAAGAACUCCCACUUAGAUAGACAUCCCUCUAAUCGUCUAAGUGAUCACGUGAUCCAUCUCAACUAAACCAUGUCCGAUCAUCACGUGAGAUGUAGUAGUUUUCAAUGGUGAACAUCACUAUGUUGAUCAUAUCUACUAUAUGAUUCACGCUCGACCUUUCGGUCUCAGUGUUCCGAGGCCAUAUCUGCAUAUGCUAGGCUCGUCAAGUUUAACCCAAGUAUUCUGCGUGUGCAAAACUGGCUUACACCCGUUGUAUUUGAACGUAGAGCUUAUCACACCCGAUCAUCACAUGGUGUCUCGGCACGACGAACUUUCGCAAUGGUGCAUACUCAGGGAGAACACUUAUACCUUGAAAUUUAGUGAGAGAUCAUCUUAUAAUGCUGCCGUCAAACAAAGCAGAAUAAGAUGCAUAAAAGAUAAACAUCACAUGCAAUCAAUAUAAGUGAUAUGAUAUGGCCAUCAUCAUCUUGUGCCUUUGAUCUCCAUCUCCAAAGCACCGUCAUGAUCACCAUCUUCACCGACACGACACCUUCAUCUCCAUCGUAGCAUCAUUGUCGUCUCGCCAACUUAUUGUUUCUACGACUAUCGCUACCGCUUAGUGAUAAAGUAAAAACAAUUAAAGGGCGAUUGCAUUGCAUACAAUAAAGAGACAACCAUAUGGCUCCUGCCAGUUGUCGAUAACUCUGUUACAAAACAUGAUCAUCUCAUACAAUAAAAUUUAGCAUCAUGUCUUGACCAUAUCACAUCACCGCAUGCCCUGCAAAAACAAGUUAGACGUCCUCUACUUUGUUGUUGCAAGCUUUACGUUCCUGCUACGGGCUGAGCAAGAACCAUUCUUACCUACGCAUCAAAACCACAACGAUAUUUCGUCAAGUUAGUGAUGUUUUAACCUUCACAAGGACCGGGCGUAGCCACACUCGGUUCAACUAAAGUUGGAGAAACAGAUACCUGCCAGCCACCUGUGUGCAAAGCACGUCGGUAGAACCAGUCUCGCGUAAGCGUACGCGUAAUGUCGGUCCAGGCUGCUUCAUCCAACAAUACCGUCGAACCAAAGAAUGACAUGCUAGUAAGCAGUAUGACUUGUAUCGCCCACAACUCACUUGUGUUCUACCCGUGCAUAUAACAUCUACGCAUAAACCUGGCUCGGAUGCCACUUUUGGGGAACGUAGCAAUUUCAAAAAAAAUCCUACGCACACGUAAGAUGAUGGUGAUGCAUAGCAAUGAGCGGCUGAGUGUUGUACACGUACCCUCACAGACCGAAAGCGGAAGCGUUAUGACAAUGCGGUUGAUAUAGCCGUAUGUCUUCACGAUCGAUCGAUCCUCAGUACCGAAUGUACGGCACCUCCGUGUUCAGCACACGUUCAUCUCGGUGACGUCCCGCAAACUCACGAUCCAGUAGAGCUCAAGGGAGAGUUUCGUCAGCACGACGGCGUGAUGACGAUGUUGAUGAAGUUACCGACGCAGGGCUUCGCCUAAGCACUGCUACAAUAUGACUGAGGUGGAUUAUGGUGGAAGGGGGCACCGCACACGGCUAAGAGAUCAAUGAUCAAUUGUUGUGUCUCCAAGGGGUUCCCCCCUCCCCGUAUAUAAAGGAGCUAGGGGGAGGAGGAGGGCACGCCAAGGGGAGUCCUACUCCCACCAGGAGUAGGAUUCCCCCCUUUCCAAGUUGGAGUAGGAGAGGUGGAAAGAGGAGGGAGAGUAGAAGGAAAGGGGGGUCGGCCCCCUCACCCAAUUCGGAUUGGGCUUGGGGGGGGCGCCCCCUCCUAUGCUUCCUCCUCCUCUAUUCCACUAAGGCCCAAUAAGGCCCAUACACAUACCGGGGGCGGUUCCGGUAACCUCCCGGUACUCCGGUAAAUUCCCGAAUCGACCUGGAACCAUUCCGAUGUCCAAAUAUAGUCGUCCAAUAUAUCGAUCUUUAUGUAUCGACCAUUUCGAGACUCCUCGUCAUGUCCGUGAUCAUAUCCGGGACUCCAAACUACUUUCGGUACAUCAAAACAUAUAAACUCAUAAUACCGAUUGCCACAGAACUUUAAGCGUGCGGACCCUACAGGUUCGAGAACUAUGUAGACAUGACCGAGACAUGUUUCCGGUCAAUAACCAAUAGCGGAACCUGGAUGCUCAUAUUGGUUCCUACAUAUACUACGAAGAUCUUUAUCGGUCAAACCGCAUAACAACAUACGUUGUUCCCUUUAUCAUCGGUAUGUUACUUGCCCGAGAUUCGAUCGUCGGUAUCUCAAUACCUAGCUCAAUCUCGUUACCGGCAAGUCUCUUUACUCGUUCCGUAGUGCAUAAUCCCGUAACUAACUGAUUAGUCACAUUGCUUGCAAGGCUUAUAGUGAUGUGCAUUACCGAGAGGGCCCAGAGAUACCUCUCCGACAAUCGGAGUGACAAAUCCUAAUCUCGAUCUAUGCCAACUCAACAAGUACCAUCGGAAACACCUGUAGAGCACCUUUAUAAUCACCCAGUUACAUUGUGACAUUUGGUAGCACACAAAGUGUUCCUCCGGUAAUCGGGAGUUGCAUAAUCUCAUAGUCAUAGGAACAUGUAUAAGUCAUGGAGAAAGCAAUAGCAGUAAACUAAACGAUCAAGUGCUAAGCUAAUGGAAUGGGUCAAGUCAAUCACAUCAUUCUCCUAAUGAUGUGAUCAUGUUAAGAAAAUGACAACUCAUGUCUAUGGCUAGGAAACUCAACCAUUUUGAUUAACGAGCUAGUCAAGUAGAGGCAUACUAGUGACACUAUGUUUGUCUAUGUAUUCACACAUGUAUUAUGUUUCCGGUUAAUACAAUUCUAGCGUGAAUAAUAAACAUUUAUCAUGAUAUGAGGAAAUAAAUAAUAACUUUAUUAUUGCCUCUAGGGCAUAUUUCCUUCAAAUGGUUUAUUGAAUCUCGAUCAUAGUGAUACACAUAUUCAUAAUAUUGAUGCCAAAAGAUGCAAAGUUGAUAAUGAUAGUGAAACAUACAAGUGGCACUGCCGUUUAGGUCAUAUUGGUGUAAAGCGCAUGAAGAAAUUCCAUGCGGAUGGACUUUUGGAAUCACUUGAUUAUGAAUCAUUUGAUGCUUGCGAACCAUGCCUCAUGGGCAAGAUGACUAAGACUCCGUUCUCCGGAACAAUGGAGUGAGCCACUGACUUGUUGGAAAUAAUACAUACCGAUGUAUGCGGUCCGAUGAGUGCUGAGGCUCGCAGCGGGUAUCAUUAUUUUCUGACCUUCACAGAUGAUUUCAGCAGAUAUGGGUAUAUCUACUUAAUGAAACAUAAGUCUGAAACAUUUGAAAAGUUCAAAGAAUUCCAGAGUGAAGUGGAAAAUCAUCGUAACAAGAAAAUAAAGUUUCUACGAUCUGAUCGCGGAGGCGAAUAUUUGAGUUACGAGUUUGGUCUUCAUUUGAAACAAUGUGGAAUAGUUUCGCAAGUCACGCCACCUGGAACACCACAGCGUAAUGGUGUGUCCAAACGCCGUAACCGUACUUUAUUAGAUAUGGUGUGAUCUAUGAUGUCUCUUACCGAUUUACCACUAUCAUUUUGGGGUUAUGCAUUAGAGACAGCUGCAUUCACGUUAAAUAGGGCACCAUCUAAAUCCGUUGAAACGACACCAUAUGAACUGUGGUUUAGCAAGAAACCUAAGCUGUCGUUUCUUAAAGUUUGGGGUUGAGAUGCUUAUGUGAAAAAGCUUCAACCUGAUAAGCUCGAACCCAAAUUGGAGAAAUGCGUCUUUAUAGGAUACCGAAAGGAAAAUGUUGGGUACACCUUCUAUCACAGAUCCAAAGGCAAGAUAUUCGUUACUAAAAAUGGAUCCUUUCUAGAGAAGAAGUUUCUCUCAAAAGAAGUGAGUGGGAGGAAUGUAGAACUUGAUGAGGUAAUUGUACCUUCUCCCAAAUUGGAAAGUAGUUCAUCACAGAAAUCAGUUCCAGUGAUUCCUACAUCAAUUAGUGAGAAAGCUAAUGAUGAUCAUGAAACUUCAGAUCAAGUUACUACCUCGUAGGUCAACCAGAGUACAGUCCGCACCAGAGUGACACGGCAAUCCUAUUCUGGAAGUCAUGUUACUAGACCAUGACGAACCUACGAACAAUGAGGAAGCGAUGAUAAGCCCAAAUUCCACGAAAUGGCUUGAGGCCAUAAAAUCUGAGAUGGGAUCCAUGUAUGAGAACAAAGUAUGGACUUUGAUUGACUUGCCCGAUGAUCGGUGAGCCAUUGAGAAUAAAUGGAUCUUCAAGAGGAAGACGGACGCUGAUAGUAGUGUUAAUAUCUACAAAUCUUGAAUUGUCGCAAAAAGUUUUUGACAAGUUCAAGGUGUUGACUACGAUAAGAUUUUCUCACUCAUAGCGAUGCUUAAGUCUGUCCGAAUCAUGUUAGCAAUUGCCACAUUUUAUGAAAUCUAGAAAAUGGAUGUCAAAACUACAUUCCUCAAUGGAUUUCUUAAAGAAGAGUUGUAUGUGAUGCAACAAGAAGGUUUUGUCAAUCCUAAAGGUGCUAACAAAGUGUGCAAGCUCCAGCGAUCCAUCUAUGGACUGGUGCAAGCAUCUCGGAGCUGGAAUAUACGCUUUGAUAAGGUGAUCAAAGCAUAUGGUUUUAUACAGACUUUUGGUGAAGCCUGUAUUUACAAGAAAGUGAGUGGGAGCACUACAACCUUUCUGAUAGGUAUAUGUGAAUGACAUAUUGUUGAUCAGAAAUGAUGUAGAAUUUUCUUGAAAGCAUAAAGGAGUGUUUGAAAGGAGUUUUUCAAAGAAAGACCUCGGUGAAGCUGCUUACAUAUUGAUCAUCAAGAUCUAUAGAUAUAGAUCAAGACGCUUGAUAAGUUUUUUUAAUGAGUACAUACCUUGACAAGUUUAUGAAGUAGUUCAAAAUGGAACAGUCAAAGAAGGAGUUCUUGCCUGUGUUGCAAGGUGUGAAGUUGAGUAAAGACUCAAAACCCGACACGACAGAAAAUAGAAAGAGAAUGAAAAGUCAUUCCCUAUGCCUCAGGCAUAGGUUCUAUAAAAUACGAUAUGUUGUGUACCAGACCUACGGUGUACCUCGCCAUGAGUUUGGCAAGAGGGUACAAUAGUGAUCCAGAGUGGAUCACUGGACAACAGUCAAAAUUAUCCUUAGUGGAAUAAGGACAUGUUUCUCGGUUAUGGAGGUGACACUGAUCCGGAUGACUCUAAGUCUCAAUCUAGAUACAUAUUGAAAGUGGGAGCAAUUAGCUAGAGUAGUUCCAUGCAGAGCAUUAUAGACAUAGAAAAUUUGCAAAAUGCAUACGGCUCUGAAUGUGGCAGACCCGUUGACCAAACUUCUCUCACAAGCAAAACAUGAUGACACCUUAGUACUCUUUGGGUGUUAAUCACAUAGCAAUGUGAACUUGAUUAUUGACUCUAGUAAACCCUUUGGGUGUUAGUCACAUGGAGAUGUGAACUAAUCACAUAAAGAUGUGAACUAUUGGUGUUAAAUCACAUGACGAUGUGAACUAGAUUAUUCACUCUAGUGCAAGUGGGAGACUGAAGGAAAUAUGCCCUAAAGGCAAUAAUAAAGUUGUUAUUUAUGUUUCCUUAUAUCAUGAUAAAUGUUUAUUAUUCAAGCUAGAAUUGUAUUAACCCGAAACUUAGUACAUGUGUGAAUACAUAGACAAAACAGAGUGUCCCUAGUAUGCCUCUACUUGACUAGCUCAUUAAUCAAAGAUGGUUAAGUUUCCUGACCAUAGACAUGUGUUGUUAUUUGAUGAACGGGAUCACAUCAUUAGGAGAAUGAUGUGAUGGACAAGACCCAUCCGUUAGCUUAGCAUAAUGAUCAUUUAGUUUUAUUGCUAUUGCUUUCUUCAUGACUUGUACAUGUUCCUCUGACUAUGAGAUUAUGCAACUCCCGAAUACCGGAGGAACACCUUGCGUUCUAUAAAACGUCACAACGUAACUGGGUGAUUAUAAAGAUGCUCUACAGGUGUCUCCGAAGGUAUUUGUUGAGUUGGCAUAGAUCCAGAAUAGGAUUUGUCACUCCGUGUAUCGAAGAGGUAUCUGUGGGCCCUCUCGGUAAUGCACAUCACUAUAAGCCUUGCAAGCAAUGUGACUAAUGUGUUAGUUACGGGAUGAUGCAUUACGGAACGAGUAAAGAGACUUGCCAGUAACGAGAUUGAACUAGGUAUGAAGAUACAGACGAUCGAAUCUCGGGCAAGUAACAUACCGAUGACAAAGGGAAUAACGUAUGUUGUUAUGCGGUUUGACCGAUAAAGAUCUUCGUAGAAUAUGUAGGAACCAAUAUGAGCAUCCAGGUUCUGCUAUUGGUUAUUGACCGGAGAUGUGUCUCAGUCAUGUCUACAUAGUUCUCGAACCAGUAGGGUCCGCACGCUUAACAAUCGAUGAUGAUUUUUAUUAUGAGUUAUGUGUUUUGGUGACCGAAGUUUGUUCGGAGUCCCGAAUGAGAUCACGGACAUGACGAGGAGUCUCGUAAUGGUCGAGAGGUAAAGAUUGAUAUAUUGGAAGGUAGUAUUCAAACACUGGAAGGGUUCUGGAGUGUAUCGGGUACAUACCGGAGUACCGGAGGGGUUACCGGAACCCCCCGGGGAAAGAUAUGGGCCAUAGAGGGAGGUUAACCAGCCCACAAGGGGCUGGUGCACCCCCCACAAGGGAGCAGGCCGAAUUGGAUUAGGGAAGGGGGCGGCGCCCCCCUUUCCUUCUCCCUCUCCUUUCCCCCUUUCCCCCUCCGGAAGGAGGAAAAGGGGGGGGGGCGAAUCCUACUAGGACUGGAGUCCUAGUAGUGUUGGGGAACGUAGUAAUUUCAAAAAUUUCCUACGCACACACAAGAUCAUGGUGAUGGUAUAGCAACGAGAGGGGAGAGUGUUUGUCCACGUACCCUCGUAGACCGUAAGCGGAAGCGUUAGCACAACGCGAUUGAUGUAGUCGUACGUCUUCACGAUCCGACCGAUCCAAGCAGCGAACGUACGGGGCCUCCGAGUUCAGCACACGUUCAGCUCGAUGAUGAUCUCCGUGCUCCGAUCCAGCAAAGCUUCGGAGAUGAGUUCCGUCAGCACGACAGCGUGGUGACGAUGAUGAUGCUCUACCGACGCAGGGCUUCGCCUAAACUCCGCGACGAUAUGACCGAGGUGGAAUAUGGUGGAAGGGGGCACCGCACACGGCUAAGGAACGAUCCGUAGAUCAACUUGUGUGUCUAUGGGGUGCCCCCUGCCCCCGUAUAUAAAGGAGUGGAGGAGGGGAGGGCCGGCCCUCUCUAUGGCGCGCCCUAGGGGAGUCCUACUCCCACCGGGAGUAGGAUUCCCCCUUUCCUAGUCCAACUAGGAGCCCUUCCAAGUAGUAGGAGUAGGAGACAAGGAAGGGGAAGAGAGAAGGGAAGGAAGGAGGGGGUGCGGCCCCUCCCCCUAGUCCAAUUCGGACUAGGCCAUGGGGGGGGGGGGCGCGCGGCUUGCCCUAGGCAGCCCCUCUCUCUUUCCCGUAUGGCCCAAUAAGGCCCAAUACUUCUCCCUGGCGAAUUCCCGUAACUCUCCGGUACUCCGAUAAAUACCCGAAUCACUCGGAACCUUUCCGAACUCCGAAUAUAGUCGUCCAAUAUAUCGAUCUUUACAUCUCGACCAUUUCGAGACUCCUCGUCAUGUCCCCGAUCUCAUCCGGGACUCCGAAGUCCUUCGGUACAUCAAAACACAUAAACUCAUAAUAUAACUGUCAUCGUAACGUUAAGCGUGCGGACCCUACGGGUUCGAGAACUAUGUAGACAUGACCUAGAACUAUUCUUGGUCAAUAACCAAUAGCGGAACCUGGAUACCCAUAUUGGCUCCUACAUAUUCUACGAAGAUCUUUACCGGUCAAACCGCAUAACAACAUACGUUGUUCCCUUUGUCAUUGGUAUGUUACUUGCCCGAGAUUCGAUCGUCGGUAUCCAAUACCUAGUUCAAUCUCGUUACCGGCAAGUCUCUGUACUCGUUACGUAUGCAUCAUCCCGCAACUAACUCAUUAGUCACAUUGCUUGCAAGGCUUAUAGUGAUGUGCAUUACCGAGAGGGCCCAGAGAUACCUCUCCGACAAUCGGAGUGACAAAACCUAAUCUCGAAAUACGCCACCCCAACAUGUACCUUUGGAGACACCUGUAGUACUCCUUUAUAAUCACCCAGUUACAUUGUGACGUUUGGUAGCACCCAAAGUGUUCCUCCGGUAAAUGGGAGUUGCAUAAUCUCAUAGUUAUAGGAACAUGUAUAAGUCAUGAAGAAAGCAAUAGCAACAUACUAAACGAUCAAGUGCUAGGCUAACGGAAUGUGUCAUGUUAAUCACAUCAUUCUCCUAAUGAUGUGAUCCCGUUAAUCAAAUGACAACUCAUGUCUAUGGCUAGGAAACUUAACCAUCUUUGAUUCAACGAGCUAGUCAAGUAGAGGCAUACUAGUGACACUAUGUUUGUCUAUGUAUUCACACAUGUAUUAUGUUUCCGGUUAAUACAAUUCUAGCAUGAAUAAUAAACAUUUAUCAUGAAAUAAGGAAAUAAAUAAUAACUUUAUUAUUGCCUCUAGGGCAUAUUUUCUUCAGUCUCCCACUUGCACUAGAGUCAAUAAUCUAGUUCACAUCACCAUGUGAUUUAACACCAAUAUUCAUGUCUGUAUAUGAUUAACACCCAUAGUUCACAUCGUCAUGUGACUAACACCCAAAGGGUUUACUAGAGUCAAUAAUCUAGUUCACAUCGCUAUGUGAUUAACACCCAAAGAGUAGUAAGGUGUGAUCAUGUUUUGCUCGUGAGAGAAGCUUAGUCAACGGGUCUAUCAUAUUCAAAGCCGUAUGUAUUUUGCAAAUAUUCUAUGUCUACAAUGAUCUGCAUGGAGCUACUCUAGCUAAUUGCUCCCACUUUCAAUAUGUAUCCAGAUUAAGACUUAGAGUCAUCUGGAUCAGUGCCAAAACUUGUAUCAAUGUAACCUUUUACGACGAACCUUUUGUCACCUACAUAAUUGAAAAACAUAUCCUUAUUCCCAUUAGGAUAAUUUUGACCAAUGUCUAGUGAUCUUACUCCUAGAUCACUAUUGUACUCCCUUGCCAAACCAGAGCAAGGUAUACAAUAGGUCUGGUUCAAAGCAUAGCAUACUUUAUAGAACCUAUGACUGAGGCAUAGGGAAUGACUUUUCAUUCUCUUUCUAUUUUCUGCCAUGGUCGGGUCUUGAGUCUUACUCAACUUCACACCUUUGCAUCACAGGCAAGAACUCCUUCUUUAACUGUUCUAUUUUGAUCUAUUUGAAAAUUUAUCAAGGUAUGUAUUCAUUGAAAAAUCUUAUCAAGCGUCUUGAUCUAUCUAUAUAGAUCUUGAUGCUCAAUGUGUAAGCAGCUUCACCGAGGUCUUGCUUUGAAAAACUCCUUUCAAAACACUCCUUUAUGCUUUGCAGAAUAAUUCUACAUUAUUUCCGAUCAACAAUAUGUCAUUCACAUAUACUUAUCAGAAAUACUGUAGUGCUCCCACUCACUUUCUUGUAAAUACAGGCUUCUCCAAAAGUCUGUAUAAAAUCAUAUGCUUUGAUCAACUCAUCAAAGCGUAUAUUCCAACUCCGAGAUGCUUGCACCAGUCCAUAGAUGGAUCGCUGGAGCUUGCACACUUUGUUAGCAUCUUUAGGAUUGACAAAACCUUCUGGUUGCAUCAUAUACAACUCUUCUUUAAUAAAUCCAUUAAAGAAUGCAGUUUUGACAUCCUUUUGCCAGAUUUCAUAAAAUGUGGCAAUUGCUAACAUGAUUUGGACAGACUUUAAGCAUCGAUACGAGUGAGAAAAAACUCAUCGUAGUCAACAUCUUGAACUUUGUCAAAAACCUUUUUCGACAAAUCUAGCUUUGUAGAUAGUAACACUACUAUCAACGUCCGUCUUCCUCUUGAAGAUCCAUUUAUUUUCUAUGGCUUGCUGAUCAUCGGGCAAGUCAAUCAAAGUCCACACUUUGGUCUCAUAUAUGGAUCCCAUCUCAGAUUUCAUGGCCUCAAACCAUUUCGCGGAAUCUGGGCUCAUCAUCGCUUCCUCAUAGUUCAUAGGUUCAUCAUGGUCUAGUAACAUGACUUCCAGGACAGGAUUACCGUACCACUCUGGUGUGGACUGUACUUUGGAAGACCUACGAGGUUUUGUAGUAACUUGAUCUGAAGUUUCAUGAUCAUCAUCAUUAGCUUCCUCACUAAUUGGUGUAGGAAUCACUGGAACUGAUUUCUGUGAUGAACUACUUUCCAAUUCGGGAGAAGGUACAAAUUACCUUAUCAAGCUCUACUUUCCUCCCACUCACUUCUUUCGAGAGAAACUCCUUCUCUAGAAAGGAUCCAUUCUUAGCAACGAAUGUUUUGCCUUCGGAUCUGUGAUAGACGGUGUACCCAACAGUUUCCUUUGGGUAUUCUAUGAAGACGCACUUCUCCGAUUUGGGUUCGAGCUUAUCAAGUUGAAAACCUUUUUCAUAUAAGCAUCGCAACUCCAAACUUUAAGAAACGACAGCUUAGGUUUACUGCUAAACCAUAGUUCAUACGGUGUUGUCUCAACGGAUUUAGAUGGUGCCCUAUUAAACGUGAAUGCAGCUGUCUCUAAUGCAUAACCCCAAAAUGAUAGUGGUAAACGGAUAAGAGAUAUCAUAGAUCGCACCAUAUCUUAGUAAAGUAUGAUUACGACGUUCGGACACACCAUUACAUUGUGGUGUUCCAGGUGGCGUGAGUUUGUGAAACUAUUCCACAUUGUUUUAAUUGAAGACCAAACUCGUAACUCAAAUAUUCAUCUCCAUGAUCAGAUCGCAGAAACUUUAUUUUCUUGUUACGAUGAUUUUCCACUUCACUCUGAAAUUCUUUGAACCUUUCAACUAUUUCAGACUUAUGUUUCAUCAAGUAGAUAUACCCAUAUCUGCUCAAAUCAUCUUGUGAAGGUCAGAAAAUAACGAUACUUGCCACGAGCCUUCAUACUCAUUGGUCUACAUACAUCAGUAUGUAUUAUUUCCAACAAGUCAGUAGCUCGUUCCAUUGUUCCGAAGAACGGAGUUUUAGUCAUCUUGCCCAAAAGGCACGGUUCGCAAGCAUCAAAUGAUUCAUAACCAAGUGAUUCCGAAAAUCCAUCUUUAUGGAGUUUCUUCAUGCGCUUUACACCGAUAUGACCCAAACGGCAGUGCCACAAAUAAGUUGCACUAUCAUUAUUAACUUUGCAUCUUUUGGCAUCAAUAUUAUGAAUAUGUGUAUCACUAUGAUCGAGAUCCAACAAACUAUUUUCAUUGGGUGUAUGACCAUCGAAGGUCUUAUUCAUGUAAACAGAACAACAAUUAUUCUCUUACUUUAAAUGAAUAACCGUAUUGCAAUAAACAUGAUCAAAUCAUAUUCACGCUCAACGCAAACGCCAAAUAACAUUUAUUUAGGUUUAACACUAAUCCCGAAAGUAUAGGGAGUGUGCGAUGAUGAUCAUAUCAAUCUUGGAACUACUUCCAACACUCAUCGUCACUUCCCCUUCAACUAGUCUCUGUGUAUUCUGUAACUCCUGUUUUGAGUUACUAAUCUUAGCAACCGAACAAGUAUCAAAUACUCAGGGGCUACUAUAAACACUAGUAAGGUACACAUCAAUAACCUGUAUAUCAAAUAUACCCUUGUUCACUUUGCCAUCCUUCUUAUCCACCAAAUAUUCAGGGCAUUUCCGUUUCCAGUGACCAUUUCCUUUGCAGUGUAAGCACUCAGUUUCAGGCUUUGGUUCAGCUUUGGGCUUCUUCGUGGGAGUGACAACUUGCUUGUCAUUCCACUUAAAGUUCCCUUUCUUUUCCUUUGCCCUUUUCUUGAAACUAGUGAUCUUGUCAAUCAUCAACACUUGAUGCUUUUUCUUGAUUUCUACCUUCGUCGAUUUCUACAUCACGAAGAGCUCGGGAAUCGUUUUCGUCAUCCCUUGCAUACUAUAGUUCACCACGAAGUUCUAGUAACUUAGUGAUGGUGACUAGAGAAUUAUGUCAAUCACUAUUUUAUCUGGAAGAUUAACUCCCACUUGAUUCAAGCGAUUGAAGUACCCAGACAAUCUGAGCACAUGUUCACUAGUUGAGCGAUUCUCCUCCAUCUUUUAGCUAUAGAACUUGUUGGAGACUUCGUAUCUCUCAACUCGGGUAUUUUCUUAAAAUAUUAACUUCAACUCCUGGAACAUCUCAUAUGGUCCAUGACGUUCAAAACGUCUUUGAAGUCCCGAUUCUAAGCCGUUAAGUAUGGUGCACUAAACUAUCAAGUAGUCAUCAUAUUGAGCUAGCCAAACGUUCAUAACGUCUGUAUCUGCUCCUGCAAUAGGUCUGUCACCUAGCGGUGCAUUAAGGACAUAAUUCUUCUGUGCAGCAAUGAGGAUAAACCUCAGAUCACGGAUCCAAUCCGUAUCAUUGCUACUAACAUUUUUCAACACAAUUUUCUCUAGGAACAUAUCAAAAUAAACAUAUGAAAGCAACAAUGCAAGCUAUUGAUUUACAACAUAAUUUGCAAAAUACUACCUGGACUGAGUUCAUGAUAAAUUUAAGUUCAAUUAAUCAUAUUACUUAAGAACUCCCACUUAGAUAGACAUCUCUCUAGUCAUCUAAGUGAUCACGUGAUCCAAAUCAACUAAACCAUGUCCGAUCAUCACGUGAGAUGGAGUAGUUUCAAUGGUGAACAUCACUAUGUUGAUCAUAUCUACUAUAUGAUUCACGUUCGACCUUUCGGUCUCCGUGUUCCGAGGCCAUAUCUGUAUAUGCUAGGCUCGUCAAGUUUAACCUGAGUAUUCCGCGUGUGCAACUGUUUUGCACCCGUUGUAUUUGAACGUAGAGCCUAUCACACUCGAUCAUCACGUGGUGUCUCAGCACGAAGAACUUUCGCAACGGUGCAUACUCAGGGAGAACACUUCUUGAUAAUUAGUGAGAGAUCAUCUUAAAAUGCUACCGUCAAACAAAACAGAAUAAGAUGUAUAACAGAUAAACAUCAUAUGCAAUCAAAAUAUGUAACAUGAUAUGGCCAUGAUCAUCUUGCGCCUUUGAUCUCCAUCUCCAAAGUACUGUCAUGAUCUCUAUCGUCACCGGCACGACACCAUGAUCUUCAUCAUCUUGAUCUAUAUCAAUGUGUCGUCACAUGGUCGUCUCGCCAACUAUUGCUCUUGCAACUAUUGCUAUCGCAUAACGACAAAGUAGAGCAAUUAUUUGGCACUUGCAUCUUAUGCAACAAAGAGACAACCAUAGAGCUUCUGCCAGUUGCCGAUAACUUCAACAAAACAUGAUCAUCUCAUACAAUAACUUAUAUCUCAUCACGUCUUGACCAUAUCACAUCACAACAUGCCUUGCAAAAACAAGUUAGACGUCCUCUACUUUGUUGUUGCAAGUUUUACGUGGCUGCUACGGGCUGAGCAAGAACCGUUCUUACCUACACAUCAAAACCACAACGAUAGUUCGUCAAGUUGGUGUUGUUUUAACCUUCGCAAGGACCGGGCGUAGCCACACUCGGUUCAACUAAAGUUGGAGAAACAGACACCCGCUAGUCACCUGUGUGCAAAGCACGACGGUAAAACCAGUCUCGCGUAAGCGUACACGUAAUGUCGGUCCGGGCCGCUUCAUCCAACAAUACCGCUGAACCAAAGUAUGACAUGCUGGUAAGCGGUAUGACUUGUAUCGCCCACAACUCACUUGUGUUCUACUCGUGCAUAUAACAUCAACUCAUAAAACCUAGGCUCGGAUGCCACUGUUGGGGAACGUAGUAAUUUCAAAAUUUUCCUACGCACACACAAGAUCAUGGUGAUGGUAUAGCAACGAGAGGGGAGAGUGUUCGUCCACGUACCCUCGUAGACCGUAAGCGGAAGCGUUAGCACAACGCGGUUGAUGUAGUCGUACGUCUUCACGAUCCGACCGAUCCAAGCACCGAACGUACGGGGCCUCCGAGUUCAGCACACGUUCAGCUCGAUGACGAUCUCCGUGCUCCGAUCCAACAAAGCUUCGGAGAUGAGUUCCGUCAGCACGACGGCGUGGUGACGAUGAUGAUGCUCUACCGACGCAGGGCUUCGCCUAAACUCCGCGACGAUAUGACCGAGGUGGAAUAUGGUGGAAGGGGGCACCGCACACGGCUAAGGAACGAUCCAUAGAUCAACUUGUGUGUCUAUGGGGUGCCCCCUGCCCCCGUAUAUAAAGGAGUGGAGGAGGGGAGGGCCGGCCCUCUCUAUGGCGCGCCCUAGGGGAGUCCUACUCCCACCGGGAGUAGGAUUCCCCCUUUCCUAGUCCAACAAGGAGCCCUUCCAAGUAGUAGGAGUAGGAGACACGGAAGGGGAAGAGAGAAGGGAAGGAAGGAGGGGGUGCGGCCCCUCCCCCUAGUCCAAUUCGGACUAGGCCAUGGGGGGGCGCGCGGCUUGCCCUAGGCAGCCCCUCUCUCUUUCCCGUAUGGCCCAAUAAGGCCCAAUACUUCUCCCUGGCGAAUUCCCGUAACUCUUCGGUACUCCGAUAAAUACCCGAAUCACUCGGAACCUUUCCGAACUCCGAAUAUAGUCGUCCAAUAUAUCGAUCUUUACGUCUCGACCAUUUCGAGACUCCUCGUCAUGUCCCCGAUCUCAUCCGGGACUCCGAACUCCUUCGGUACAUCAAAACACAUAAACUCAUAAUAUAACUGUCAUUGUAACGUUAAGCGUGCGGACCCUACGGGUUCGAGAACUAUGUAGACAUGACCUAGAACUAUUCUUGGUCAAUAACCAAUAGCGGAACCUGGAUGCCCAUAUUGGCUCCUACAUAUUCUACGAAGAUCUUUAUCGGUCAAACCGCAUAACAACAUACGUUGUUCCCUUUGUCAUCGGUAUGUUACUUGCCCGAGAUUCGAUCGUCGGUAUCCAAUACCUAGUUCAAUCUCGUUACCGGCAAGUCUCUUUACUCGUUACGUAAUGCAUCAUCCUGCAACUAACUCAUUAGUCACAUUGCUUGCAAGGCUUAUAGUGAUGUGCAUUACCGAGAGGGCCCAGAGAUACCUCUCCGACAAUCGGAGUGACAAAACCUAAUCUCGAAAUACGCCACCCCAACAUGUACCUUUGGAGACACCUGUAGUACUCCUUUAUAAUCACCCAGUUACGUUGUGGCGUUUGGUAGCACCCAAAGUGUUCCUCCGUUAAAUGGGAGUUGCAUAAUCUCAUAGUUACAGGAACAUGUAUAAGUCAUGAAGAAAGCAAUAGCAACAUACUAAACGAUCAAGUGCUAGGCUAACGGAAUGGGUCAUGUCAAUCACAUCAUUCUCCUAAUGAUGUGAUCCCGUUAAUCAAAUGACAACUCAUGUCUAUGGCUAGGAAACUUAACCAUCUUUGAUUCAACGAGCUAGUCAAGUAGAGGCAUACUAGUGACACUAUGUUUGUCUAUGUAUUCACACAUGUAUUAUGUUUUCGGUUAAUACAAUUCUAGCAUGAAUAAUAAACAUUUAUCAUGAAAUAAUGAAAUAAAUAAUAACUUUAUUAUUGCCUCUAGGGCAUAUUUCCUUCAAGUAGGACUCCCCUCUCCCUGGUGCGCCCCUUGGUGGCCGGCCUCCUCCUCCCCUCCUUUAUAUACGGGGGAAGGGGGCACCCCAAAGCACAACAGUUGUUUUUUAGCCGUGUGCGGUGCCCCCUUCCACAGUUUACCACCUCGGUCAUAUUGUCGUAGUGCUUUGGCGAAGCCCUGCGCAGAUCACAUCACCAACACCAUCGCCACACCGUCGUGCUGACGGAACUCUCCCUCGACCCUCUACUGGAUCAAGAAGCUCGAGGGACGUCAUCGUGCUGAACGUGUGCUGAACACGGAGGUGUCGUACGUUCGAUACUUGGAUCGGUUGGAUCGUGAAGACGUUCGACUACAUCAACCGCGUUACUAAACGCUUCCGCCUUCGGUUUACGAGGAUACGUGAACACACUCUCCCGUCUCGUUGCUAUGCUUCUCCUAGAUAGAUCUUGCGUGAUCGUAGGAAUUUUUUUGAAUUACUACGUUCCCCAACAAUGUUGAAGAUGGACGAGCAGGCCAAAGCGUGGUACCUGGCGGAGCGUGGCCUCAUCUUAAAUCAGAUGCCCGGGCCAGAGACCACCCCUACGCCCACGCCGAUACAGACGCCCAGCCCGAGCGACGAAGUGGUGCUGACGCCGACCACCAGCCCGAGUGUAGAAGCCGCACCGACGCCCAGCACGCCUGCGUCUACGACGACCCCGGCUAGUCCCACCGAGGAGCCCGCCGUUUGAUGCAUUCUGUAUCUAUAAUUCCUUCCUUUUGAUCGCCGAACUAUCGGGCAUGUUUUGAUCGCCGAACUGUGGCAUGAUGAUUGCCGACUUGUGGCAUGGUGAUCGCCGAACUUGAGGCGCUUUUGGCAGCAUGAAAGCCAAGUUUGGCAAAAAAACGGGCGUCUUCGGGCCGAGACCUGGGGCGCGACUGGAAACUCGAUCGCCCCAGAGCGAAAAACCCACCGGCUCAAACGCGAAAACACAUUCGCCGGGUGCGCUGGAGCCGAACGAGUGGAGAUGCUCUAAGUUACUUGCUCGCCAAGUCUACUGCUCCUGCUCUCAGGGCCGUGGCCAGCCGCGUUGUCGCCGUGUCCGUCAAGGAGUUCCACCUCUCUCUCUCUCCCUCCCUCCCCCGUUUUGUCCGUGCGGAGAUCUAACGAGCACUCAGGGCCGGCCCUGAGGAGGGGGGGGCAGGGGGCGGCCGCCCCGGGCCCCCAAAGUCCAGGGGGCCCCACCAGGGGUAUUUUACUACCUAGGCUAUAGCCUAUGGGCCCUUCCGCCGUUGGUGAGAAACAAGUCAAAGGGCUGGGCUUCAGGAUGAGAAACAAGCAGCAGCAUGCAUGCCGCACGCAGCGAUUCCUUGAUUCACGAAAGCACAGGAAAGAGAGCAAUCGAUCUAAUCUGACGACCCCUUCCUAUUCCAUAUUUCUAUCAUGCAGUGAUUCCAGCCUUCAGGCCGCCGACGCCGUACUGUCGCCUCCUCCUAAUUUCCGUCCUAAUCAAGUUCGCCGCCGCCGCCGUACUGUCUGCUAAUUUCCUUCCUAAUACAGUUCGCCGCCGCCACAACCGAUUUCAAUUCCUGGGGUCUCCAUCAUCUGAUCAACAAGCCGCACUUUGUUUGUUCUCCGUCUGACCAUCUCCAGAGUUUAGACUCUCUAGGCACCGAGGUAUAUCAUAUUUCUGUUCAUUGGACGCCGUUCAACAUUGAUGCAUUUUUUUCUAGCACUUUGUGUUAUCAUGUUGUCUAGAAAGUAUGCAUCAGAUAGCGAUAAAAGGCAAAGGAAAAAAAUGUUGAUAACUGGUACAAUCACACAUCCAAGAUAUUCAGAAAUUUUUCAGUAGUGCUACCCGUGCUUCUACUGCUUCGAUAAACUCAGAUGAUGAGUUGGAGAUAGUGGCCAGAUAGGAAGAACAACCAACUAAUGGGAAUUUGGAAUAUGAUCAGCAAGAAUAAAAUGUCGAUAUUUUUAACAAUGUAAGUGGCUCCAACAAUGUAGGUAAUUCAUCGGAUGCACACACACAGUCGGCUAGUGUUCAAGAACAACUUGUUUAUACUUCUGACAUUUUCAUCGUAAGUUUUCCAAAGUUGAAAUUAUUGAAGAAUUAUCUAAGGUCAACAAUGACCGAAGAAAGUUUUGAUGGUUUGGCAACUUUAUGCAUUGAGAAGAAAUUACUAAAUGAGAUUGACAUCAACCACGUCAUAAGUGACAUGCAUCGAGAAGUUUUGAUUGGUAUGUAUGAAUUAUUUUAUAUGCAUACUGGUUUUGAAUGCAUUGGAGUGCUAUUCAUAAUAUUUUAUAUAUAUAUAUAGUCAUUGUUACUGAUAGGAUGUCUAUGUUAAGGGCCCCAAGUUUUAGUCUCGCCCCGGGCCCCCAAAAUUUCAGGACCGGCCCUGCAAGCACUAGUCUAAUGAGAGUUAGCAAAAUCGUUGUAGAAGUACCUUACAAACGCAUAGUAUUUAUAUUCAAUAGGGAUUUAUUUAUGGAACAAUGUGGGCUUUGUUUGAAACAAACAAUGUCACGAUGGAUGGAGAGUGACGUUUUGGCACACAUGGGAGCGCGAGCUCCAGAUUUAAAAAAUAUGUUUUGAACAUAUUUUGAAAUGUCAAAAAAUUUCAAACAAAAACUUGGCGCAUGCAUCUCGAUAUUGUACAUGCUCACAAAGUCGUUUCGCGAAAAACCGACAACUUAUGUGCCGCGUGUGAAACAGACAAAAUCCGGUGUUAAAAAAUGAUUUUCAAAAGGCAUCUUUUUGACAUUUUUACACAAGCCACAAAAAGUGUCGGUUUUCUCCAAAACUUGACAUGCACACAUAUAAUGUCGAAAUGUAUGUGCCAAAAUUUUGUUUAAAUUUUUUCCACACUUUGAAAUACUUUUUUCACGUGCAGGAGCGCGCCGCUCCCAAGAGCACAAAUGGAUUUCUGCUAUGGAGGUCCACGAUAAUUUUAUUCAUUGUAAAUUUUCCAUAGAGGACUUCUAAAUUGUACUCUCUCCAUUCCAUAAUAUAAGAGCAUUUUUAAUGCUCUUAUAUUAUGGGACGGAGGAAGUAAUAAACUUUUUGCAAGCUAUUCUGACUAAAGAGAGCAUGGGUUUCCAAAACAGAAAUGUCGUACUUCUUCAGAAUUGCACCUAAGCAGCACGCACCUACAGAGGUUGAGAAAUGGGCAGGUGCAACAACAGACAUAGUCAAUUACUCUGUUAGAAGGACAAAUCUACUGGUGAUACUUUUUGGGGCAAAGAAACUAGUAGUUCUGUCUGGUGAUACUUUUUGGGGCAAAGAAACUAGUAGUACCUGAAUUCAAAAGCACACAAAUACAAGGGCAAAGAUAAUCAUCAGUUCAAGUGUGCAUACCUCAUAAAAGAUACUUUUUACCUAGUUUACAACUAGAGUAUUUCGUUGCCAUGUCGAACAAGAGUGAAAAAGAUAACAUGCUAACACAAACAUCAUUCCUGAUAAAAUCCAGACAACACAAAGUAGAGUGAACACUUAUAACCUUUAGACGAAAACGGCACAAGUAGGAGUUGCGCCAAGGUUUUGCUAAUCACAUAUUAAAACCUUCAGACAGAAAACGGCCUCUAACUGGGAGCUGUCUCGCCAAGGUUUGCUUCUGCGCUUAAUUCUUGCCUCGGCCACGCCUAGGAGGCACAACAGUCCACCCAUCAGCAUCAGGGGUAGGCUUGGAAGGUUUUGGCUGAUCUAUCACCAUAUCAUCUGAUCUAGCUGCUUCAUCUUUCCCCAUUGAUGGCUCAUCACCAUCAUCAGAGCUAUCAUCAUCAUCAUCCUCCGGUACCAUCUUCUCAUGAGAAGAAAGAAAGUUAGCUACAGGGGCUUUCUGAGUCGAAGAUACACGUAAAAAUAAAAACAAUCAAUUUAAACUUUAAAGUUAUGCAGUGCAACGUUGUAAUGACUGAGGACCACUUCAGAUAACUGUAGACACAUGGUUACUCAACAUAUAAGUAUGUCUCCAAAUAACAAUGACCGGUUCUGAUUAGAAAACGAGGUUAAGAUCCACAUGCUAAGAGCAAAAACACAAUCAAUCUAGCAUUUUGCAAUUAACCCCGACAAAGCAACAAUCAAGCAUAUAAAAAGGACCACAUCUUGAAGAAUUAAUAAUUGAACAAAUUAUCAAAC